This 94594-nucleotide long non-coding RNA is filed under the name Malus domestica (apple). Its description in RNAcentral is "long non-coding RNA (MDOM_LNC001038)". The record is from RNAcentral. Lineage: Eukaryota; Viridiplantae; Streptophyta; Magnoliopsida; Rosales; Rosaceae.
GAGAAUUCCUAAGGUGCAAGAACUCUUAAAAAAUGUCUUCAAGGGUAAGGAGUUGUGUAAAGGCAUUAAUCCGGAUGAGGCAGUGGCUUACGGUGCUGCUGUUCAGGCUGCAGUCCUGAACGGGAAGGGAAAUGAAAAGCUUCAAGACCUCACUUUGUUGGAUGUCACACCGCUAUCACUCGGGGUGGAGACUGGGUGUGAACGGGACAUGACUGUUGUGAUACCAAGAAACACCAAAAUGCCCGUCAAGAGGAAUUAUACUGUUACCACUCGGCAUGACAACCAAGCAGUUGUUAGAUUUGCCGUCUAUGAAGGCGAGAGUACAACAACAGUGAAUAAUUACUUUCUGGGUGAUUUUAGGCUCAAAGACAUUCCUCCAGCUCCGAGGGGUGUUCCUAAAUUCAAUAUUGUCUUUGAUAUUGAUUCCAAUGGGAUUCUGAACGUAUGUGCUGAAGACAUGUUGACUGGCCAGAAGAAGGGGAUAACUCUCACAAAUGACACAACUUGUGAAGGAAUUGAAAGAAUAAUGUAAGAAAGAAUCUUAUGUCAUGCUAAAGACCGAAACAUGAUUUGUUUUACUUAUGCGUGGCUACUCUGUAAUUUAUCUUGAUAAAAUGGUUCUAAUGUUUCAACUAUUAUGUUAAUUUUGAAUUCGUGCUUUCACACGUUUACCCUUUAUUUAUAUACCUAUAACAAUUAGGGUUUUAAUCUUCCAAAAUAAAAAAUUAAUAAUUAGGGUUUUUGAAACAAUGACCUAAUCCUUCAUCUAACAAACAAUGCACAAAACCAGUACAAUUAUUUACACACUCUAAUAGAGAUGCAUCAUAUCAGGGAUGGAACCAGCUGGAUCUAAAAACGGGAUGGCCGAAAGCAUGAAUCUACAAGUAAAACAUACAAAUUUCAACAAAUAUAUAAACCUUUGGAAAAGUUGUUGGGGGCCAUGGCCACUGCAGGCUCAACAUCAGUCCACCCUAUAUCCUAUCAAUAUAUGUCAGAUUCACUUGUAUAUAUAUAUGAGUGUGUGUUGACAAGUGUAUCGAUUUUAUGUAUUCAAAGACGACAAAAAAUUAACACUUUACCAAAAUGUAUACAAACCAACAUGUUUUGGGACCUAGAUGAAGCCAAUAUGUGAUUUAUAUUCCUAUCUCCGCUCGAUUUGUCAAGGGACAAGUUAGUCCUUUCCUGCAGUGUGGCAUUAGGACCAUGCUGAACUUCAAUUUGAUAUUAUAAGGCACCUAAAUUUUUUUUCCUUUUCAAAACUUCCCUUUAUCACUUGCACCUUGAUCAAAACUUAUUUGCUCUUCAUUGCAAGUGGUGGAAUGCCUAGUGGAUAUGGCUCCUUUUCAACUCACUACUUUUUAGACGCAAGCUAUCUAAUUCUGAAGAUAUUUCUGAUAUAGCUUAGAGUAAUAGUAUCGUUUGUAAUAAAUAAAUAAAUAAACUGAAAGCAAAAAAAAACCUAUUUGUUCUUCCUUAUCUUUUCCCUUUCAUUUAGUGCCAUGAAAUUCCGAAGACAGAUAUAUCUGGUAUGUGGUGAAAUAUGUAUAACUAAUAAUUUUGUAUAUAAAAUUCAUUCUCUUAGUGUGGGAAGGGAGAAUUGAACCUGAAUAUUGGGUCGUACCCAGUGCACAAGGCUCCCGCUUUACGCAGGGUCUGGGAGAGGUGAAUGUCGGCUAGCCUUACCCCCAUUUAUGGAGAGGCUGCUCCCAAGUCUCGAACCCGAGACCUACCGCUCAUGGGCGAAGGCACUUGCCAUCACACCAAGUGCGACCUCUGAACCUGAAUAUUGGGUGCAUGAGUAAAAGCUUUUAACCAUACAUGCCCCUUGCAAGUAUUAUUAUUAUUAUUAACUCUGUUGAUGCUGCAAUCUUAUUGAAUUUUAGAAAGUGAGACGGCCGGUAGCUUAAUUUGAUUUGAGUUAUGUAAUUAAAGGAGUUGCAAUUGAUAAGUUUAACCGUAGAAAUUUGUUCUUUUUGUUUUAUAGGUUUUGCGCUUUGGCAUGGAUGAACCUUUAACAAACAAUUAACCAAAACUAUUGGUUGUUCUUCUUUGAGUUAGCGCUGAGAAUGCUGAGAAUGUCAGGAGAAGAAGAAGCAUUCUCCCAAUUUUCCAAAUAUGCCUUAAAAAGUCAUCGAAACAGAAUAAUUCUCGGAGGAGUACUUUACUUAGCUACUGAGAUAUGUGCUAGCUUUCUAUCUGCAAAAGCCGAGAUCCACUUUCAAUAUGUGCAAGCAAGUUGUAAAGUUCUCUCAGAAAAAAAUAAAAAAGAAGGUAAAGUUAAAAGGCAGUAAAGGUAAAGGUAUAAAGUAAUGCUUAUCAUUUAUGCUUUGUUUUAGGAAAACUAAUGAAAAAAUAUUAUAAAACUUUGAGUUUUAAUGAUAAGUACAAAAUAAAAGGUAAAAUGAAUAGUACUAGGUUUGACUUUUUAGUAUAAAAAUGUGGUUUUUUGUUAAAAUAAACAGUACCGUGGGCUUUUUGUUAAAACUCUUCUUUAUUUAGGAAAACUAAUGAAAAUUGCUUGAAAACUUUGAGUUUUAACGAUAAGAAAAAAAUAAAGGAUAAAAUGAAUAGUACCAAGAUUGACUUUUUAGGUAAAAAUGUGAUUUUUCGUUAAACUAAACUGUAUCGGGAGCUUUUCGUUAAAGUUCUAUUUUUUUUGUAAUCGUUAUCGUUUGUGCUUUGGUUGCUGCAUAAUUUGGCAUAGAACAGGCAACAGAAAAUCAAUUUUGGAGACUUAUUGCAUUCCAACGUUUUUUGCACAAAACUUUAGAAAAGCAAAAGAUAAAUGAUUCUUCGUUCCCAAGUUAGAUCUAAGUUAUGAAAGACACCACUCUGAACUCUUUCUCUUCCCCAAUAAACUAGCCUGACUCGCUCUCUCUAGUCCCUCCCUACUACUCUCACUGAAAUAAUUUUUCUUCUCUGCUCUUCUUCUUCAUCGUGUUCCCGUGCAGAGAAUGGCAGGAAAAGAAGGCCACGCAAUCGGAUUGAUAUCUGGGGACAACGUACUCGUGUGUCGCAGUGUGGGAGCACGAACGUGUGGAAAUCAUAGUGAAUGAUCAGGGUAACAGGACCACUCCAUCUUGUGUUGCCUUCACUGAGACUGAGCGAUUUGUUGGUGAUUCAGCCAUCAACCAAAUCAUCAGGAACCCCACCAAUUCCAUUUUUGGUUAGCUCCUCGUUUAUCUGCUAUUAAUUUAACAGUGUUUAAUUUCGGAGUUAGUUCAUGGAAAAUGCUUAUAUGCCAUAGAAUUUAUUUUUUUAACACAACAAAAAGCUGUAAGUACGAACAUUAUGAAGUUGAAUUAUAACUAUCGCUGCAGCGUAUUUUGUCGUUAAGAUGAGUUAUUCAUUAAAUAUUCGAAUAACUUAUCUUACUAACCACAUAGAAAUUGUUCUUUCUUUGUAGGAAUGUGUUUUUUUUUUUUUAAUUUAUCAUUUAUUUGCAGAUGCAAAGAGGUUAAUUGGUAGGAGAUUCAGUGAUGCCACUGUUCAAAGUGAUUUGAAGCUCUGGCCAUUUAAAGUCACUGAAGGUCCUGGCGGCAAGCCCUUGAUUGUGGUUACCCACGAGGGACAAGAGAAACAGUUUGCUGCCGAAGAAAUUUCAGCCAUGGUUCUAUCGAAAAUGCGGGAGACUGCUGAGGCCUACCUCAACUCCACUGUGAAGAAUGCAGUUAUCACUGUCCCUGCUUACUUCAAUGAUUCACAGCGUCAGGCUACAAAAAAUGCUGGCAACACUGCUGGUCUAAAUGUGAUGCGCAUCAUCAACGAACCAACUGCUGCAGCAAUUGCUUAUGGCAUUGACAGGAAGGCUGGUUGGUAUAGCAAGAGAAAUGUUAUGAUAUUUGAUUUAGGUGGUGGUACUUUAGAUGUUUCACUACUUACCAUAGGUGAUGGUGUGUUUGAAGUGAAGGCCACGGCUGGAGACACUCACCUUGGAGGAGAAGACUUCGAUAACAAAAUGGUGGACUUUUGUGUUGAGCAAUUAAGAAGAAGCAUAAUUUGGACGUGAGUGGAAACUCUAAAGCACUAAGGAGGUUAAGAAACGCAUGUGAGAAAGCAAAGAGGAGGCUUUCGUUUACUUCAGCCACUGACAUUGAAAUCGACUGUUUGUUUGAGGGAACUGAUUUCUAUACAACUAUUACCCGUGCCAAAUUUGAGCAAUUGAAUAUGGAUUUCUUUAACAAGUGUAUGGAGCCAGUCGAGAAGUGUUUGAAGGAUGCCAAUAUGGAAGUAAGCAGUGUCCAUGAUGUUGUUCUUGCCGGCGGAUCUUCUAAAAUUCCCAAAGUGCAGGAACUGUUGCAGGAUGUGUUCAAGGGGAAGCAGUUGUGCAAGAGUAUCAAUCCGGAUGAGGCAAUUGCGUAUGGUGCCGCUGUUCAAGCUGCAGUCUUGAGUGGGAAUGGAAAUGGGAAGCUUCAAGACUUCACUCUCUUGGAUGUCACCCCUUUAUCACUUGGUACUGAAGUAAAUCCUGUCAUGAAUGUUGUGAUUCCAAGAAACAGUAGUAUUCCCAUCAAGAGGAACACAACUCUAGUUACUCUCUAUGACAAUCAAGUGUCCGUCAUUUUCCCCAUUUAUGAGGGUGAGAGUACUAACCCCAAAAAUAAUAAUUUUCUGGGUCAAUUUAUGCUCGACGGUAUUCCUCCAGCUCCAAAGGGCGCUGCUAAAUUCGAUGUUUGUUUCAGCAUUGAUGCCAACGGUAUUCUAAAUGUCUCUGCUGAGGAUAAGUCUACCGGCCAGAGGAAAGGGAUUACAAUCAUGAGUGAUAAAGACAUAAGGAGCUCUGAAGGAAUUGAGGCGGUGAACUAAUUAAGAAGCCUAGUCCUAUAUCUAAAUUAGGACAUACGAGAAAAUAUGCCCGUGCGUUGCCGCGGGACUUUAAUGUAUUAGUCACAACAGGCAUGAAUAGUUUCCACGCAAAACAACUAAAAAGACGUAGCACCUAAGAAUCGAUGAACAAUUGGGACAUCUUACUCAUAUGUGAGAGUCUCAAUCCCUAUUUCAAAUCCCUAUUGAACAAAAAUCCUAUUUCUUCUUCAAAUUGAAUCGACAUCAUUGAUCAAGCAAUUAAACAUUCCUACUGGAAAAUAAUUGACCCAAGAGUUGAGCAGAUAUAUAGGGAUUGGACAAAGGGGACGUAAUUAAACUAUAUAAUUUAACAAAAGUAAAGGUCAAUACAACUCUUCGAAUUACACUAUAUAUCUAAUUUACCAGAAAACUUUGUAAAAGUGACAGUUUACCUGAUUUAAGCACUUAAUUUUCCUAUUUAAAACAGUUUACCCAUUUUUUAUAAGUAAAAUAUAGCUUAAGCUUAAUUUAUUAACAGCUUAAUGCAAUUCAAAAGUAUUUUCUGUUGUGGUGAGAAGGAGAAGCUACAGCCAACCCGCCUUAACUUUUUACUUUUUCUAGAUGCAUAUGUACAGUUUACCUGCACCCUCAUACCAUGUGUCUUGAGCUGUUAUCUAUCCUCCACUUGCAGCAUUUUCGCUUUUUUGCACGGAACCUCAACAGCAAACGAUUUCAUCUGUUACCAGUUAAUGGAGAUGUCUUCUGCACGACUGGACUACAAAAAAAUAUAUUGGAGAAUCAAAUUGAAAAAUUCAACAUAACCCAAAUUUACAUUAACAGAUCAACAGAUGCUACAGUAAAGAAAAAGAUAGCCAAGAACAGAAUUUUACUUUAUCUAUGCUGAUAACUGUCUGAGAACAAAACAAAGACCAACUGGAAUGCAAAAAAAUAAUGAAGUGAAAUAAGCAUAUGGAAGUGUUAUAUAGUUUUUGUUCCAAUUUGUUGUGUAUUGGGAAAGACAAUAAUGUAAUUAUCAUUACUUAUUGGUUUUGAAUUUGGGUGUUCGAAGGACUUAAUAUUUGUUUUAGUUUGUGUAGAGAACGGAGACCUAAUGGCAUGUUGUUGGUUGAAUGCUAUAUGAGAAUACAGAAAGGCCAAACCUUUGGGGUUAUUUUAAGUAAAAAAAAUGUUGAUGCGUCAAAUACAUUUAAUGCACACUCCCAAAUGCAGUCUUCAUGUUCCCAUCGAAACACUAUGCAUCUUAAUCGUAUACUCAAUUCAUAAGGUUAGCCCCAUUAAUUAAGGGAAUAUAAUUGCAAUAUGCAUAAUUAGUUGAUAUCAACCAUGUAUAUCUCACACAACUAAGAAUGCAGGGCCAAAACCAGAGUAUACUUACAUAGGUGUUAUUUCCUAUUUGCAUUUUGAUAAGUAUCAUGUUUUAACAAUCAUCCAGCAUCCCACUCAUGGCAUAAUUGUUUGUGGGAUGACACAACCCAUGACACAACUGGAGACUAAUUCUACAGAACCCAUGACACAAAACAAUCCAAAAUUAACAUAUUGUAGUAACAACAUUCCAACAAAAGUAAGAAGACCAGAAAAAUGAUCUAUUAAAGUAAUUUAGUUCCAUCAUGCAUAAAUCAAGGCAGUCAUGUAAGGCUAGUAUGUACAGUAAUCCAACACAUUAACAUAAAGCCUCCAAAGACAGACUCAGAAUUACAAAACACAUGAAAAUUCACAUUCCAACGUGUUAUCCAAUCACCAAUUUCAAAUCCACCAAAACCAAAACCAAAACCCAAAAUCAAAAGAAGGUGAUCAAAUGUUUGAUUUUGCUAAAUAUUACAAAAUAAAAUAAAUAAAAAUAUGUACAAAUCAGCACGCAUACCUUGUAGCAGUGCAGGGAACAGUAGCGUAAGUUGCAUCGAGGGCAUGUGUACUGGGAAAAUUGCGUCUUUUAGAACGUGUUGCAAGUUUAGAGCAGUGUUGAACUGCUCACUGUACAAAAUAUUCUAGGUACAUGUGUGUGUGUGUGUAUACAUAUAUAUAUAUAUACACUAAUCAGCACUUCAGAGCUUCCUUCUUCUUUCUUCUCAUAUGUAUGCUUCCUUGAUACAAAUUGGAAAAAUGAAAGUUGUUAAUGUAAAUAAAUGACAGUUUUAGUGAAAAUGAGAGAACCCAACUUAUUUAUUGAGAACAAAGCGAUUUUCCUAAUUGCCAAAAAAUUAAAUAUUUUCUUCAAUUAGUUCUCAAAUGCACUUAAUAUGAUCCUAAAAUCUCAAAAGUGUAUCCUCCACCACUCAAAAUCGCCACAGAAAAAUUAAAAAAAUUUCACUGCUUUCAAACAACAAACAAAAAAAAGCUACCAAGAUGCUAAAAAUUUGUGCAUAACCUGAGCAACUAUUAUUAAUGCACAAUACUAAAACCAUUUUCAUUGGUUAACCAUUAAAAGCAGAAAUCUGUAUUUGCAUACAACACACAUACUUUUAAACUACAUAACUUUAUGUAUGUUUUAGAAGUUAGAUUUUUUUCUAAUCUAUAGUCUAGUACAAUGUUUGAAAUCUUGAUCUGAAAUGUGCUAACUGAGAGAACGAAAUCACAAAUUUUAUAGGCAAACAGCAUAUAUAAAAAUAAAAAAGUGCAAAAAAAUUUAUUUCCAUUUAGUUCUAUUGUGAUAAGUAUACCUGAAACCAUGGCUAAAAACUAAGCUUUCAUUCAUUUUGUUCAAAGAAACAUUCUCAAGCAAUAGAGAAAAAAAGUAACCUCUUCGACUCACCAAAAUCAUCUAAUUCCUUAAUCCCUUCAACUUCGACAGACUGAAGUCAUCUUAUGAACUAUUCUGCUAACAAUUUGCAGCACAAAUUAUGCUACCACCUAUUUCAAAAAACCACAAAGUCUAAACAUCACAUUUAACAUGAAAGAACUAAAAUUGAUUAAACAGACUUUAAAUUGGCUAGACACAAAGCAUAUACAAACAAAGGCAAUGUUGCUGUCCACAAAAGAAAAGGAAAGGAAAAUAAAAAAAAAACCAUAGAACACUGUGAAACACCAUUAAUCACAUAUCCUAUCUUUCCUUGUAACUCAUCUUUCUUUUCAUGGAUAUUAGUUUUUGUUUCUACAUUUAAACAAAAUGGUAGCAUGAAAAACUCAUUUCGCCAAGUUAACAACCAUUAACAAAUAGCUUCUAGAAAAGGUCAAAGUGAAUAAGAUCAUUUCAAACUUUAGCUCGAGAACAAUUCAUAAAAUCUACCCAAAUAUGAAAAUUCCUGCACCAUUCUUUGUGAUAUUGGAACACAAAAUUAAGUUGUUUGAUUUCAGGCAACCCUACUUUACCUCUAUAAAUGGAAAUGGUCCUAUUUAUGCUGCAUUACACGUUAGCAAAACCAUAUUAAUUGAAAAGAUGAUCAUCAAACCUAGCUAGCUAGUUGAAUUAUUUGUUAAUUAAACGUACUCGUGGCUUGCAAAUUGGCAGGCCAUGCCAGAGGGAGAGAAGAUGAUCAUGAGGGCAACUUCAGCAUCGUAGACGAUAGAGAGGUCAAAAGCCUUCUUCAAAAUUCCAUUUAUGCGUUUGGAGAAGGUAACCUCUUAAGUCUCAUAAAAAAAUAAAAGACUUUUUCGUUAGCGAAAUCUCUUUCUACCGGGAGUUCUAAAAGUUUUUUGUGUAACAAAUAAACAAUCUGAAUGGUUCUAGCAUUCUAUUUUUUCACCACAUACACAACAAAUCACAAAUUUAACACUUGCAAUGGUAUACGAAACCAACCGUAAACGAAAAAGAGAAUGUUGAGAAAAUAACCCAGAUGAAGGCAGCUUUGGAGAGUUUAGAAUCCAAGUAUGGUAUCAACAGCCAAGAUAUGUUCCUUGUAAUAUCCUUUUAUAGAUCCCAAAACAAAUACAAUCUGCACAAUCAAAUUUCUUGUUAUAGCCAAAAGAGAACAAUAGUCUGCAAGGUAGUGCAUCCCAAUUAUUAAAUGAAUAAUUCAGAUAAAAUGAAAUCACAAAAGAACACAGAAAUUUAAAGAAAAAUUCUUUAUAAAUUAGCAUCCUGACCGCUUUGGAUCCAAAAACUUUUAGCACAGACAGUGCACUGCAAUUUAUCUAAAAUUAUCUAUUCUAAAAUUGAGGAGUGAAUUGACUGUAACUUAGCUACAGUCAAUUGUUUGCCCCUUGAUUUCAUCUGAUUUACAAUAAAACCAUGAGAUUUGGGCUGGGUUUGAAGGGUAUUUAUUAGAAUUUAGAAGGGUAAUUUUGUCCGCAAGGUUUAGGACUGAUUACCCUUUGAUUUCUCCUUAUUUACAAGAAACCCAUCAGAUUUGGGUUGGGUUGGGUUGGAAGGGCAAUUUUGUCCUCUCGGUUUUGAGCGAAUUCGGGGGUUGCCGUGUAGGUUUUCAUUUGUUGUCCUUCAAUGAGGGUUUCGGGGGGAUGGAGGCUUUGACAGAGAGAGAGAGAGAGAGAGAGAGAGAGAGAGAGACAGACAGACAGACAGACAGACAGACGGAGAUCGAGAUAGAUGGCGAUGGAAAAAGAGCGAGGGGGAGGGGUAUGGGUGAUGGAUUUCAGAAGUGGGAGAGUGGGAUGGUCAGAGAAAACCAUACGGGUCGUCCGGAUUUGCCGCUGCAUGCCUGGAUUUCCAAAGAUAAGUUCCUGUUUUUUACUGUCAGCUUACAUUGUCAUCGUUUCUGCCUUUUUGUUGUGGAUUAUUUUCGAUUUUUUUGGUGUGUUAGGUCAGUUUUUAGGGGAUUCAUCAGAGAUAUUAAUUUCCCUUAUUUGUUUUGUUUUCUCUCAUUUUGGACAUUCAUCUCUCUUUCUGUCUGUUUGUUCUCUGUUUUAAGGUUGGUUGCUUCUUUUUUUUUUUUGGGUUUUUUUGUGUGGCUUUUUAUUUAUUUUUCCAGGUUAUAGAUUUGAUGGUUUUUUGUAUACCAAUCUUCGUUUUGUUUUUCCUGGAAAAUUGUUUUGAUCUGAUUGUGGGUUUGUGGGUUUUAAUUUCUUUCGUUUGUUUCAGGUUGCAAAGCAGGAGGUUCUGACCUGAGGGUUCAAUUCAAGGUACUGUUAUUAUUAUUUUUAGUUCUUAUAGUUUAAUGUUUCGAACUGAUGUGAUGAUUUGGUUGUGAAAUGUGGGAUUUCUAUUCGGCUUCUGUUGCCUAUGUGAUGUUCUCUGUUUUUAUUGCUGGGUAGAGAUUCCAUAUAUUCUGGGUCUCUAGAAAACAACUCUUCAGUUCUACGAGAGGAACUAAAUAACACAUUUUUCCUGAAUCCCAUAAGCCUGCAAGAAGCAAAACAAGCUAAGAGUCAUUUAUACAAUAUAAACACACGAACUCUGUUCGAAUUCUUACUCUUAUUCUCGCUAUUUUUUGGCUGUUUAGUUUGGACUCCCAUCACAGUGUCAUCAUUUUGGUAUGCAUAUGUGGUUCUUGGAUUGAAGAACAAAAGUUGCCUUUCUUUUGAAAUUGCAAUUUAGUUGCUGUCUGUGUCUGUUUGAGUGUUUUGUGAAUUUGUUUUUAGGACUAAAGUUAUAUUGGUUUUGAAAUGGUCUUUGAAGAUGAUUGUGUUAUUAUAUAAACUGCAUAUAAUUUGGAUAUGAUGAGAAAACUAAUUAAACUGAAUCUUGGUAAUGAUUUAGUUCUUGAGAAGUUGUCGAAAAACAAGGUUUAAAUAGGAAGAACAUCAUCCUUACCAGAUAAGUCAUUCAUAGCAUUUUGAGCAUCUUGAAAAAGUAAAUGAGGGUAUGAUGCGAUUCAAUAUAGUUACAAAUCGACCUACUGUUAAAAUGCAGAGGCGGAGCUCUAAACUAUAUACUCUUUAAAAGAAAAUUAAAAAUUUAAUGUCAUUAUAUCAAGCCGUUACCUAAGUUCUCUCAUCCUAAUCCCUUGCAUCAGUUACCAGUUCAUCAUAAGUUACCAUUCAGACUCACAAUAGAGCAUUAAUAAAAAUAAAUUAACCAUGCAUUCCGAAUGAUAACAGAAGUAAAAACUUAGUAUCUAAUUUAGUGUUCUGUAAUUUGAGAACUAGGGUUUUGUUGUUUUAGAAUCUUUAGGGGUAUUUGUAUUUACUCAGAAUUCUCAUUCUUUAUUUUGCUGGAACAAAUUGCUUUAUUUUAAGGUUAAUUAGUUACUUUUAGUUUUUUUAUGAGCUUUGAAUUAUUGGAGCUCUGGACUGCAAAUUGUUUAUGGUAGCUAUUUUGAAUGAAGCAUAAAGGUGUGGCCUUUUAGGUGAUGGUGGUUAAUUAGUUACUUUCAGUUUUUUUAUGAGGUUUGAAUUAUUGGACUUUUGGACUGCAAAUUGUUUAUGGUGGCUAUUUUGAAUGAAGCAUAAAGGUGUGGUCUUUUAGGUGAUGGUUGUUUUAGUAUAACUAUAAGCAGCAUAACUAUAUUACUUGCUACUAACUGAGAGAGGGCACCUGCAAUUCAAGCCCUUAAUGUGUUCUUUAUUUUUUUAAUUGAAAAUCGUGUUUUCAUACCCUAUCUUUCCACCUUUAAUUAAGGAAGUGAUGCGAUGUUGGAUUGUCUAUUGAUGUGUUAUCUGAUUCAGUGUUUGGGUGAUGCCUAAAUCUGUUGUGGCUCUUGCUGAUUGUUCACAUGUUCUCGAGCAUAAAUCAAUAAAUCUUAGAAAGAAAGAAAAACAUUUUCUUUGGUACCUGUACACAGUUGAAUUUUUUUUUUCAUAACUUUUUCGGGUGGUUCUUUUCUGUGAUUUCAGAAAUUGAGGAUCCAUUUGAAAGACAAUAGUACCGAUAGACACUUGGACACCUAUAUAUAUGUAAGUUAUUGUAAAUAUGUUAGUCAUUGUAAAUGUGGUUGUGAAUAGAUUUUCACAUGUAUGUAAAUAUGUUAGUCAUUGCAGUUUUUGGUCUUUUUUACUGAAAUUGUUUUGGUCCCUGCCACUAAACUCUGUUUUCUGCUAUUAAUUGCUGCUGAAAUGUGACUUUUGCUAUUAAUUUUUUCCCCUUCAUAUUUAUGCUGCUUUUGGAUUCCAUUCAAAUUAAUUAUUGUAGUUAAUCUUCAUAUGAAUUCUCUCUGCAACAAUAAUUAGGGAUUUCAGUUUAAAUUAUUACUGAUUUGUUCUUGAUCUGGCAUUGAAUCUUUCUUAAUUUGGACUGCAGGUGGUUCUGACGCGGAGGAGAAUCCGUAAGAGGUAAUGAUCUUGCUGCACUUAAGUACAGCUGUUCUUCAACUCAUAUAAACUUUCUGGUAGGGUUCAAACUGUUAAGAGUUUUAUGAUUUUGUAAAAGCCUUUUAGCAGCAGAAGCUUGUCUUUUGUAGUUGCGUUAUUACACUAUACAACUUGAGUUAGUAUGAGUUUCUUGCUAACUGAUAUCACUUAGGAAUUCUAAAAGCAGUUGCAUUUUACAAUAUACAACUUCAGUUAGUAUCAGUUUCUUAAUUAGUGGCAUGUGAAUUCUUAAUUUAAUUUCGGAAGGAGAUACGUUUAAAGUUGGUGCUAUGUGAUGAAGUUAGCAUUUUGUUUUUUAUUAUAUACUGGUGGUGAACAUUUUUAGCAUAUUGGUUGAGAAAGAUUUUUCAUUUUCUAUAAAAUAAAUCUCCAUUCUCACCAUGUUGUUGAUGUUUUUUGCAAUUUGAGUUUAUAGUGCUUCUAAAUGCUGUUUUAAUUUUAGGAAUUUGAAUCAUUGUUUUAAUUUCAGUUAAUGCAGGAUUUGAAAUUUGUGAUGAUCAUUUUUGUAUUUCUAUAAAUUUUGAGACAACAAAGCAUGUGAAAAAGCACAUUAGUCUCUUGGUAUAAAUCACAUUAGUCUUAUUAUGGCUAGGAUAAAAAACCAUGUGAUAAAACUGUGACUUUUCAAUUAUUUUAUCAUGCAUCUGUAAACCAGAGGUCUGAUUAACACGAAAGAGAAGUCUUCGUUCUUCAAAGAUCAGAAAGGUGACAAUGUAGUAAGGGUGUCAGAGUUUCCCAGGAUGAAGCAAAAAGAGGAAUACAUUCAGCAUUGACACACUAAAUUAGGCCAAGAGUGAAAACCAACUAGCAAAGAUUAUGGUAAUUCACUAAUUUAGACAUAAACCAGCUUUGAGAGUGAUACUCACCCAUUGUCGGUUUUCCUUGCGAGCAUAUUUCCUACCCAAAAUUUCCCAAACUGUUCUCAAACCAUUGCAUCGGCAUAUCUUUCCAACUUCUAAUAGUCUUUGGUGCUAGAACAUCUUCUAACUUCAUUCUAAAAAAAUAGAUUUAUAAGUAAAGACAUCUAAAAAUAGAAAAAACAAGAAUGCGUUACUCAUGUAAAACAUGCUUUCUCUGACUUGCUACAUUUAUGAAUGCAAUUGUACUACUGUAGCAUUUUCCGUUAAUUUUUCUAUGAAUAUUAUUCAUGGUCUAAAAACCCGCAGCAGAGCGCGGGCAUUCCUGCUAGUAAACCCUAAACCUAUGAAGGCAGCGUCUGUAAUUUUUCUUUACUGAGUUAUGAUAAAUAAUAAAAUCUAGCAAUGAAGUUCCACAUGCAUGUGUCUCUGUGUUACAUUCUUCUCGCUACUUUUUUAUUAGAAUUAUGUGUUAGUUGUUGCCCGAACAGAAAUUUCAAUUGGUUAGCUUUGAGGGCUGGAAAUAAUAUUUUCCGAGCAAGAAAAGAGAGGCAAAUAAAUAAAACUGUCGAUCGAGUGCAAGUUGUAUCCUAAGAAAUUCUUAAGCCAAUGUAAUUGGCUUCAAAAUUCUUGGUUCUCUUCAGAUAAAUUUUUGGUUAUUGUUUCUCUCUGUCAUGCAAGCUUACACCACUAAAGGAAGCCAGAGAUUUUAACUUUUACCUUUUACCUUCGGUCUGAGAUCCUCAAGUCGUGCGCUCUGCAAGCGGUUCCAGAAAACAAAGAGCACCGUUUCCUGAAAAUAAAAGGAAAACUAUACCAUAAACCCACACUGAGCAUCUAAACACAUAAACAAAAUAGCCAAAAUUUGAAAAAACAAAAAUUUAAACAAAAGUUGUAUCUGCAGACCAAAGGCCACCAAAAAAAUAAUCUUAACAAAAGACUCAAAAGGAAAAACAAAAAUUGUAUACCCUCAGCACAAAAGGGCUACCAACGCUGCACACAACAGCUCCAAAAUUUGAUGACCAGCGCUUCCUGAAAGCAAAAACCGAAUCAAAUUAGACAACCAGACGCAAGAUCAAAGCACACAGACAUAACCCCCAAAAUCACAAAAAAAAAUUCCAAACACAAAAUCCAGCUGCAAAUCGAAAACCACAAAACCAGAAAUUAAACAGGGACGCUGAAAAAGACCUAAAACUCUCAAAUGUAUGUAUCCUUAUUCCACAUAUCCCGCAUACACGAACCUAACUUGACACUGUUCACCACCCCCACUCCUCCCUCUCUCUUUAUCUCCCUGCAAUCCCGACGAUUUCUCUCACUGUCAGCCUCUCCUGGCAUGGAUUAAUAAUUACCUCAACAGUUAAAAGAGCCAAAGCCAAACCCCAGAGCUUCGAAGGGCAGAAAUGAUCGCAGAAACAAGAAUAGUCCUUCUUCCUUCCCCACUGUUGCUGAUGCCACUUUCUCUCUUUAAAAACCAAUUGGAAAUUGUUUAGAGAGAGAGAGACAGAGAGGCGAGAGUGAUGAGGAUUGGACGAAAGAAGUAUGAAAAAGGUAAAGGACAUGAAAGCUUGAAUUUGAGUCCCAAAUUGAAAACAGAAAGGAGGAGUGUAAGGGUGAUUUACCGAGGUCGGGAGCGGUGAUCACUUCAAUGAUUCAAAUUAUAUUUAAAUUAUCUUCUUUAGUCUAAAACAAUAAACCCAGAAGCCUAAGGUUGCAUGAAUGCAAAACUCAAAAAUCCAAAUUCCAGAGAAUAAUUAAAGAAAAACAGAAAUAUACAAAAAUAAAAAACCCAAAAGAAAUCAAAACAUAUAAUCAAUAAAUAGUUAAUUAAUUAAUCAAAUAAAUACAAUACCUGAAUGCCCCGUUUGAACGACCCGAUGAAAGAACUCGAUAACUCGUCACGGCAAGACCGGACAUUUUAGAACUGACUGCGCAGUGAAAGGCCUUCGACUGUGUGUCUUGAGUAGAACGGAGUGAAUGGUGGUGGUUCUGUGGUGAUGUUUCGCCGGAAGCAGCAGCAGCACCGCCUAAAGUAUCCAGAAGAAGAAGAUGAGGUGGAAGACGAUGGAUGUUCAUAAUCGAAGAGUUCGAAGGGAUUUACCUUUGGAUUCUUCGGCUUCAUAUGGAGUUUGCUUGUGUGUGGGCUUGCAACUUCGUUUGCAGGCAUGAUGUUUCCAUGGAAUUUCUCUCGGCUUACAUAGAGAGGAAAGCGAGAGAGAAAGCUCUCCAGAUUUUGUGAACUCAAUGCCUGAGUUUGGUUUUUGACAAAAAUGGAGGCCAUGGUUUCUCAGAGAGAUCAGCGAGCUCACAUUUUUUAAUUCUCAGAGAGAAGAAAACUCUCGAGCUUUUGCAGAAGGGGAAUUGUGUUUUGUCGAGGUUUUGAGUUGUAGUGGAGCUCACACACGGGGAUCAAAAGUCGAGAGAUUCAGUGGCAGUGUUGUAAAUAAACUGAAAUGUGGUCCAUAACAUUGUUCAUAUGAAUACUGCAAUUUCCCCUCCUACUUUGGUCUUCCCCUCCUACUUUAGACUAACGUAAUUAUAAAAUCUGCUUUACGUUUUAAUUUUUUGAGGAGUCGUUUUAUCUUUAUUGAAUCUAAAUGUUGGACAAAGUUUCAGUUAAAAACAAGGGAGUUGGUACUCAGGAGAAAUAUACAUUUUUUUUUGUCGAAAUAUAGAUAUUAUUAAAUUCGAAUAGAAACAUUAACAUCCGAAGUUAAAUUGUUAAAUAACCACUCUGGUUAGAGGGAAACCCAAGUAUGAGAUCCUCCAUAUGAGAUACAAAUGAAACCACUAAAUACGCUGCCCUAUUACAAUUCCAGGGAGCAUACAUAAACCAUACUGACCUCAAUUGCAUUUGCAAACUUGAUAUCAUAAAGAAGGCAUUCAAUAACAACAUUCAGCUGAGUACUGCCAUGGAUCAUAUCCACAAGAACCUUUGAAUCUGUUUCCACCUGGAUAGUAUCAAACCCUCUCUCCACAGAAGCCAUUAUGGCUGCACGUAUUGCCUACCCAUUUCAUAGAAAGGGAAAAGAAAGGGAAAAUGCAAAGAAACUAAGAAAUAAAAUAACAAUUCUUCAUUCCUCGUCUUCAGAUAAACAUAGUAGUUUAAAUACAUAAAAGGAUAUCUAGAGUUUAGCGAUCUUAGUGGGCUUAAUAGUAGUAGUGGGCCUAAUAAAUACUAGUAAGCUAUAGUGGCCCGAAGGGUCCUAACAAUAACAACUUCCCCCAUCAAAAAAGACUCACAAGGAAUAUUGCCUACACCACUAGCCGCCCUAAAGAUUCUCGCACAAUCCCUUGCCACCCAACCGUGAGAUCCAUUCCUCGGAGGAUCCCCACAGGAUUGAUCCGAAGAGGAUAUGAGUCCAUACUCUUUAAUGCCAGCCGAUAUACUUAAAAAUCCCUAGCAAUAAAAGUAAAGGAAAAAUAAUAAACAAAAACUUUAAAACUUUGAGUUUUAAUCAAAUGAAUUGUUAUUAGCACUCCAAAAAUCUCAUUUUGCACUAUUCAUAAGUGUAUUUUUUUUCUUUCUAAUUAUAGAAAGUUUGAAGUGCUAAAUGAGAUUUUGGAGUGAUAAUAACAAUUUCCUUAAUCAAAAUUAAUUUAAUAAUUUUAUUUAAAGAUAAAGGCAAAAGAAAUAAAAGGAAAACAAAAACCCAAUCAAAAGUGCAUGCAAGGUGCAUGUCAACCCAUGUUCAGUUUCAAAAAUAGUACUCAUGCUCAGUUUCAGAAAUAAUCAGUUAAGAAAUUGUACAGUACUCAUAUACCGUUUCAAAAAUAAUCAGUGUUUAGUUUAAGAAAUAAUGAUAGUAUCAGUGUUUAGUUUGAGAAAUAAUGAUAGUACUCGUGUUUAAUUUUCAGAAAGAGACAGUAUUCAAUUUAAGAAAUAGAUUAGUAUCUAUGUCCAAUUUAAGAAAUAGUCUAUGUUCAGUUUAAGGAAUAGUAAGCGAGAGGAGAGAGUGUGUGUGCGUGACCCCGCCAAUCAGUUUUUUUUUAUUAUAUUAAAUUUGUGUCAUUUUCAUUAAAAUAUAAGUUAUUUUUAUUUAAUAAAGUUAUUAGAUGAUUUUUUUUGUUAAUAAAAAGUUUGGAGAAGCCUUUUUCAUUAAAGAUUCCUAAAACUAAAGCAUAAAACCUCCAAUUUAACUCUCUAAUUGGUGAUUAAGGCAAUCAAAAUUCAAUCCUAUUUUACAUUCAUAGCAGACUGCCUGCAUUCCGAUGGGUUGUUCUUCGUUGAGUUUUCACGCUGAGAAUGUUGAGAAUGUCAAGAAAAGAAGAAGAAGAAGAAUUCUCCCAAUUUUCCAAAGUUGCCUUAAAAAGAGAAGAACAACAUACAGCAAAGCAUUGUUUUAUUGAUUGAUAAAAAUACCAAAUACAAAAAAGCCUUUAUAUAGAGAAAGACUAAAGCAAACCCUAGACUAAAACCCUAAAAAGCAAACCCUAGACAAAAACAAAUACUUAAUGGGCAAGUAACUAAUCCUUGGCCUGCAAGAUAACUAAAAACAAUUUAAACUCCAACACCCCCCGUCAAACUCAUGGCAGAACACAUACAUGAGUUUGCCAAAGUAGAUGUGGAUGCAAGACUCCAAAUUCCAAUGUUAAUGCCAAUGCCGAUGCCAAUUGUCAUAUCCCGGCCCGGGCGGGACCACUUCCCGGGCUCGACUCCACCGUAGCACGAUAUUGUCUGCUUUAGGCCCCGACCACGCCCUCACGGUUUUGUUUUUAGGAACUCACACGAGAACUUCCCAGUAGGUCACCCAUCAUGAGAUUGCUCUCGUGCGCUACUCGCUUAACUUCAGAGUUCCUACAGAACCCGAAGCCAAUGAGCUCCCAAAAGGCCUUGUGCUAAGUAGAGAUGGGAAUAUACAUUUAAGGAUCACUCCCCUGGGCGAUGUGGGAUCUUACAAUCCACCCCCCUUAGGGGCCUGACGUCCUCAUCGGCACACUUCCAGCCAGGGAUUGGCUCUUAUACUAAAUUGUCAUAUCCCGCCCCAGGCGGGACCACUUCCCGGGCUCGACUCCACCGUAGCACGAUAUUGUCCGCUUUAGGCCCCGACCACGCCCUCACGGUUUUGUUUUUGGGAACUCACACGAGAACUUCCCAGUGGGUCACCCAUCAUGGGAUUGCUCUCGCGUGCUACUCGCUUAACUUCAGAGUUCCUACAGAACCCGAAGCCAAUGAGCUCCCAAAAGGCCUCGUGCUAGGUAGUCGGCACACUUCCGGCCAGAGAUUGGCUCUGAUACUAAAUUGUCACAUCCUGGCCCGGGGCAGACCACUUCCCGGGCCCGCUCCACCACCAUAGCACGAUAUUGUCCGCUUUGGGCCCCGACCACACCCUCACGGUUUUGUUUCUGGGAACUCACACGAGAACUUCCCAGUGGGUCACCCAUCAUGGGAGUGCUCUCGUGCGCUACUCGCUUAACUUCGAAGUUCUGAUGGAACCCGAAGCCAGUGAGCUCCCAAAAGGCCUCAUGCUAGGUAGAGAUAGGAAUAUACAUUUAAGGAUCACUCCCCUGGGCGAUUUGGGAUCUUACACCAAUGCCGAUGCCGAUGCCGAUUUCAAACUACCAUGUUCAAUCAUCUUUCCUAGAUUCAGAUUCUGAAUCAGUUGCAAUAUGCAAAACAAAAGCUGAUGCUACUCCAAGUGGUGACUUCUGUGGAAAUUCAUGUUGCUAAGAUAUCUUCGGACAUUGGGAUUUCCAAUGCCCUUUCCCUUUACAAUAAGAACACUCAUCUAUAGCAACCCUAGUUCUAAUACGAGAUCUUGCCGCAGCCAAUGCUGAAGUGUUUGACAAAGAUGAAGAGAGCCUAUGCGACUGCACACGAACUUCUUCGGCUUGCAACUUACUAAGAACAGAAUCAACAGAUGGAAGAGGAGUUCGAUGAAGAAUAGAGCUACGAAGAGUCUCGAACUCAUCUCGAAGAGGCAUCAGAAACUAAACAAGACGUUGUUCUUCUCUAUAUUGACAAUAGAGCUCGACACUGCCAAGUUCUUUAGGUUCAGUCAAUGCAAGUUGAUCCCAAAGAUUGGUCAUUUCAUUAUAAAAAUCUUGAAUACUCUUAUUACCAUGCUGGAUUGCACGAAUCUCCAUUUCUAAUUGAUACAUCUUAGCAAAAUUGGCCUUGGUAUACAACUUUGCUAAGUGAUCCCAAACUUCCUUAGACGUUGAGAACUUAGCGAGUUGCAUUCCAAUAGUCAAAUCAACAUAAUUAUUAAUCCAAGUAAUAAUCUUUGAAUUAUUCAUCUCCCAAGCAGCAAACAAUUCAACAUAUUUUUCAUCUUUGGGGUUAUUCGGAAUGGAAACCAUUCCAGAAACAUAGCCCCAUAGUCCUUUUCCAAUAAAAACAAUUCUUCAUCACAUAUGCCCAAUACACAUAAUUAUUUCCGUUUAAUUUCACACCAAUAGCUUGUAAGGAAUCAUCCUUUGCAGAUGCCAUAUCUACAAUGACAACACUAAGGAAAAAAAAUACCUGAUAGCAAGCAGCGAAUAAUAAUCUGAUAUGGUUAUGCAGCAACAAUAAUAAUUUGGUACUGGUGCAAAUUGAUGCCAGUGCAGCGGGGCGUCAUCUACGAAUUCAAGCGGUGCAGAAACUAUGGUGCAAAACGUGCGGGGUGCAGAGGGCGGUGCAGAAACUCUGGUGCAAAACGUGCGGGGUGCAGAGGGUGUGAAUGCAGUGCAGGAAACGGUGUGGUGAUGUAGUCAGGACAGUGGAGAUGGAUCCAUAUGCGGAAACAGUGCGGGAUACAUGUGUAGCAGUGCGGGGCGAGACAGGUCUAGCGAAAACAAAUACUUAAUGGGCAAGUAACUAAUCCUUGGCCCGCAAGAUAACUAAAAACAAUCUAAACUCCAACAAAAAGUCAUGGAAGCAAAAUAAUUCUCGGGGGAGUACUGUUGCGAGUUGAAUAUGUGUGGAUAAUUUGUCCAACUUCAGCAAGGGACAAGGCUAGCUAAGGGUUUAUAUGGUGUUGAGGUAUUUCUCAUAAUGCAUAUUAGUUUUAUGAUAAAACCUGACAUGCCCCGAUCCCGAUAUUCCUCAAAUACCAGGAUAGGCACGUGUUGGCCGACACCCGAGGGUGACGAAAGCCAUUAAUUGAUACAAAAAUUAAGAAUAAGAAGUAAAUAAGGGUUAUGAAUUUAAAAUACAAUGAGUUAAUAAUUUAGGAACGUGUUCAGAGCAUACAACUAACUAAAGCUCUAAAAGAAUUAAUAUAAAAUUGAAUAAAUAAGAGGAUGUAGGUCCUACACCGAGAGGACUCGAAUAUGCCAAUGCGAACACGUUGACGUCAGGAUCGUAUGCCUUGAUUCUAAAUCCUGAAAGGGGGCGCAAAACAAGGGUGAGUGGCCCAAGUUUCAUAUGUAUAUGUAUAAUACGAAAACAGUUAUGAACAUACUAACCCCCAGGUUUAUAAAUAAUGAAAACUACUAUCAUAAUAAAUGAUAGGUUUUUCUGAAAACCCUAGCAUGACGUAAACAUCUCAAAAGACAUAUCGCGGAAAACAAUUAUCAAACAUCUCACUAAUCGUCUCGUAAGAGCGGUGUGAUGCCAGUAAAGAUCACUGAAUAAUCAUAUAACUCCCGGCCCUAUGCCAGCACCGUGGUCUCUGCGCCCGUAGCCAGAGAUUAUCAACUCCCGACCCAAUGCAUGCUCCGUGUCCCUCAGCCCGUAGCUAGGGAUUAUUUCUCCUGGCCUAACUGCUAACACCAGAUCCUCACCCCAGGCAGCAUAGUGUCCACUAGGAACGCACAAAUAGUUACGCCUCUCAUAAAUAACAACUUCAUAGUAUAAAGUCAUCCAUCUUCUAUACUAUAAAGAGGAGUUUCUAAAACAUGUUCUAGCAUCCUAUCGUAAUCCAUCAGAUAGUCUACCAGUUCAUGGUUUUUAUAGAAAAUACUAUAUAUUAAAAUAUAACUCAAUAUAGGCCAACAAUUAAUUCCUCGCAAAAAACACGAGACGAAAAUCAACAUAUUCAAUACACAUGCUUAACAUAAAAUCAAAUCAUAAACUCGUAAGGCAUGCUAUUCAUUUAUGCAAUUGAACUAUAAAAUCAUGUAAUUUUAGAAAGGUUCCACUCACAGUACUUAGCCACCAGAAAUUGCGCCACUAGCGAAGACGGAAACGUCACAAUAAUUGCCCCUAAGCACAUAAAUAGCACAUUUAGUCAAACUCUACUCAAACGAUUUAAUUUGGGAAAACGGAUAUUGGAAACGGAUUCAGGACGUCGAAAUUAGCCUAGGGGGUCUCGGACGAAAACUGAAAGUCAACCCGAAAGUCAAAGUCAACGGGUCAGUCAAUUGGGUCAGACUAGGUCAACUGGUUUUGAGCUUGGAUCCGGAUUAGGGCUUAGGUCCAAAAGCCCAAGGGUUUAGAGAUUGGGCUUAAAUCCCUUAUUAGAAAAUGGCCCAAAGGACCCUAUUUGAUUUAAAACAAUUUAAAUAAAAGAAAAUGGGUUUUGGGUUAGGAUAGGUUUAGGAAUAAAAAGGGUGGUUUGGGCUUGAGCCCAAACCCACACACAAUACACAUACUCACACGCCAGCACACACACAUGCAUGCACAUCACACAUAUACAUAUGCAUAGCACACAUGCACACUUACACAUGCACACACGCAACACACCACACACGUGUGCAACAUACACACACACACACACGACACACACACACCACACAUUCACUCACACUUACAGCCCAACACACACACACACACACUCACUCACACGUACAACCUAACACACACACAUACACACUCACUCACACGUACAGCCCAACACACACACACUCUCACACACACACGGCCCAUGCAGGGCAUGGCUCGCAGGCUAAUUAACCAACCAAAAGAAAUAAGGAACUGGGCUAGUCCAAGAAUGGGCUAAGGCCCGUGGGUAGCCUGAUGGCUUGGGUGUUGUCGGGGAAGAACACCGGAGUUACUACACCUCUGGUCGACGACAAACGUGCCAUCCAAGAUUCAAACUACACAUCAAAAUGAAGAGGGGAUAAAGAGGAGUAAUAAUAUACCCUCGUUUCGUCGUGAAAUGGCCGGAUGUGAUCGGAAAGCUCCUCGAAAAUCACAGGUUCGUCGGAAAAAUGGGUGAGUUUUCCCCCGCGACGUUCCCGUCUUCAAAACCUUAAUAAAAACAAGAUGAAGCCCAUCAAACAUCAUGCAUGCAUCCUAAAAAACGAUUAAGAGGAGAUCCAAAGCUUACCCAACCGGAAAAUUUAAGAAAACUCGUCGGAGGUUCUUUUCCUGGGUUCGCCGAGUUGCGCAGAGACGAGAGGAAGAGGAAAGGGACGAGGUUUAGAUGGCGAUUGUGUCUUCCUCGAGCAGGGAGUGCAGCUGGGUGUGUGAGUAUGUCUCGGUGAAGAGAAGGAGAGAUGAGGGAAAUGAGAUGCCGGGGGACAAAGAGAGAGACGUCAUGAUGAUGAUGACGAUGAUGACGUCGUUGACGUCGGGGAGGGUGGUGUGGUACUCUCGAGUGUGGGUCGAUGGGUGAGAGAUCGGGGAGUGAGGGAGAGAGAGACGAGAGUGAGAUGUCAGGGGACAGAGAGAGAAUGAGGUUUGUUUGAGGAAGUUUAGGAAUCUGGAUAAAGGGUCCAGAUUUAGUCAAGCUAGGGGACCAAAAUGAUCAAUUCAAUACAACUUUGGGAAAAUACAAAAUUACAUAUAAGUUCAGGGGUGGUGUCACGCCCCAAUUCCUACAUACGUCCAAGAUUGACACGUGACGUUACCAAAUACCCGUAUCAUUCACAUACCCCGCCUCCGGGAUAUGGACAAUGCACAACUCAAGAUUCGAAUUUCGUGAUAAUUUUUCUUAUACUUUAUGGCUGCAUCUAAUAUCCUCAUUAGACUGCCUACGUACCCUCAAAAUGGAUCAAGCCAUUCGUAGUUCACCAAUCGUCAACUCUAAUCUUUUCGUAAAUACUUCUAACAGAAAACCAUAAUGCACCAUAUUACACAUCAACCUUAUGUCAAAUGACAAUUAUCAUCUUUCAUACAUGCAUGUAACCCAUUCUCACACAGAUACUUUCCAAUUCAUCCAUCAUAUAAAUCACUCUGUUUCACAGAAUACCGCAAAUCAUAGUAUGUAACAUGUCAAAUAACCAACGAAGCACAAUGUUAUUCUCAAGUCACAUUAAUCAAUUACUCUAAGCAUAAUAAUCUCAAUCAUACCCAACGUCAUUCCACAAUCACAUCAAUUAAUUAAUCAUGAAUCAAAGAUACAUGAUCUUAGCAUUUAAUUGUUUAAUCAAUGAAUGCAGUAACAUAUCAUUUCACAAAUUUAACCAAGGAACUCUAACAACUCCAAAUGAAUCACCCAGACAUCCAACGAUUCGUCUGAAACAAAUCACAACAGCUCAUAAUCAUAAUCCCAUACAACACCAUGAAAAGUAGGGCUAGAGCGACACAGUUCAGCCGAAACCUACAUCUCUGAAGCUGAAAACAAAUCUAAGGGACCAAGACACCAAAGGGAUUCCGGACCACUCAACGGAAUCUCGGAGUACUAUGCAUAUAGAACCGAACCAUAAGAUGAAAUACAAGCUGGAUACGAUUUCGGACCAUCACUCAACGGAAUCGCAGAAUAAAAAGGGAUUCCAGACCAUCACUCAACGGAAUUCAAACAAGCAUAUGAUUCCCCCAUCAAAUGUACCAAGUACAACUAAUCCUCCUGACUUCUAGAAUGCAUAUGGUCCCCCAACGCGGAUAUACCAAGCAGGACCAUUAGUGACCCCCAACACGGAUUAACCAAGCAGGGUCAAGAUAACCAAGUAGGUAGUGAGUCCUUAACACGGAUUAACCAAGCAGAGUCAUACCUACAGAAUUGUUAGGCAGUGAUCGCCCAAUGCGGAUUAACCAAGCAUGAUCACCCCUAAGUAUAAAUGGCCAUAAGGAUCGCCCAACUGGAUUAACCAAGCGCGAUCCAUAAAUAGUAUGGUCCCCCAAUGCGGAUAAACCAAGCAGGACCAACCAUGCACCACAUCUACAUGGUGCAGUCUCAUCAUCACACCUUAUACAUAAUUAUACACAUACAUGCUAUCGAUUCCGCAUAUCAACCAGCAUCUAGUCAUAUGGUGCACAACACAAGGAAUUCCCUCAAUUACUAAUUCUACUAAAAAUCUAAUAAAGUACCUAACUCAUCUCCUGACUUUCAUAUCCAUCUCAUGCUAGGUAAUAGUGCCAAGUUCAAAUAAGUAUUCAGUUGGCAAUCAUAUCCAAAUAAUUAUCAAACAAUAUUUAGAUCCCAUAAUUGUCAUAACGUUCUUCAUAAUUAUCAUUCACAUUAUUAAAAGUUAAUUAAACACAUAUAUAUCACAAACAUCAUCAAUACACAAGCCAAAUCAUAUUUAAUUAGCAUAGGUCUAUGGCUAAAUAUAUAAAAUUCACAUUUCAAUAGAAAUCAUAUUUAUAAGACCAAUUCAUAUUCACAAAUGAUACUAAUAUAAGAAAUUAAGAUAAUAAUCAUAUUUCAUAUAUUCAAGUCGCUAUCUAACCAAUGUAGGCCCACUAGACUUCAUGUAGUCCCCCGUAGUACUAAUUUUAGUAAUUAGGACGUUUCGAGACAUGUUGAUCAAAAGUCAACUUUCGGUCAAAGGUGGGAUCCACAAUUCAAUCCGGAAGAUCCACACAUUGAAUUUCAGAUCCGUAACUUUCCAAAGUCCACAUUAUUCUCAAAUAAAAACAUACUAAAAUCUCAACACGAUCCGACGGUCGGAUCUCCGCCAAUUUCAAAAUUCAAGUGGCGGUCGACAUUUAAUUUUACAAACUUAGAAAUCCAAUUAGGGAAGAUCCGUACGUCGGAUUUUCAAUCUGUAAGUUUCUAUGAUCUUAAAAUAUUAUGUUCUAUCAUGCAUUAAGGUUUGGUGACAAUCCAACGGUCAGAUCGUCGAAUCAUAUUUUUGACCUAACCACGUAUCGUAAUGAAAUUAGGUUCAAACAAUCAAACCAUAUCAUAAGGAUAUCAAUUAUGAAAUCAGGGCAUCUAAUUGAACUUAAAAGGACAUCGUCGGCCCACUAGCCAGGCCACUGCCGCACGCGCCGUCGCGGGUCACGGUCGGCCGCCCCGACUUGCCGGAAAAUUCAACUAUUUUUAAAAAUUACCAAAAAUUAUAAAAAUGAAGAUCUCAAAGAGUAGAACAAACUUUAUACCUGUGGCCAAGUCCAAUUUUGCCGGGAAACACUUCAAUUUCACUCAAACCCGCCUAAACCCUAGAAAAUGGUGUGCUUUGUUUCGGCUUCCAAUCGAACUCCGACGCCUCCAACACUGCUUGGGCUUUGUUCCUGGGGCUGAGGGAAGUCUUUUGGUGGUGGUCAUGGAUGGUGAAACUUGCCGGAGCCACCGGGAAAAUGGAUAAAGCCGCCGGAACACCCGUGAGUUUGUGACUUCGAACUGGAAAAAUGGGAAAGAAAUUGGGAAAUAUAACACUACCAGGAUGUAAGUCUCAUCAAGGGCUUUCCAUGGACACCAAGAUCACCCAAAACGAAGUUCGUAUGAAGGAGAUAUGGCUAGGUCAAAAAUGGUGGUUCGCGGGUCAAAAAUGACCCAAUUCGGCUCCCUCAUUUCCCAUCCUUCUCCUCCUCCUGAUUGGGCGAGCUCCUAACCUUUUAAAAAUCUGAUUGGUUCCCUCCCUCCUUUAACUGAUUGGUCCCUUAACCCAAAUAUCUGAUUGGGCCUCUUUCCAACAAAGUGGGAGUCUAAAUAAUUCAUAAAAUCUAUAGUAUCACAACUUCAAACGCCAGUAGCUAUACCGUUAUAACCCGGACUCACAAACGGCUUUCGCCUAUGCGUUCGUGAUCUUGAAAUCUAAUCAACAAUAUAAAUUGUGACCUCGAAUGGUCUACGGAUUUUAAAUAAUUAAUUUCCUGAAAAAUAAUAUAAAAACUCAAUAAUACCAAUACUUAGAUUAUAAUAAUGAAAUCCAGGAACGGGAUUUCACAGGUGGGGUUUAACAAAACCUUAAUUUCAUUAUGGUAUCAGAGCAUGUUUCUCUUGCAUGAAGCUGCACAAGCUCGCGCGUCAGUUUGUCCCACAACGGUGAAGGACAAGGUGAGAGCUAAGGGCUUACAUGGUCUUGGGCCACUCUCUAUUUUGCCAAUUAGUUUUAUAGUAGAGCUAUUGAGAUCUCUGCAACUAACUUGCAAUUUUGUAUUCUAUUCAUAUUUCUGUUUUUUUUUUGUCCAAAUUUUCUGUUCAUUGUUCAGUAUACAGAUAAAUAUUGAACUUAAUUUGUAUACAAUUUAUCAUUUGUCGCUGUUUUGUAGAAUUAAAUAUAAAGUUGUAAGGUUCUCUCAAAAUGUUGACAUCAUUUGUAUUUGGGAUUGGGCUGGAAAUUUUUUCUGAAAAUCCGAAACCAAACUAAAAAAAUCAUGAUUCCAUACUAAAAAAUGUCUAAACCAAUUAUACGGAAAUUUUUGGAUUCAUACCGAACCGAUCCCAAACUUUUCAGUACGGGAAUCAAGAUUACAUAUUCAAUGGUUCGGGAAUGCUGAAUCGAACCAUAUAUAUAUAUAUAUAUUUAUUUAUUUAUUUUGGUUGCAUGCAUAUUGAAUGUUGAAUUUAAGUAAUUUGAUAGUAGACUAUAUUAAAAAUGGGUGUGAUAUCCACACACCUCAUUUUACUUCUCUCACAUCUUUUUAAUUUUUGGCUGUCGGAUCGGAUGACUUGAAGAAGAUCAAAGGAUAGAAAUUAUCAAGGGUGUGUGAGAAGUAAAAUGGGAUGUGUGGAUAGCACAUCUUAUUAAAAAUAGAAGUAUGAAAUUAAGUUGUUUGGAAAUUUGGAAUGUCAAUUUGACUUGGUAUGAAUGAAUUGGUAUGAAAUUUCAAAUUGGUAUAAGAUAAAAAACCUAAAUUUCAAUUGAUAUGAAAUUGGGCAACAAAAUUUCAUGCUAAAAGCCCAAAUUUUAGUUGAAAUCUUCAAAAUCUCAAAUUUUAGCCCAAAAGCCAAAAAUCCAAAAUUCAGUCCCGAUCUAUCUCGAAAUAUUGAAAACAUUUCGGGAAUUCUAAAAAUUAAGAAUACCAAAAUUUCAGUUUAGGAUUUAUAUUCAAACUUACGUUUCGAAAAUUUUCAAUUUGAGAUUCAGAAUCCUAUUUUUUAUUCGGGACUCCAUAUCAAAAUACCACUAUGAAAAAAAAAACAAAAAAAAAAAACAAAAAAAAAAGUAAAAGUCAAAAGGUCGCAACGAAGGUAAAGUUAUGAAUCGAAGCUCUGAACUCUCUUCCCCACUAAACUAGCCAGACUCGCUCUUCCCAGUCCCUCACUAUUACUCUCACUGAAAUCAACUUUCUUCUCUUCUCUUCUUCUUUAUCGUGUUCCCGUGCAGAGAAUGGCAGGAGAAGAAGGCCACGCAAUCGGGAUUGAUCUGGGGACAACGUACUCGUGUGUAGCAGUGUGGGAGCACGACCGUGUGGAAAUCAUAGUGAACGAUCAGGGUAACAGGACCACUCCAUCUUGUGUUGCCUUCACUGAGACUGAGCGAUUGGUUGGUGAUUCAGCCAUCAACCAGGUCAUCAGGAACCCCACAAACUCCAUUUUUGGUGAGCUCCUCGUUUAUCUGCUACUAAUUUAACAGUAUUUACGGAGUAGGUUCAUGGAAAAAGCUUAUACAUAUGCUUAUUUUUUAAGAAAAACUAUUGAAAAUUGCUUGAAAAUUUUGAGUCUUGAUAAUAAGGAUAAAAUAAAAAGUAAAAUAAAUAGUAUCAUGAUUGAUUUUUUAGACAAAAUAAAAAGUAAAAUAAAUAGUAUCAUGAUUGAUUUUUUAUUGUAAAAAUAAACAGUAAUGGAAGCUUUUAAUUAAACCUCCUAAUUUUUUAUGAUCAUGUUCAUAUAAUGGUAUUUUUUAUAUUUUUAACACAACAAAAAUAUUAUGAAGUUGAUUUAAAACUAUCGUUGCAGUGUAUUUCUUCGUUAAGACAAAUGCAGAAUAUUCUUUGGCGAUGUUUAUUCCACAAACGCAUAUCACUCUGCAAUUCAACCUUUCUGUUGUAAAUCUUAAUCCAUUAUAUGAAUUAUAUUAUUGUAAAGCAAAAAUGUGAAGAAACUUGUUUCAAAUAUUCGAGUAACUUGUCUUACCGACCAACAUAGAAAUUGCAACUUAUUUAUAUGCUGUUUGUGUAACAUAGAGUUGGGUAGCAGUAUAACACUGUUGAUUAAACCAAGUAAGUCAUUGUGUUGUUUUUGAUAUAUGACCUUUUGCUUCUCAGCUAUUUUUCUUUCUUGGAAUGGUUCUUUAAUUUAGUCAUUUAUUUGCAGAUGCAAAGAGGUUAAUUGGUAGGAGAUUCAAAGAUGCCACUGUUCAAAGUGAUUUGAAGCUUUGGCCAUUUAAAGUCAUUAAAGGUCCUGGCGGCAAGCCCUUGAUUGUGGUCACCCAUGACGGACAAGAAAAACAGUUUGCUGCCGAAGAAAUUUCAGCCAUGGUUCUAGCGAAAAUGCGGGAGAUUGCUGAGGCCUACCUCAAUUCCACUGUAAAGAAUGCAGUUAUCACUGUCCCUGCUUACUUCAAUGAUUCACAACGUCAGGCUACAAAACAUGCUGGAAGCAUUGCUGGCCUAAAUGUGAUGCAUAUCAUCAACGAACCAACUGCUGCAGCGAUUGCUUAUGGCAUUGACAAGAAGGCUGGUUGGUAUAGCAAGAGAAAUGUGAUGAUAUUUGAUUUAGGUGGUGGUACUUUAGAUGUAUCACUACUUACCAUAGGUGAUGGUGUGUUUCAAGUGAAGGCCACAGCUGGAGACACUCACCUUGGAGGAGAAGACUUUGAUAACAAAAUGGUGGAUUUUUGUGUUGAGCAAUUCAAGAAGAAGCAUAAUGUGGACGUGAGUGGAAACUCUAGGGCACUCAGGAGGUUAAGAAAUGCAUGUGAGAAAGCAAAGAGGAGGCUUUCAUUUACUUCAGCCACUGACAUUGAAAUCGACUGUUUGUAUGAGGGUACUGAUUUCUAUACAACUAUUACCCGUGCCAAAUUUGAGCAACUGAAUAUGGAUUUCUUUAACAAGUGUAUGGAGCCAGUCCAGCAGUGUUUGAAGGAUGCCAAUAUGGAAGUGAGCAGUGUCCAUGAUGUUGUUCUUGCCGGUGGAUCUUCUAGAAUUCCCAAAGUGCAGCAACUAUUGCAGGAUGUGUUCAAGGGGAAGCAGUUGUGCAAGAGUAUCAAUCCGGAUGAGGCAAUUGCGUAUGGUGCCGCUGUUCAAGCUGCAGUCUUGAGUGGGAAUGUGAAUGGGAAUCUUCAGGACUUUUCUAUCUUGGAUGUCACACCUCUGUCACUUGGGGUGGAGGUUACAGAAAAUCCUGUCAUGAAAGUUGUGAUUCCAAGAAACAGCAGGAUUCCCAUCAAGAGGAACACGACUCUAGUUACUCUCUAUGACAAUCAAAAGUCGGCGUGGUUCCCCAUUUAUGAGGGUGAGAGUACAAACACCAAAGAGAAUAAUUUUCUGGGUGAAUUUGUUCUCGAGGGUAUUCCUCCAGCUCCAAAGGGUGCUGCUAAAUUCGAUGUUUGUUUCAGUAUUGAUGCCAACGGUAUUCUAAGUGUCUCUGCUGAGGAUAAGUCUACCGGCCAGAGGAAAGGGAUUACAAUCAUGAGUGCUAAAGACAUAAGGAACUUUGAAGGGAUUGAGUUAGUGAACUGAUUAAGAAGCCUGGUUCUAGAACUGAAUUAGGACAUAUAAUAUAAAAUUAGCUUUACGUUUUAAUUUUUUGAGUUGUUUUAUCUUUAUUGGAAUAUAAAUGAAUCUAUAAGUAAAACAUACAAAGUAUAUAAGCCUGUGGAAAAGUUGUCGGUGGCCAUGGCCAUUGCAGGCCUCUACUUCAGUCCGCCCCUGACUUCUAUCAAUGUAUGUUAAAUUUACUUGUAUAUGGGUGUGUCUUGGCAAGUGGCAACUGUAUCGAUUUUGUGUAUUCAAAGACAAAAAAAAGAUAGCAUUUUACGAAAAUUAAUACAUCCAACAUGUUUAGGGAUUGUUACGGGACAAGUUAGUCCUUUCUUGCAGUGUGUCAGCGUGACCAUGCUGGACUUCAAUUGGAUAUUAUAAGGCCCUUGCAUUUUUAUUUUUUUAACGAACGAUAUUAUCUAUACCGGAAGGUGUAAACUUAGUCUCACAAUAAGUUAGCAAUAAGAUGAUACAAAUUCGUCUUUGACAAAAAUCGAACCUAAGACCUCUCACUUAAGUGAAGAGGAAUACUACUAACCAUAAUACUAAGUUAAAUUUAUAAAGUAGUAAGGUUGUGAAAUCUCGUUCUUGGAUUUCACUGUUAUAAUCUACGUAUUUGUAUUAUUGGGAUUUUACAUUAUUUUUCGGGAAUUUAUAUUAAUUUAUUUGAAUUUAGAUUUUAAUUAAACUAAUUACGAAGUUUGAAGUUUGGAAAUUAGUUAUUUAAAAUCCGUAGGCCUUUCGAGGUCACAAUUUAUAUUUUCGAAUAGAGUUCUAUCUUACGAACGCGUAGCCACAAACCGUUUGUGAAACGGAGUUAUAACGAAGAAGUUAUUAACGUUCUCUAGAAUGCUCCAGAUUUUCUGGAGUACUAAGAUUGUGCCAUGUGUGUGGCUGGGGUGGAAAGGAAAGAAGAGAAAUGAGAGAGAUAAACGGCUGGGAUGAAAUUUAAAGGAGAAAUAAAAAGGGAGGGAGGUCGGCCUAUGAGAAGGGGGAGGGAAAAAAAUAAACCAAUAAGAAAAGAGAAUAGGGAGGGAAAGGAGAGAGGUGGGAAAACACCCAACCAAGACUUUAUCUCCUUUACCCAAUUUCAAACCCCGACUCGGUUUCUUGACCCGGUUGUAUCUCCUCCGUCCGACGUCCGAUUGAGGUGAUUUUAGUGUCUAUGGAAAACUCUCGGUGAGCCCAGCAUUCUGUGGUAUUAUAUUUCUCAAUUUCCAACCCAAUUUUACAAACCAAAGCCACAAAAGUCCACGAUAUUCUGGCGGUUUUCUCAUUUUUCCGAUGAUUUCGACAACGAUUACCGUCGAUCGCCACCACCAAUAGAAUCCCCUCAACCUCAAGAACAAAGCCCAAGCAAGGGUGGAGGUGUCGGAGCUCGUUUGGAAGCCGAAUCAAAGCACACCAUUUUCUAAGGUUUCCGGCCGUCCAAGGAUGAUUUCAGGUGUUUCCUGGUUGAAUUGGACUUCGGCCCAGGUAUGAAAAUUGCUCCCCUCAUUGAGAUCUACAAAUCUGUAAAUUUUGGUAAAUUUUGGAAAUAGUUGAAUUUUCCGGCGAGUUAGGGCGAACCUGACCUUCCUAGGCUAAUUUGGAUGUCCUGAUUCCGUAUUUGACAUCCGUUUAGUGAAAUUCCGAUGUUUUAACAUAGUUUCGUAAUUGAUCGCCUAGUUAGUCGUCACUUGAUUAUAAUAUGAAUUGACGAUCAGACCGUUAGAUCGACACGAAACUUUAAUACGUAAUAAUACAUAAUAUUUGAAGACCUUAAGAACUUACGGAUCGGGAAUCCUACGUAUUGAUCUUCCCGAAGUGGAUUUCUAAGUAUGUAAAUUCAAAGGUUGACCGCCACUUGAAUUUGCGAUUGGUGGAUAUCCAACCGUUGGAUCAUAAUGAAAUUUUACUAUGUAGUUCUAGAAGCAUAAUGUGGAAUUUGGCAAUAGGGUUGGGUUCGAUUUUUUUCCAAAAACGAAACUGAACCAAAAUUUCGGUUCGGUUCAUUUUUUUUUCGGUUCAGUUUCGAUUUUGGUUUUUUUUUUUCAAAAAAUGAAAAAAAUUGAAAUCUUAAACCAUGGCAAGUUUUUCCUCUAACUGGGUAAUAAAUCUGCUUUCCAUCUUUUCCAUAACCAUCCACAAACAAAGUCCAGGUCUUAUCAGUGUUGCCCAAUAGCUUCUCAUGCUUCUCCGUGUAAAUCUCCAGCCUAUCACCCUCCUCCAGCGUUAUACCUUUCAUGUACGAAGCCUCACCCUUCCUCAACACAUGCACCUCUGCGUAGCUCACUGGUGUAUGGUGUCGCAUUCUUCAAUCUGAACCCAUAAACCAUUUUCAUAAGGAUUCGACGUAAUCAUGAACCCAUAAACCAAAUCAUGAAAAAAGCAAAAGAAAUCAACUUUAACAAAAUUGAAGUAAAAGUAACUAAGAACCCAAUCCACAUUCUCCAAAAUCAAGUACCAAAAAGUAUGCACAAUCAGAAACAGCUCCAAACCAACCACAAUCAUAGAACAGAAUUGGUCGAAUAAAGAUUCGAUCUUUAAAGCAAAAACGUGGGUAAUUUUUCAAAAUUUGAGAACCCAUCAAACAUUCAAAACCAGAAACAGCAAAACAUCCAUCAGAAUCAGAGACCCAUUUGGUUAAAUAUUCUAAUUUCUAAGGGCAAAUAAUGUUCAUAAUCCAAGAAGUUAAAAUAGGGCAUGGAAAGAUUACCUAGAAGAACGACGAGUGGGUCCUAGUGACCGAAUGGAAGAGGGUCCAGAUGGCGUCGUACUUCGGUCGGAAUAGCUCUUCGUUGAUUUAGUCGACUGAAAGUUAGAUUUGAGCUAAAGAGAGAUAUCAACGAUGCCGAGCUUUUGCAUUCUUUCGCAGUUUUCUCUAAUUCGAUCUUCUCUAGACUGCUCGUACAGAGACUUGGGGAUUUGGGGGUGCUCAUUGUUGCUUCGAGGGUUAGGGUUUGCUGAGGAUUCUAGGGCAACCGUCUUCAUUCCCAGAGUUGGCAUUUGAAUUAUCUUUCUCUCUCUCUCUCUCUGAUCAGUCUCGCGGGUGUGGGUGUAGGUGUUGGAGAGAGAGAGGCUGAGAAAUCAGUUGAAAGAGGAGAUGAAAUGGGAGUAAAUGGGAUGGCUAGGGUUUUAUGUUUAGAAAUCUUAUAAAGAAUUAAAGAUUCAGAAUUAGUAUAAAUAUUUUACUAAUACGAUUAUAGCAACACAAAGCUUGUUGUCAAGUUGGUUGAAGCAAACACUCUCAACCUGGAAGUCAGGGGUUCGAAACACUUGGCCUCUAGAUUUUGAGUAUUUGUUACAAAUUUAUAUAAUUAAUAAAUUAAAUAAAAAUCGGUUCAGUUUGGUUCGGUCUGGUUUCUGGACCAUCAAACCCGAAACCGAAUCAACCUAUUUCGAUUCGUUUAGGUUCACUUAGUUCGGUUCGGUUUGGUUGUCGGAUCAAUUUUUUAAACCCACCCCUAUUUGGCAAGUUAUGGAUCGGAAAUCUGAUAGGCGGAUCUUUCGGUUUAGAUUUAUAGGGUUGUGGACCCUACUCUCGAUCUUGAUCGAUAGUUGACUUUUUAGUCAACUAGACCGAGUUAUUCUAGCGUGUCGUUUAUCUUAGAGUGUUGUUGAGAACUCAUGGAGCUUAGUGGGCUCAUCGUGUUGACGUGUCUUCCUUGGUUGACGUGCACCUUAAUUUACUUACUAGUGACUAUAAUAUAUGUGAUUUUUAUUGAAUUGUUAUUUUUACUUAGCCAUCAUUCUAUGUUUUUUAAUUGUGAUUUGACUGUGGAUUGGAAAUAUUCAUGAAAUGUGAUUUGACGUGCAUGUUUGAAAUGUGGUUUGUGUGGUAUGAUAGGCAUGAUGUGAUGAAAUGUGAGGGCUAUAAGUGGACCGUUGACCCAUUGUCAUGGGGUUUGUUGCUUCGACACUUGUUUCACGUCUUGUUUCCUUAUUUCACUUUUUGUUUCGUUCAACCCUUCUAAAUUGAGUACUUGGUUCUUGUAUUGUUUCUUCGAGCCUUUGUUAUAUUCCUUGGGCUUCCACUCGGUUCCGUUGAGUGAUCCGAAACUGGGUAUCCGCUGAAGUUCUGUUGAGUGGUCCGGUUCCCUGCUUUGUUUGGAUUCCGUUGAAUGGUCCGGAAUCCCUCGUGAUUCACGAUUCCAUUGAGUGGUCCAGAAUCGUAUGUAGCUUAGAUUUCAUUGAGUGGUCUGAUAUCUAUUGUACUCCGCGAUGCCGUUGAGUAGUCUGGAAUCGUAUCUACUUGGAUUUCGUUAAGAAGUCCAUAAUCUCUUCUACUCCGCGAUUCCGUUGAGUGGUCCGGAAUCAUAUCCUGGUUUGGAUUCCGUUGAGUGGUCUAGAAUCCUUUUUGGUGUCUUGGUUCCGUUGAAUGGUCCGGAAACUGAUGUUGAUGGAUUUUGUCGAGUGGUCUGAAAUCGCAUCAUUUGACUCAUUGAUUCCUUGGAUUUGAUUUAUUUGAGACAACUUUUGAGAUGUAGGCUUCGGCCGAACUGUGUCGCUCUAGUCCUGCAUUUCAGUGUAUUGUAUGUGUUAUUGAUUGAUAUGGUUAUGAUGUUGGUUAUGAUUAGACUCGUUGACCAAUAUGACUAGAGAUUAUUAUUGCGCUUCGUCGAUUGUUCCUUGAGAUGAUGCAUGCUCUGAAUUGUGUAUUAUGUUAAGACAUGGUGAUUAUGAUGAUUGUUCGAGUGUGGUGAAGGACGAACUACGAAUGGCUGGUUCUCUAUUUAGGGUACAUAGGCAGUCUAACGAGGAGGUUAGAUGUAGCCAUAAAGUAUAUGAAAAAUUACUAUGUGAUUCGAUUCUCGAGUUGUGAUUUGCCAUAUCCCGGAGGCGGGGUAAGUUAGAGAUACAGGUAUUUGAUGACGUCACAUGUCGAGCCUGACAUGUUAUAAAGUAGUUAUCGUUUAGUGUUAUUUAUGUUUUCGUUAAACCUUAUUGUUUGUGCUUUGGUUACUGCACAAUUUGGCAUAACACAACGAGAAUUUUUCAGUGUGCGUAACAUGAGGCAGCCACAUGUAAUCAUACGAUUGGUGGAAAGUUCUAUUUUCAAGUCUCUCCUAUAAAAAAAAAUUAUGUGGCUGAAUGAUUAAUUUUCAUUGAUAUGUGAAUGAGUAUAUAUAACAUAACAUUCCUUGUAUAAGAAGAAGUCCUCCUACAAGUUAGGAGAACAAUUACAAUUUAAGUCUAACUAAUUUCUUAUUUGUCUAACACACCCCUUCAAGUUGGAGAAUGGAUGUUGAGAACUUCCAACUUGUGUAACAUAGUCGAAAACUUUUCCUUUCCAAGAGGCUUCGUAAAUAAGUCCGCUAGCUGCUGUGUUGUACCAACAUGCCGGGUAGUAAUGGUUCCAUCGUUAAUCUUAUCAUAGGAUUGGCAGCUAUAUGCAAUGCUGCUUGAUUAUCACAGAAUAAAAUAGACGGACCAUUUAAAGAAACAUUCAAAUCCUUCAAUGGAAACGACUUAGAACAUGUACAAGAUAGGUAAUAUUUGGUCAAGUUAUUGUGAAAUAAAUUAAUCGGCCUACUAGACGUUGAUACUUUUUAGGGUCCUUGAGGAGUUCCCCUUUGUCGGAUAGUUUUUAUCAUCCAUAGGAAAUGCAAUGGGCCGUGCUCCCAGAAAGUCAUAAUCCUUGAGGAUCUCCAAUGCAUAUGUACGUAUGAAAUAUACCAGAGAGGAAGGAACCAGUAGGGUUGGAGGAGAAAGAAGGUGCAGUGGCCAUUGGAGAGGGGAAGGCACGGCAAGAAAGGGGUGUCAAGGCACGGGUAGGAAUUAGGAAAAAUUAUAUAUUGGAAAGACUAGAGUUUUUACCAGGAAUAGGAAUGAUACCAUGUAGAAUUGUAACAUCUUAAUUUUAUUAAUCUCAUAAAGGUACAUGUAUUUACAAGUCAAUUGACUUGGAAUACAAAUAUUCAAGGCCCGGUAAUUACAAAACCUAGCCUAUGAGAAUUCUAAGUGGAUUCUCCAACACUAACAAGGAGUUCUUAUUAUAAAUCCUUGUAUAACAAGAACUCCUCCUACAGGUUAGGAGUACAAUUACAAUUCAAGUCUAACUAAUUUCCUAUUUGUCUAACAUCUCCAAUUAUAUAAAUACAUUUGGGUACAUAGAAAAAUCUCUCUAAAACGGGUCAUCAGAAAAUAAAUUUGAGACUAGUUGACCAAAUUUUUAAACCUCUAAACCUUUGGAGAGCGAAAGAUAAAUGAUUAUUCCUACCCAAGUAUAGAUCUAAGUUAUAAUAGACACCACUCUGAACUCUUUCUCUUCUCCGCUAAACUAGCCAGACUUACUCUCCCUAGUCCCCCACUAGUAUUACUCUCACUGUAAUCGUUUUUUUCUCUCUAUCUUCUUUGUCGUGUUCCCGUGCAGAGAAUGGCAGGAGCAGAAGGCAACGCAAUUGGGAUUGAUCUGGGGACAACGUACUCGUGUGCAAUGUGGGAGAACGACCAUGUGGAAAUCAUAGUGAAUGAUCAGGGUAACAGAACCACUCCAUCUUGUGUUGCCUUCACAGAGACUGAGCGAUUGGUUGGUGAUUCAGCCAUCAACCAAGUCAUCAGGAACCCGACAAACUCCAUUUUCGGUUAGAUCCUCGUUUAUGAGCUACUAAUUUGGCAGUAUUUUGAUGGAAAAUGGUUAAAUGCUUAUUUUUUAUGGUCAUGUUCACAAAAUAUAUUUUUUAACAAAAAAAGCUACAAGUAUAAACAGUAUGAAGUUGGAUUGAAACUAUCGUUGCAGGAUAACACUUUUGAUUAAAGCAAAUAAGUCAUUGUGUUGUUUUUGAUAUAUGAUCUAUUGCUUCAUAGCUGUUUUUCUUUCUGGGAAUGGUUUUUAAUUUAGUCAUUUAUUUGCAGAUGCGAAGAGGUUAAUUGGUAGGAGAUUCAAUGAUGCCACUUUUUAAAGUGAUUUGCCUACUUCAAUUCCACUGUGAAGAAUGCAGUUAUCCCUGCUUACUUCAAUGAUUCACAACGUCAGGCUACAAAAAAUGCUUGCAGCAUUGCUGGCCUAAAUGUGAUGCGUAUCAUCAACGAGCCAACUGCUGCAGCGAUUGCUUAUGGCAUUGACAGGAAGGCUGGUUGGUAUAGCAAGAGAAAUGUGAUGAUAUUUGAUUUAGGUGGUGGUACUUUAGAUGUUUCACUACUUACCAUAGGUGAUGGUUUGUUUCAAGUGAAGGCCACGGCUGGAGACACUCACCUUGGAGGAGAAGACUUAGAUAACAAAAUGGUGGAUUUUUGUGUUGAGCAAUUCAAGAAGAAGCAUAAUGUGGACGUGAGUGGGAACUCUAGAGCACUCAGGAGGUUAAGAAACGCAUGUGAGAAAGCAAAGAGCAGGCUUUCAUUUACUUCAGCCACUGACAUUGAAUCGACUGUAUGUAUGAGGGUACUGAUUUCUAUACAACUAUCACCCGUGCCAAAUUUGAGCAACUGAAUAUAUUGGCGUGAGUCUAUAUUUUAAGAGAAAAGGAAUGUAAAUAUUUUGUAAUUAUUAGAGUCAUGUUUUAGGAAGGAUAUUGUAUCCUUUAUUAUUUUUUGUUUCCUUUUGUAACAAGGAUUGUAUGUCAUUUUAUUCAGGAUUAUGGAAUAUAGAAAAGUUAAGCCGUAAAAUUCUAUUUGGCAUCAGAGCCAAGAUUGCCGUAACCCUAGAAACUGUAAAACAAUAUUUUCUUCCACUGCUGUGUUUGGUCGACUUGUUCUUGCGCUGCUUGUUGCAGAAAUCGAUCAGGCCAUGUAUAUUGGAUUUGCAGCAGUGUGAUCUUGUUGCUGCUGUGUGUGGUGUUGUGCUUUUCUAAGUGUACCGUGUAUUGACUUGCAGUGUGUAGUUGUUUGCUGCUUGUCUGCUACCAUACAAAUACUUGAGGCUGCUACGGUAUUGACUGUGUUCUCCAAUUAGAGUUGUUGCGUGGAAAGUUGUGAUGUGCUACCACCUUAUUUUUUGUAUUGUGUGAAUUUCGUGAGCGUGUUUUCUUUGCCGCGAUCUUCUAGUGCUGCAGUCUGCAAUUGUUUCGUAAUUGCCUUGAUUGGUUGUUGCUUUGUUGACCAAAACAAACAAAACACAAAAAAAUAAGAAAAAGAAAGUAAAGGUAUUUGCUGCUGCAAUCAAGCAGCAAGAAUUAAUUCAUCAAGUGGGUUGUUCCCAUUCUACCUUGGUUUUUUUUACUGCUUGCUGUGACGUGAGCAAUGCUUGUGCAGUGUGGUUGUGCGUACUUGCUGUUUUGUCUGUGAUGCGCAGUGUGUAGAGACUGAUGUGCAGGUGUUAUUACAAUGACCAAUACCAGUUGGAUUUUAGAUUCCGAUGCAACAGAUCAUAUGACGUAUGAUAGAACUUUGUUUCAAUCCAUGAAAGAUCCUUAUAGAAAGUGUGUGGCAACUGCCAAUGGUACUACUGUUGUUGUUGUUGGAGCGGGAACAAUGUCUCUUACACCCUCUCUUUCUCUUCCUUUACAUAAUUGUUUAUUGGUUCCAUCGUUGUCCCAUCACUUAUUGUAUAUACCUUAAGUCACUGAACAAUUGGAUUGUGUUGUAUUAAUAUAUCCUUCUUUUUGCUUGCUUCAGGAUAUUCAGACAAAAGAGAUCAUUGAGCGUGGCAUUAAGAGAUAGGGGUUAUAUUAUGUGGAUGACGUGGUUUCUGGAAGAGCUAAUUUGGUUCAUGCAUCACGUAAUAGUAAUCUACAUAAGGUAUUGUUAUUGCAUCGUCGUUUGGGGCAUGCAUCGUUUGGUUAUUUGAAACAUAUAUUACCUGAUAUGUUCAGUGGUAUUGAAGACUCAGAAUUGAAAUGCGAAGUAUGUAUUUUAGCCAAAAGUCAUCGUGCUUCAUUCCCUCCAAGUAUGACUAGAAGAUCUUCUCUGUUUGCGCUAGUACACUCUGAUCUGUGGGGGCCUUCCCCUGUUAGUACUACUACAGGAAUUAGGUGGUUUGUUACUUUCGUGGAUGAUUGCACUCGUAUGACGUGGUUGUAUGUGUUGAAAAAUAAAAGUGAGGUUUGUGAUGUGUUUCGUUUGUUUCAACAGAUGGUUAAGACUUAGUAUUCUUCUGAUAUUAAAGUUUUGCGUUCUGACAAUGGUGGAGAGUACAUAAAUUCUGAGUUAUCUCGGUUUCUACAAAAUCGUGGAAUUAUUCAUCAAACUACAUGUCCGCAUACUUCGCAACAAAAUGGGGUUGCUGAGAGGAAAAAUCGUCAUAUCUUGGAAACUGCUCGUGCCUUGCUUAUUGGUGCAUCCGUACCUAAACGGUUUUGGCCUGAAGCCGUUACCUAUGCCGUGUAUGUGAUUAACCGUAUGCCAUCCCGGGUUGUGGACUUUCGUACACCUCUCCAAGUGUUGACAGAAUUUGUUCCCGUAGUGUCCACUAAUACUCUCACUCCUCGUGUGUUUGGAUAUGUAGCCUAUGUUCAUAUUCACAAGAUUCAUUGUAGUAAAUUAGAUCCAUGUGCUCUCCGGUGUGUCUUUCUUAGGUUUACUCCCCAAUAGAAAGGGUAUAAGUGCUACCACCCUGAAACUCACCACGUGUAUGUGACCAUGGAUGUUAUUUUCUCGGAAUCCGAGUAUUUUUAUGCUUCGAUUCCAUCACCUUCUGAUCACCAGGAGGAGAAUACUAAUGGUGAUCUUAGGUGGUUGGAGAUACCAGAUAAUGUACUAUGUAGCUCAGGGGGAGCGUGUGUUGAAAACAAAAAUUGUGAAGGCUCUCGGCAAGAGAUUGUCAAGAAUGAAUACAGUGAAGACAGUGAGGGUUCUCGGUAACAGCCUGUCAAAAAUUGGACUAUUGUUCAGCUGCCAAGCACCGAAACAGUUGAUGCUUCUCGGCAACAGUCUGUCGAGUAUGAUGCAGAGUAUCGGCAGGAGUCUGCUGAACCCGAACCCGUACCCCCUCUCUCUAGCUCAAUAGUGCCACCCAAAAUGUCUUCUCUGAAUAUUCCUGAGGUAAGUAAAACUAAUGCUCAUGUAACUAAUCCGGAUAAUAUUAUGAGUACGUAUAAGUUGCCGCCAAGGCAAAAUCGUGGUGUUCCUCCUGACAGGUUUUCUCCUAAAGGAAAAGUGAAGUAUCCAAUAGCUAAUUAUGUGUCAUGCUCGAACCUUGCACCAAAAGGUCAAGCCUGGGUGAAUAAUGUGGAAGCAAUCCAAGCACUAACCCGAGUUGAGGAGGCCUUGAAGGAUCCUAAAUAGGCUGCUGCAAUGGAUGAAGAAAUGAUGGUACUGCAUAAGAAUGAUACGUGGGAGGUAACGGAGCUACCGAAAGGAAAAAAACCGGUCGGGUGUAGAUGGGUCUUUACAAUUAAAUACAAGGCAGACGGAUCAGUGGACAUGUAUAAAGCAAGGUUAGUAGCAAAGAGUUAUACACAAACUUAUGGUGUUGAUUAUCAGGAAACUUUUUCUCCAGUAGCGAAGAUGAAUACAGUACGAGUCCUUAUUUCUUUAGCUGCAAAUUUGAAUUGGCCACUGAAACAGUUUGAUGUGAAAAAUGCUUUUCUUCAUGGGUACCUGAAAGAAGAAGUAUAUAUGGAUUUUCCUCCGGGGUAUAAUGCCAGAAGGAAAACCGGAGUAUGUAGGUUGCAAAGUCACUUUACGGGCUUAAGCAAUCACCUAAUGCAUGGUUUGGUAGAUUCACUCAAGUUAUGAGGAGGAUUGGGUAUUAUCAAAGUCACUCUGAUCACACGUUAUAUGUGAAACAGAGAAGUGGUAAAGUGAUGGCCUUGAUUAUUUAUGUGGAUGACAUGAUAAUAACAGGUGAUGAUUCGGAUGAGAUGAUGAAAUUAGAAAAAAGUCUUGCCGUUGAAUUUGAGAUGAAGAAUUUGGGAGAUUUGAAAUAUUUCCUUGGAGUGGAAGUCACCCGGUCAUCUAAAGGUAUUUUCUUAUCUCAAUGUAAAUAUGUUCUGGAUUUAUUAAAGGAAACAGGCAUGCUGGGAUGUAAACUUGUGGACACUCCCAUCACAGAGAAACAUUAAUUGGGGAUUUAUCCAGAUCAGGAACCGGUUGACAAAGGUAGAUAUCAAAGGCUAGUGGGGAGGCUGAUUUAUUUGUCUCACACGCGUCCGGAUAUUGCCUAUGUCGUAAGUGUGGUUAGUCAGUUUAUGCACUCACCAAGUGUGGAUCAUAUGGCGGCAGUAAUGAGAAUCUUGGCAUACUUGAAGUCUGCCUUGGGAAAGGGAAUUUUGUAUGAACAUCAUGGACAUAUGAGGAUCGAGGGAUUUACUGUUGCUGAUUGGGCAGGUGAUGUUACUGACAGACGGUCUACAUAUGGGUAUUUCACAUUUGUUGGAGGUAAUUUAGUUACGUGGUGGAGUAAGAAGCAGAAUGUGGUAUCACGGUUCUCUGCCGAAGCCGAGUAUAGGGGUAUGGCACAUGGUGUGUGUGAGAUCCUUUGGCUACAAAAGUUGCUUUGGGGUCUUGGUUUUACACAGAAAGAGGCGAUGAAAUUGUAUUGUGACAAUAAGUCUGCUAGAGAAAUAGCUGAGAAUCUGAUACAGCAUGACAGGACCAAGCAUGUUGAGGUUGAUAGACAUUUUAUCAAAGAAAAGCUGGAAAAGAAGAUUGUGUCAAUACCGUUCGUGAACUCAAAGGAACAACUUGCGGAUAUCCUUACUCAUGAUGUGUGUAGUAGGAGGUUCGAUGACUUACUUAUCAAGUUGGGCAUGUAUAACAUCUAUGCUCCAACUUGAGGGGGAACAUUGGCGUGAGUCUAUAUUUUUGGAGAAAGGGAAUGUAAAUAUUUUGUAAUUAUUAGAGUCAUGUUUCAGGAAGGAUAUUGUGUCCUUUAUUAUUUUUUGUUUCCUUUUAUAACAAGGAUUGUAUGUCCUUUUAUUCAGGAUUAUGGAAUACAUAAAAGUUAAGCCGUAAAAUUCUAUUUGGAUUUCUUUAACAAGUGUCUGGAGCCAGUAGAGAAGUGUUUGAAGGAUGCCAAUAUGGAAGUGAGCAGUGUCCAUGAUGUUGUUCUUGCCGGUGGAUCUUCUAGAAUUCCCAAAGUGCAGCAACUAUUGCAGGAUAUGUUCAAGGUGAAGCAGUUGUGCAAGAGUAUCAAUCCGGAUGAGGCAAUUGCGUAUGGUGCCGCUGCUCAAGCUGCAGUCUUGAGUGGGAAUGUGAAUGGGAAGCUUCAUGGCUUUUCUCUCUUAGAUGUCACACCUCUGUCACUUGGGGUCAAGGAAGAAAAUAUCGGUAAUAUCGGAAAUAUCGGUAGUUCGAAAACACGGAAAUAUCGGGAUAAUAUCGAUAUCGAUAAAAAUUACAUGGAAACCACGGAAAUUGUAAGAAAAACUUGGAAAUUUUUAUUGAAACUUUGCAGGAUGUUUAUUUAGUCAAUUAUCUAUUAGUUUAUCACAAAAAAUUGAAAGGAAAUGUAUUGCAUGAUGGAUUUAACAUUAUCAAGUUGAUUAUAUAGCGAGCUGGCAAACAUGAUGGAUUUAAAGGAUGUUUAUUUAACUGAUUUGAGGUGACCCAACCACACACACACAUACACGCCACCACACACGCACACAUGUUAUGAAUCCAGUGACAGUUACUGGGUUCACCCUUCAACCUCUGCGAGCUUAUCUUUUCUUCUCUCUUCUUCUUUUUUGUUUAAAAAAAAAUUAUAAUAAUUGUUCUUUUACAUUGGUAACUGUAAGGUUUUAAUUUCGAUUCUCAUUAAAAACAAGUUUGAAGGAUAUUAUUACUAGUCCAUUGUGAUGCUUAGUCCACUCCCCCACUCCCUUAAUGUAGAUACUACUGUUUUUUUUUAUUAUUUAAGAAAAUUGAUAUAACCCCUUUCAUAAUGAGGGGUACCCAAGAAGAAAAGAGAAUCUUUCACACCUUUAAAUUUAAAAUUUACCAGCAAAGGUAUUAAAUCCAAAUACACUUUCCUCCUAAAAAAUUGUUCUCAAAGAAAAAAAGGCAUAUGGGCAUGCAGUUGCAUGUGGUGUUGAAUUUCUGAUUAUAUUACACACGCACACAACACACGCACGCACACAACGCACGCACAAGUCUCUCUCGAUCCUUCUUCUCUCUUCUCAUUACACACGCACACAACACACGCACACACACAACAACCCACAGAGAGACUCCUCAGUCUUUCUCGAUCUUCUUCUCUCUUCUCUCCCUUCUCCCUUCUCCCACACACAGACACAGAGAUCUGUUGAUCUCUCUUCUCCCUUCUCCCACACACACGCACAGAGAUCUGUCGAUCUCUCUUCUCCCUUAGCCUCGUCGGCGUCGUCUCUCUGGAAACUCUCAUUUCUCUCUGCACCGAGUCCGAGACCCACAUACACACACGCACACCAUUGCAUCUGCUUCAGGAAGACACCCAUCGUCAUCAUCAACCUCGUCUUUCUCCCUCUCAUUCUCGUCCCUGCAACUCGGCGAACGUAGGACUCCGGCGAGUUUCUUGAAUUUCUCCGGUUAGGUAAGCUUCGAUUUACCUCUUUCUGUUCCACAUUGGAGCUUAUAUGUGAAAUUUAAGUUCAAAAUCGUGUUUUUGCAAGGUUUUUGGGACGAAAUCGGCUCGAGUUCGCAUAGAUCCAUCUCCGGCGUUCUUCUCCGAGUGCCCAGUUCCAAAUCUAUCGCGAUAAUUUCGAAAAUAUCGCGAUAUUAUCGAUAAUAUCGCGAUAUUAUCACGAAACCCAUUUGGAUAGUUAUAAAAAUAUCGAUCCCCUUAAAAACCGAUAAUAUCGACGAUAUAUCGCCGAUAUUAUUGAUUUUUUCUUCCUUGCUCGGGGUUGGGACUGAGGAAAAGUUUUUCGAGAUGUGGGUUGUCAUCCCAAGAAACAGCAGUAUUCCCAUCAAGAGGAACACAACUCUAAGUUACUCUCUAUGACAAUCAAGUGUCCAUCAAUUUCCCCAUUUAUGAGGGUGAAAGUACAAACACCAAAAAUAAUAAUUUUAUGGGUCAAUUUAUGAUCAAGGGUAUUCCUCCAGCUCCAAAGGGCGCUGCUAAUGGGUGGUUUGGGAGUGAGGUGCUUAAAAAAAAAAACAUCCAUGAAAAAAAGCUGUGAGGGUUUUAGGUGUUUGGUAAACUGAAAAAAAAAGGCUUAUUUUGGAAGUUACUGUGAGAAUAAGCUGAAAUCAAAGGAAAAAGUUGAAGCUGCUAUUUACAACUUUGGAAAACUGACUUUUUUUCAAAGCACACGGAGCUACAGUGCUCCUUUAAUGAAAAGACCCACUAUCAGAUUGCUUUUUUUUCCAAAAGCACUUUUACAAAAAAGUUUACCAAACACUCUGUUGAUUUAUUUCACAGCUGCUUAUUCUCACAGUAGCUUUUUUUCAAAGCACAGUAAUACCAAACCAGCCCUAAAUUCAAUGUUUGUUUCAGCAUUGAUGCCAACAGUAUUCUAAGCCCCAGUUUGGCAUUGCGGUGCUUAAUUAAAAAGCAGUUUUUUUUUUAAAUUUUGGAUCCUUCAAACGUUUGGUAACUGAAAAAUAAAGCUGCUUUUUCUUGAAGCGCGGUGAUAAAAAGCAGAAAUCAGGAAGCUACUCUGACCGAGCUUUCAAAAACCGCAGAAAACUGCUUCAAAAUGAAGCAUGCAGAGUUACAGUGAAGUUUUAAUGAAAUUUUCUAAAGACCAAUAAUACCCCCACCUUUUUAACUAAAAGGACAUCCUUGUCCUCCAUCUCUGUAAUGUCCUCAAUUUCUCUUUGCUAAACACCACCCACCCACCCACCAACUCUGACCACCCCAGCCACCACACCUACCCCCUACUAACACCAUGACCACCUCUCCGAACCCACUGGUCAUUAAUUUUCACCCUUCAAGAAUGCAACCCACCAUAGCCGCAACCCACCUCCUGUAUUUUCUCUCGAAUCCACAACCGUUGCCAAAUUCAAAACUACUGCUAUGGACUCACCUUCAGCGACAGUGUGGAAGCCGUCGAAUCUGAUCAAUGACUGGUGAAUACUCGCUUCCAUCUUAGGGGGUGAUGAAGCCGUAGCCCUUGGUGUCGCUGAACCCUCACACCUUCUCGAAUUUUUUAGCUUCGUCAACUUUGAGUCGCUGAACCCUCACACUCCAAACCUUCUUAUCACCAAAUCUGCAUAUGCUUUUGUUGCAAUUACAUAAUCAAGCCCGGCCAAAUUUAGAAAAUAAAUUAUCAAAUUUGGGGAGAUCAUCUUGGUCUCGAGGGUGCUACGGUGGGGGAUGGUUGGAGGUGUGGAGAAGGGUAUGGAAGAUGUGGAAAGGGGAAGAGGGGGCAGAGAGAAAAUUGGAUGCUUCUAGCAAGAGUUACAUUAUGAAUAAAAAAGUAUAACAUCUAAUAUCAUACAUUUUUUCGUCAUUUAACAUCGUCACAGCAGUUUUAUAUAAAAGUUUAGCAAACACUUAAACAAUGUUUUUUUUAAAAAAAAAAAACACUUUUACAAAAAAAGUUACCAAACACUCUACUGCUUUUUUUACAGCUGCUAAUUUUCACAGCAUAACAGAAACAGUUUUUUUUUUUAAACACAACAAUACCAAACCAGCUCUAACUGUAUCUCUGCUGAGGAUAAGUCUACCGGCCAGAGAAAAGGGAUUUCAAUUAUGAGUGAUAAAGACAAAAGGAGCUCAGAAGGUAUCGAGGCAGUGAACUAAUUAAGAAGCCUAGUCCUAUAACUGAAUUAGGACAUAUAUUAUAAACCAGCUUUAAUUAAUUUUUGGAGGAGUCGUUUUAUCUUUAUUGGAAUAUAAAUGUUGGACAAAGACAAAGUUUCAGUUGAAUAGAUGGGAGCGAUUGCAUAACAAAAAUACAGCUGCAAAUGGUGUUAUGAGUUUUCACAGUUUCACUUACCAAAUUGGAGUUCUUCUCCCAUGGCAGAUUAUCCGAGACUGUAUCCCAUCUCACCCCAGUCACAACGUACAGUCUGCGCCUGGGACUCCUGAAUGCCCCACUUUCACUUCCUGAUCAAAUGUCCAACCUCCAAACUCCAAUGUUCUCCACCACCAAACCACCCCUUUUGGAACACCAUCGUCCACUGGUCAAAAGAAAGGGAUUGCAAUCAACAGUGACAGAAGAACUUUAGGAAUUGGGAAGAUGAGGUAAGAAAUGAUAAUUUGUGGCAUACAAAGGCUGAAACUAGCAUAUACGUUAUGUAAUCAAUUUGAUACUCUACAUGUUUAGCUGUAAGGUCGGAUGGUUUUGUUUAUGCCAGGUGAGCCGAAGCAUCCAAAGCGCUAGCCCUGGUUGUGUUGCUUUGGGCUUAAUCGAAAAAUUAGAGGAAGCAAAUAGUUUAUAGGCACUCCUUUUGCUUUCUUGUCAUGCAUCAUAACAUCAUUUUAUGUGCUGGUUGUUUUUGUUAUGAAAGAAAUCAUGUGUUGAGUUCUGUGAUCUUGCUACAGCUCAGUGCACGACGGGUUUAAUGAAAAAUUUGACAUAGAUAAACAACUGAUGUGUCAUGUUUGCUCUGUUUCAUGAAAUUUCUUGAGUCAUUACAAGAUUAGGAUUCUUUUUCUUCUUUAGUACGUUGGAAGUCAGAACUCCAAGAUGUUUGUUGCAAGACAACAGAAAUGGGUAUGUUACUGUUCUAUAGGAUCGAUGAUACUACUGUGACAAGGUUUAGCAACUGCUGAUAAUCUAAUCCAAAUCUUUGUAAAACAAAAUGUCAAUUUUAUAAAUUGUGUUUCAUAAAUAAGAAUUUAAUGACUUUAUUUUGCAUCUACUUUUGAAAAUGAAGUUCUUUCAGGCAUCCAAUCUGCUUUAUGUGUGCGUAUGAACAUAAUUCAUUGAGCUUGAUCAAGCUCAUUGUAAAAGCUCAAACAAAUCGACGAAAUAGAUUAAUUUUUCCGUUUGGCAAUUGAAUGAAGAAGAUUACUUAACUAAAUCCAAAUCACAUUUUUUUUAAUUAUGUAGUCUUAUUAGAUUUGGAACUUAAUGAAGAAGAUUACUUAAUGAAGAAGGUUACAACUUACUGUUGCUUCUUUAAUUUUGGAACUUAAUGAACCAAAAGUGUCCAAAAGAAAAAGACUAGGGAACCAAAAAGUGUCAAAAGAAAAAGAAAAAACUUUCAGACCGCUCUAUGUUAAUAUCUUCUACUUUCAAGCACAUAUAUUCUCUUGAUCUUCUUUCUAUGCUACCAUUCAGCUCUCUUCUUUAGUACUAUUCUUCUUCCAGUUUCUCAGCUUAGAAUGGCGGGAAAAGACGAAGCUGCAGGUCAUGCAAUCGGGAUCGACCUGGGGACAACCUACUCGUGUGUGGCGGUGUGGCAGAAUGAUCAUGUAGAAAUCAUAGUGAACGAUCAGGGCAACAGGACCACUCCAUCUUAUGUUGCUUUCACAAAUACUGAGCGAUUGAUAGGUGACGGAGCAUUCAACCAGGUUAUAAAAAACCCAACCAACACCAUCUUCGGUAUGUUCAUCUCUUUCUGUAUGUAUCCAUCUACAUAUAUACCAUUUUCCCAUUAAUUUAUUUCUCAAAUUAGUUUUUCUUUUUCUCUGAAUAUUUAUAACAGUAUUUGAAGUGAUAAAAUGUGGGGUGUUGAUGACAAGUUAUGAUUUUGAUGAUAAUUAAAAAGGUGUAGUACAUUUACAGUAGAGUGAAAGAAUUUGGGAUAGUUACUGUUGACUUGAGUCCUUGUUCAAUUAGGAAUGUAAUUAAUUAUUUGAUUGUAUUUCCUAGUUGGCUAGGAUUGUAUGUAUAUAAAUAUUUCCUCCUAGAUGGAGAAGAAUACAGAUUUGAGAAUUAAACCCUAAACAUAUAUUUUAACUGUUACGACACCGUUUGUUUAACAAUAUGCUUUUAUUUCAAUCAUAUGACCUAUUUCUUUGUUAGUUUUGGUUGUUGGGUUGUGCAACUAAUUCUGUUCUCAUUUUGCAGACGCGAAAAGGAUAAUCGGUAGGAGGUUCACAGAUGAAUGUGUUCAAAACGAUAUAAAGCAUUGGCCUUUUAAGGUCAUUGGAGGUCCUUCUGACAAGCCAAUGAUUGUCGUCACAUACAAGGGUGUUGAGAAACAAUUUGCUGCUGAAGAAAUCUCAUCUAUGAUUCUUGUGAAAAUGCGAGAGAUUGCUGAGGCCUACCUUGGUUCAACUGUGAAAAAUUCAGUUAUCACAGUCCCUGCUUACUUUAACGACUCACAGCGGCAGGUUACGAAAAAGGCAGGUGGUACUGCUGGCCUAAAUGUGAUGCGCAUCAUCAAUGAGCCGACUGCUGCAGCCAUUGCUUAUGGGCUUGACAGGAAGGCCGGUUGGUAUAGCAAGAGAAAUGUGAUGAUAUUUGAUUUGGGCGGGGGAACCUUGGAUGUUUCGCUACUUACCAUAGCUGACAGUAUCUUUGAAGUGAAGGCCACCGCUGGAGACACUCAUCUUGGAGGUGAAGAUUUCGAUAACAGAAUGGUCAACCACUGUGCUAAGCAAUUCAAGAGGAAGUAUAACGUGGACGUUAGUGGAAACUUCAAGGCUCUUAGGAGGUUAAAAAAUGCAUGUGAGAAAGCAAAGAGGAGGCUUUCAUUUAUGUCCGAGACUGACAUUGACAUUGACUGUUUGCAUCAGGGUGUUGAUUUUUGUUUAACUAUUACCCGUGCUAAAUUUGAGCAACUCAACAUGGAUUUCUUCGGCAAGUGCAUGGAGCCUGUGAAGAAGUGCCUGGAAGAUGCUAACAUGGACAUAAGCAGCGUCCAUGAUGUUGUUCUUGCAGGUGGAUCUUCUAGAAUUCCCAAGGUGCAGCAGCUUUUGCAGGAGGUUUUCAAGGGAAAGGAGCUUUGCAAAGGCAUCAAUCCAGAUGAGGCGGUGGCCUAUGGUGCCGCUGUUCAAGCUACUGUCUUGAGUGGUGGCAAUCUAACUGGAAAGCUUGGGGACUUCGCACUGGUGGAUGUCACCCCUCUCUCACUUGGGGUGGAGGCUCGUGAAGAACUUAUCAUGUCAGUUGUGAUUCCAAGAAACACUAGAACACCGGUCAAAAUAAUCAAAGGUUUUACUACGUGCUAUGACAACCAAAGUGAUGUUAGUUUUCCUAUAUAUGAGGGUGAGAGUAGAAUUGCAAGAGAUAAUAACUAUUUGGGCGGAUUUGAACUCAAUGACAUUCCUCCAGCUCCCAGCGGUGUUCCUAAAUUUAAAGUUUGCUUUGAUAUUGAUGAAAAUGGCAUCCUGCAUGUCUCUGCUGAGGACAAGUCCACCGGCCAAAAGAAGGGGCUCACGUUCAAUUGUGACAGAAGAACUUGUGAAGGAAUUGAGACAUUGAUUUAAAAGUCAGUUGACUGAUGUAAGAAACAUUAAUUUCUCACAUGCUAUAGUCCGAAAUAUCUUGUAUUAACCAUAUUUCCUAUCUCACGGGGUUUGCUUAAGUCCUAAUCUUGACCCUUCAAUCUAAAGUUUUUUUUUACUGUCUUUAGUUAGGACUGGUCUUUACUUGAAUUAUGGCUCACGCAGACAUGAAUAGAACAUUGGAUUCCAUGGGAAACAUAAUUUCUUUGAGGAUGUUCUCUGUUUACUCCAUACGCGCACUCAUGCUGAGCUCUGUUAACGCGUUAUUUUCAGAUACAAAGUGUUAAUAGGAAGGAGAUUUAGUGAUCCUUCUGUUCAAAAUUAUAUGAAGCUGUGGCCAUUCAAGGUCACUGAAGGUCCAGCUGAGAAGCCCAUGAUUGUGGUUACACAUGAAGGUCAAGAAAAAACAGUUUUAUCCUGAUGAAAUCUCAUCCAUGGUUUGGGUAAAGAUGCUGGAGAUUGCUGAGGCCUAUCUCGGCUCAACUGUGAAGAAUGCUGUGAUCAAAGUCCCUGCUUACUUCACUGACUCGCAGCGUCAGGCUACAAAAAAUGCUGGUACCACGGUUGGCCUAAGUGUCAUCCAAUCAUCAAAGAACCAACUGUGGCAGCCAUUGCUUUUGGACUUGACAAGAAACGUUUGGUAUAGCAAGAGAAACGUCAAGAUAUUUGAUUUGGUGGUGCUACUUAAGAUGUGUCUCUACUUACUACAGGGAAUGGUGUGUGUUUGAAGUGAAGGCCACUGCUGAAGACAGUCACCUAUGGAGGUGAAGACUAUAAUAGAAUGGUGAUUUACUCUGUUGAGGAGUUUACGAGGAAACAUGGUUUGGCAUCAGUGGAAACUCGAGAGCACUUGAGAGGUUAAGGAAUGCUUGUGAGAAGGCAAAGAGGAGACUCAUUCAAGUCUUUUGUAGAAGAUGAAACUGAUUGUUUGUAUCAAGCUACGGAUUUCUAUAUAAAUAUCGCCCGGGCCAAAUUUUAACAACUGAGGAGAAGUGUUUGAGGGAUGCUAAAAUGGACAUAACCAGUGUCCAUGACGUUGUUGUUUCUGGUGGCUCUUCUAGAAUUCCCAAAUGCAGCAGCUUGUACAGGAGGUUUUCAAGGGAAAGGAGCUUUGCAAGGGCAUCAAUCCGGACGAAGCGGUGGCCUAUGGUGCUGGUGUUCAUGCUGCUGUCUUGUGUGGGAAUGGAACUGGGAAGCUUCAAGACUUCACUCUAUUGGAUGCCACCCCUUUAACAUUUGGGAUAGAGACUUUAGGAAAACAUGUCAUGGGAGUUGUUAUUCCAAGAAGCAUGAGAGUUACCAUGGAGAAGCAGACGACUUUAAUUACUAUCUGUGAUAACCAACGUACCAUCACCUUCCCCAUUCAUGAGGGCGAGAGCAAAACAACUUUGAAUAAUAACUAUUUGGGUGAAUUUAAACUCCAUGACAUUCCUCCAGCCGCCAAGGAUGUUCCUAAAUUCGACGUUUGCUUUGAAAUUGAUGCAAAUGGUGUGUCCUGGCUGUCUCUGCUUAGGACAAGCCCACUGGCCAAAAAAGAAAUUAAGGGAUUACAAUCAACAGUGACAGAAGAACUUUUGAAGGAAUUGAGAAGCUGAGGUACGAAAUAAUUUGCGUUAUACCAAUUUGAUAGUUACUAAUGCCAGGUGAGCCGAAGUCUCCAUCAUGCGCAGGUUGUAUUGCUUUAAGCUGAAUUAAAAUUGGGGGAAGGAGGCAGUUGAUAGGAAAAUGCUUGCUAGCUGGUCGUGCUUUAUGACAUUGAUAUGAUAUGCUGGUUAUUUUGACAGAGAUAAAAUUGUUCUUUCUGUCCUGUUUGCAACUCAUGAAAAUGCUCGUUCCUUUAUAAGAUCUGCAUUACUCUUUUUCAAUAUAUUGUAAUUCAAACUCCAAGUUGUUUGUUUCAAACUCCAUGUUGUAAUUCUUCUGAGCCAUGGCAAUGGCGUAGAGGAACCACUUGGCGUGGCUCAAAAUCGAGGUGACAUUGACGGCUGAGUGUAAGGGAUUGAUUGGAGGAAUGGCUUUGUAGAGGAUGAACCUGAUUCUGAGAGAGAGCGAGAGAGAGAUGCAUAGUUUUCGGUAAUGACACUUGUGCACAAUUUGAAAAGGUGUAAUACACUUUAGCCACUGUGCUUGAGUAACUGAAAGGUAUAUAGUGACAGAAUUCGGAAUAGUUACCAGUUACAACACCAUUUCCUUGUUACAUUUCCUUAUCGGUCUUUUUUUUUUCAAAUUUUGCAUCAAUAUUCUUCAGAUGCGAAAAAGUUAAUUAGUACGAGUUUCAGGGAUGAAUGUGUUCAAAAUGAUAUGAAGCAUUGGCAAUCCAAGGUCUCCUUCUGAUAAGUCAAUAACCAUUGUUACCCACAACGGCAUAGAGAAACAAUUUCGUGCUGAAGAAAAUUCAUCUAUGGUUCUUGUGAAAAUGCAGGAUAUUGCUGAGGUCUACCUUCGUUCAACUGUGAAAAACUCAGUUAUAACAGCGACAGGCUACAAAAAAGGCCGGUGCCUGUUCUGGCCUAAAUGUAAUAAGUAAUCAUCAAUGAGCCGACUGCUGCCGCGAUUGCUUAUGGACGUGGCAAGAAGUCUGGCUGGUAUAUAUAGCAAGAGAAAUAUGAUGAUAUUUGAAUUGGGUUAGGGUACUUUGGCCUUUUCACUACUGACCAUAGCAUAUAGCGUUUGUGAAGUAAAGGUCACUGCUGGAGAUAUACUCAUCUCCGAGGUGAAGGCUUUGAUAAGAAAAUAGUGAAUAAUUGUGCUGGAAAAACAAAAGGAGACAUAAAGUCGACAUUAGUGGAAAAUGCAUGUGAGAAGGUAAAGAGGAGGCUUUGUGUUGAAUAAGUGGCCAAGUGGCCAAGUGGAGAACAAAAAUAUAAAAAAAGCUUUUGGCUAUUAAACAAAUCAAAAGAAAAAAAGGACAACAUGAUUAUGUUUCCUUGUUUUGUGGCUUGUUCUCUGGCUUUUUCAAAGCCAUAAUUAUGGGUUUUUUUUUUCCCGAUAGAAGAAAUAAGGAAGGGAGAGCUCAUUGUCAGUUAGAGAGCUCAUUUUUUGCCGAGAGCAAGGAGAGUUGUAGAGAGCCCAAAACAAAGAAGAAGUUGCUGCUUCAUUUGGUUAGUAAUUAUCCACCAAAGUAGUUGUUGUUGUAAUAGCUUUGUGCUAUAUGUAUAGAGAAGAAAUUAUUCAUUAUAUUUCUUUCUCUAUUUGUUUCUUUGGUGUGUGAGAGUUAUUGGGUGUAUUGGGUUAUUUGGGUUGUGAGAUUGCCAACACUUUGUAAACUUCCAUUUGGUUGAUAGUGGAUUAUUGGGUGAGCUCCUAUUGCUCCGAGGACGUACUCCAGUUACACUGACUGUUGAGGAACCUCGUUAAAAUCUUGGUGUUCUUUUAUAAUUUGUUCUUGCAUUCCAUUUGAUAUAUUUCCUGUGGGUUAACUUGAGUUGGUUCCAUAAGGUUUGGUGCUAUCCUAGCACAACACUUUGAUAUAUGCUUGAGACUGACGUUGACAUUGUUGGAGGGGAAGGAGCUGUGCAAGGGCAUUUAUCCAGAUGAAGCUGUGGCAUAUGGUUCAGCUGUUCAAGCUGCCGUGUUGAGUGAGAAUAAUGAAAAUGGGAAGCUUCAAGACUUUGCACUCUUGGAUGUCAUCCCUCUAUUACUUGGGGUGGAGACAACUAAGACAAGGUGGGAAAGUGGUUCUGACGAUAAACAUUUCAUGCUAGUUGUGAUCCCAAGAAACACCAGAGUUCCGAUAAAAGAGAACGUUACUUUGUUUACUUCGGUUGACAACCAAGCUGUGGCCAGAUUUUCAAUUUAUGAGGGCGAGAGUUCAUCAACCUUAAUAACGUUUUGGGUGGAUUUCACAUCCAUGACAUUUCUCCUGCUCCUGCCAGAGCUGCUAAAUUCAAACUUUGCUUUGAUAUUGAUGAAAAUGGUUUCCUGAGUGUCUCUGCAGAGGACAUGUCCACCGGCCAAAAGAAGGUGAUUACUUUCAACUGUGACAGAAGAACUUGUGAGGGAAUUGAGACAUUGAUAUAAAAGUCGGUUGACUACUGCAAGAAACGUUCAUUUCUAAUUUCUCCAGCAUGCUUCAGACUGAAUAGACAUUGGAUUACAGGGGAAGCGUAUUUUCUAUGGUCGAGCUUCUCAUGCUCUGGUGAUCUCAUCCAACCUCUCUGUUAUUCCAUUAUGAUAGAGCCGUUGGAACAAUAACAGAAAGUAUGAGAAUAAUAAAAUAAUUCUAAUGAUGAUAAUCAUAAAGAAAUCACAACGCUAAUUGUGUACAAGAUUAAUGUAAACAACUAGAGAGAAAGUAAGAAUGACUACAAAUUUGGAGAUUGAGGCUUGCACAAAUGCGAUGUCCUAAAGACAAAAUUUCGCUCUUGUGCUUGUAGUUCGGUAAGCGUCCAUCUUCUAGAAUUCAAGAAUCUAUAAUACGAAGUUGAAGCACUGCAAUUUUCGGACUCUCAAGACACAACUGGAAUUUGACAAAGAAAAAAAAAUGAGAAAAACAGAAUCGAGAAACUCCUUCUCUUGAUGCAUAUCUCACUGCUAUACUGACUUGGGUUUAUAUCAAACCUAAGACACUGAUUGACGAAGAGAUGAAAUCAUGCAUCUAUUAGACGACACCAUUUACUAAGGAAAUGCACUGAUCUGUGUAGAGUAAUCUUUUCAAUUUGAAAAGGUCCAUACACAAAGUGUUUAGAAAAGAAUAACUUUUCAUUUCUUUGAUAAAAUUACAAGAUAGUUGUAUUUAUACAACUCAUUUACACAUGUCACCAUCAGCCACUCUAACUAACUAAUUACACAUUUCAACUAAUUAACAAAUAUUGAACUAUAUCUCUAAAGUGUUAACUAACUCUUUUAUUUACAUAAGUGUCCUUAAUAUCCCCCCUCAAACUGAGCUGAGGGGUGCAAAGGGAGAGUUUGGAUCUGAGAUAAUGAAAACGGUCCUUAGCAAGAGCCUUGGUACAAAUAUCGGCAACCUGUUGCUGAGUGCAAAUAUAAUGAACAGAAAUCUCUCGAACCUUUUCACAAGUGUAAUGAUAAUCCAACUUAACAUGCUUGGUACGAGCAUGGAACGACGAAUUCUUGGCCAGAGAAAGAGUAGAGACAUUAUCACACCACAAUCGUGGAAUAGAAGGUGAUUUGUAGGCAAUAUCCACUAAAAGUUUGCAAAUCCAAGUGAGUUCGGUAGCAGUAUUGGCCAGAGAUCGAUACUCAGCCUCAGUGGAUGAGCAAGCAAUAAUAGGUUGCUUUUUAGCGCUCCAGCUAAUAAGAGAGGAACGAAGAAAAAUGCAGAAACCUCCAAUGGAUUUUCUGUCAAGAGGACACCCCUCCUAAUCGGCAUCAGAGAAUGCAGUAAUGGAUGGAGAAUAUGAGGUUUUGGGAAACCAUAAUCCCAAAUCAAGAGAGCCCUUAAGGUACCUGAAUAUGCGUUUGACAGCUUGAAAAUGAGAGUGACGGGGACUAUGCAUAUAUUGGCAGACUAAAUUCACAGCAAAGGAAAGAUCAGGCCGGGUCCAGGUUAAGUAUUGAAGGGCGCCCACAAGAGAUCAGUAUUGAGCAGCAUUGUCCAAUAAGGGGGAUGUAUGAUCAAGCUUAGAUGUACUCAAAGGAGUAGCAUAAGGUUUUGCCCCAUCCAUGUUAGCUUUCUUCAACAAAUCCAGAAUGUAUUUAGUUUGGGAUAUGUAAAUACCCUUGGAGGACCGCUUCACCUUAAUGCCAAGAAAAUAGUGUAGAGCACCAAGAUCCUUGAUAGGAAACAUAGAACGAAGUUGAGUGAUAACUUGUUGACAGGCGGACGUAGAUGGUCCAGUGACAAUAAUGUCAUCAACAUAAACUAAGAUGAACACCAUUGGAUCUGUCUUGACAAACAAGGAGUGAUCGGAUUGAAAACCAGUAAAUCCCAAAGAGGUAAGUGCGCCAUGAAGUUUGUCAUACCAAGCUUGGGGAGCUUGUUUGAGGCCAUAUAGAGACUUGUGAAGAUGGCAGAUGUGAUUGGGAUGAAGAGAGUCUUCAAAGCCAGGUGGUUGUUGCAUAAACACAUGUUCAAAGAGAGUACCGUGCAGGAAUGCAUUGCUGACAUCAAGCUGAUGAAGAAACUAGUCAUAUUGAGCUGCCAAAGUGAGGAGAAUUCGAAUGGUGACCGGUUUAGCAACCGGACUAAAAGUCUCUGUAUAGUCCAAUCCGGCUUGCUGGUGAAAUCCUUUUGCAACUAGACGGGCCUUAUACCUGUCAAUUGUACCAUCGAGUUUGCGUUUGAUUCGGAAAACCCACUUGCAACCUACUACAUUGGUGGAGUGAGAGGAAGGAACCAAAGACCAGGUUCCAAUUUGCUUCAAGGCAAGAAACUCAUCCUGCAUAGCUUGAACCCAGUGUGGAUAUUUAGAGGCCUGAAGAUACAUAGUGGGAACAAAGUCAUGAGAAAGAUGAGAGGGUAUAAGAUAUUUGGUUGCAAUUAAAGCCUUAGGCUUGUAGAUGCCAGAUUUAGCUCGGGUUUGCAUAGGAUGGAUAUUGGUAGGAAGAUGUGACCGGGAAGGAGAAUGGGAAGAUGGAUGUGAGUGUGAUGGAGAGGCACAAAUGGGAGAGGAGGAGAUCAGAGAGACAUUAGAAGGUUAAGAAGCUUGAGGAUGUAUUGGAGGAGAAGUACCUGGUAUGGUGGUAGAAAAGGUUAACUGAGUUUGAAUAGAGGGAGGGGGAGGGACAAGGGAUGGUGGAGAGGAUGUUGCAGAGACUUGCAUGUGAAAAGGAAAGCUGGACUCAUCGAAUAUAACAUGUCGGGAUACAUAAAUCCGUUAAGAAACAGGAUCAAGACAUUUAUACCCCUUGUGAUUAAGACUAUAACCUAUAAAGAUGCACAGUUUGCUUUUAGGAUCCAACUUUGAAGUAGAAUAAGGCUGCAACCAAGGAAAGCAACUGCAACCAAAUAUUCUCAGUGUGUGAUAAGACGGAGAUCUGUGAAAUAGUGAUUCCCAUGGAGAAGCUUUGGAUGCAGUAGGCAUUCUAUUUAUCAAAUACACUGCAGUAGCAAACGCAUGAUCCCAAUAGAUAUGAGGAACAUGAGAAAUAGUCAAUAAUGUCCUUGCUGUCUCCACUAUAUGCCGAUGUUUACGCUCAGAGCAACCAUUUUGCUCCGGAGUGUGAGGACAGCUGAGUUAAUGGUGAAUGCCAUGCUCAACAAGAAAUUUAGAAAACUGAGAGCUCAAAUAUUCACCACCAGAAUCAGACCAUAGAGUUUUAAUUUUGGUGCACAACAAAUUUUCAACAUGAGCCUUGAACUUCACAAAAAUACUAAAGACAUCAGAUUUGUAUUGCAUAGGAAAGAACAAACAGUAUUUGGUAAAAUCAUCCACAAAAAUGACAUAAUAUUUGUGAUGAUGAACAGAAGAUACAGAUGCUGGCCCCCAAACAUCUGUGUGAAGUAAUUCUAAAGGGUUACAUGUCCGACUUGGCACUGGAACAAACGGGAGUUUAGAACUCUUGCUCAAUGCAUAACCAUUACAGAAAAUAGAAUGAGUAUUGCUAGAAACAGAAAUACAAGACGCAGAGGUCAACAUAUUUAUGAUCUUAGAAGAGGGAUGGCCUGAUUGUUGAUGCCAAACAUCCCUAGAGGCAUUGACCGAAGCAGCAAAUGCAUGAUGAGAAUCAUUCACCAAACUAGAGUUGAGAGGUUGAAAAGGAUAGAAACCAUUUUGCACUGGUCCUUUAAAGAGCAUCUUCCCCGAAGAAAUAUCCUUCACAGUGAAGUGAAAGGGAUAAAGAUGCAUAGAACACCAAUUAUCAAUGAGAAAUUGAUUUGCAGAAAGCAAAUUGUGUUUCAAUUCAGGGACAUGUAACAUUGCGAAGCUGAAAAUUAUAAUGAGAGUAGGUAAUUGAGAAGAGCCAGAGUGAAGAAUUGGCAAACAUUUGCCAUCGCCAAUGUAAACUUGCUCAGGGCCUAUGUAAGGUUUUGGAUUCUGAAGUUGAUUAUAAGAAUUUGUCAUGUGAGUGCUAGCACCAGAGUCCACAAGCCAUGUUGGCGAAGAAGAAGUUGUACUGGCAACCAUUGCAGAAUGAGAGUGAGAAAGAGAACCAGAAAAAUGGGGAUUCAUUCGUUGAUGACAAGCUAAGGCUUCAUGACCAAAUUGGUGACAAAUUUGGCAGGGAAUCUUCUUGCCAGAGGAGUAGAAAUUGGAGCGGCCACCUCGAUUAUACCUUUGGUAGACUUGUCAAUUGGAAUUUUGGCGAAAAUUUUUAGAUCGAAAGUUACCACGACCUUGAAAAUUUCGAGGAUAAGAGACGGAACCUCGAGCUGGAGUAUUGGUGAGAUCUGGUCCACGGCCUUGAGAAUUGAAGUCUUGAGCCACCAAAAGAGCUUGAGAAGGCGGCGUAGGAAGAAGACCAGCAGAGGAAUUGAAGGCUUGAAAUGGCAAAGACGAAGAUGUUUUCUUUCGAUUCGUCAAUUGAAUCUCCUUGCUGAGAAGAAGGCCAUGGAGGUUAUCAAUUUUCGUGGAACCAAGGCGAAAUUGAAUCGCAUCAACAAACGAGUCAUAUUCAAGGGGAAGUCCAUGAAGAAUGACAGAGAUUAACUCGGAAUCUUCAAUCGGAGCUCCGGCACUGGCCAGAGCAUCAAUAAUCUCUUCAAUUUGUUGAAGAAAUCGUGCAGCAGAAGAAUCGCCCUUAGUCAGAGUUCAAAGACGAGAUCUGAGUUCAUGAAUGUGCGAUUGAGACGCAGUCGCAAGCCGUGAUUCCAAUUUUUCCCACAGUUCUCGAGAAGAUCAAACUCCAACAGUGUAAGGAAUCAAGGAAUCAGAAAGUGUAGAGUUGAUCCAGAUGAGAAUGUUCUGAUCAUUCUUAAACCAGGUAACAUAGGCCGGAUUCAGAGUACGAGAUCCAGUUGCAUCAGUGAGAAACUGAGGCGGUGGAGGAAUCGAGCCAUCAACGAUGCCUACAAGAUUGUACCGACGGAAAAUAGGAGCGAAUAAAGCACUCCAGGUUAAAUAAUUCGUCGUGGUCAAUUUGAUCGGCACCAGAGAUCCAAUGUUCUGGAUUGUGAUGGAAGCAGUAUGAGAUGCACAAAAAGGAUUAGGGCUGGAAUCAGCGAUCGGAGGAGCGUGAGAGCCAGAAUUAGAGGAGGGAGAAGCGGCGGUCGCCAUGGAAGAGAAGCGAAGAAAUUAGGAUUUCAGAUGCAAGAAGCUUCAAGAAAUGGAAGCUUAGCAGUGAAAAAAAUUGAAGAGUCGCAAAAAGCGUAGUGACGAAGGAAAGAAAGAGGAUCGGGUCGUUUGACAGAGGCGAGAGAUACCAUGUUUAGAAAAGAAUAACUUUUCAUUUCUUUGAUAAAAUUACAAGAUAGUUGUAUAUAUAUAACUCAUUUACACAUGUCACCAUCAGCCACUCUAACUAACUAAUUACACAUUUCAACUAAUUAACAAAUAUUGAACCAUAUCUCUAAAGUGUUAACUAACUCUUUCAUUUACAUAAGUGUCCUUGAUACAAAGUACUGCCACUUUGUAUAAGAUGGCACCAAUUGUAUAACAUAUCCAUUUGUUACAAACGGUUAAGAAAUUUUCAUUCUAACAAGAGCUUCUCAUCCAUCCUCCUGAUUUCAACUUGGAAAUUGCAACUUCAUGCUAUGUUGUUUUUGUAACAUAUGAACUAGUAUAUAUAUAUGUGUGUGUGACUGGGCAUAAAACCACAGUUGUUCUAUCAUUUCUCAGCUGGUAGGUGAUAAUGUUCCUCUGCACGCUCCGAUAAAGCUUAUUUUUCUAUCCACCAAUUUUACAAAGCUGCUUUAAAAGGUCAUCGAAUCAGAAGAAUUCUCGGAGGAGUACGUAGCUACUGAGAUCUGUGCUAGGUUUCUAUGUGCAACACUGCAAGUCCACUUCCGCUUUCUGUAUGUGUAACUAAUCUGCCGUUUUGUUUUCUGUUCAUAGUUCAGUACACAAAUAAAUAUUAAACUAUGUAUACUAGCUAUCAUUUGUCGCAGUUUUGUAGAACUAAAUAAAGUUGUAAAGUUUUCUCAUAUAAAAAAGAAGGUAAAGUUAUAAGGUAGUAAAGGUAGCAAAGAAGGUAAAGUUGGAAAUGUAGUAAAGAUAAAGUGACGUAACACAAAGUUGAAGAAUUAUAAGUGUAAUUCUUUGAAGAAUCAAUAGUCUGGAAUCCACCAGAUUUGAGAGAAAUCCUAAAAGUUGUGUUUGAUUAAUUGAUUGAAAGAUGAUCACAAUGGAAGCAGCUAAUGGCUUAAAUAAUCUAAUUACAACUCCUAAGACAACUCAAAGUCUUAGAUAAUUAAACAAAAGUCAAACAACCUUAUUUAGACGGAAAAUGAAAUGUCCAAUUUUUUAUUACAGAACUUAAAACACAAUUUUGAAUUGCAACGUUCUUUUCUUUACAAAAAGGUAUCAUGCGCCCAAAUUGGAGCUCAGAUGCCAAAACUGCAAAUUCCCACUACGUCUCUUUGUCUUCCGUCAGUCCAUUUUCUCUUCAAUCCACUUGACCAUUUGUUCUACAUCAUAAAGUUAUAAGGAAGUAAAGAAAGAAAGAAGGUAAAGGUUGUAAGAGUAAUGCUACACUUACAUAUUUGUACCAUCUUUCUAAUAAAGGAAGGAGUCACUUAUCUAUUAGAGAGAUGAUACAAAUGUAGUAUGAAAAAUAUGAUAAGAGUAAAAUCUUUUAGAUAGUAAAGGUAGUAAAGUUGGAAAGGCAUUGCACACCAAAAGGUUUCAAAAUUUGUGCUUUGGUUGAUAUACUUUAAUUUGGAGAGAUUUUUUAAUGUGCUUGUAAUACGGGAUGGUACAUCACAUGUCAUUAUAUAUGUGGAGACACUUGAAAAAUAAAAUUUCUCUCCAUAUAUAUGAUGACAUGUAGUGUAUCAUCCUGCAUUUCGGGUACAAUGAAAUAUUUCCCAUUAAUUUGGCAUAAACAGCCAACAGAAAAUAAAAUUUGGGGACGUAUUGGAUUCCAAGGUUUUUUGCACAAGAAGUUAGACAAGCAAAACAUAAAUGAUUAUUCGUUCCCAAGCAUAACAUAAAUGAAGAAGAUUACAACUUACUAUACAUUGCAACUUUAUAUUUGGAACUUAAUGAACCAAAAGUGUCCAAAAGAAAAAGGAUAAUGAACCAAAAAGUGUCCAAAAGAAAAAGAAUGACCUCUCAGACCGCUCUAUGUUCCCCAGAAUAUCUUCUACUUUCAAGCACAUAUAUUAUCUUGAUCUUCUUACUCUGCUGCCGUUCAGUACUGUUCUUCUUCCAGUUUCUCAGCUUAGAAUGGCGGGAAAAGACAAAGCAUGCAAGUCACCACUCGUGUGUGUGUGGUGGCAGUGAUCAUCAUGUAGAAAUCAUAGUGAACGAUCAGGGCAACAGGACCACUCCAUCUUAUGUUGCUUUUACAAAUACUGAGCGAUUGAUAGGUGAUGGUGCAUUCAACCAGGUCAUAAAAAACCCAACCAAUACACCAUCUUCGGUAUGUUCAUCUCUUCCUGUAUGUAUCCAUCUACAUAUAUACCAUUUUCCCAUUAAUUUAUUUCUCAAAUUAGUUUUUAUUUUUCUGAUAUUUAUAACAGUAUUUGAAGUUAUAAAAUGUGGGGUGUUGAUGAUAAGUUAUAAUUUAGUUUAAUGAUUUAUGAUAAUUAAAAAGGUGUAGUACAUUUACAAGGUUUUUGCAACAAUUACAAAGUUUUGGAACAAUUUGCAGAAAACAUAAAUUGGUUUUUGGAACCUUCCAACAAUGCCUUUUGCAACAUAAAGUAAUUUGCUGAAGAUUCAAAAAUGAGUUGCUGACCUUACUUAAAAUUUGAAUUUGCCAACCAGGUCCAACUGCUAUAAUGGUUAAACGCGCAGUGAUCAAUGACAAAUGGCUGCGCAUUUGCUUAUGCUGAAAAUUGGGUCUUGACAGAGCAAUUGAUUAUGGAGAUGUGAUAAUUUGGGGGAUUGUUUCGACUACUACCAUAGCUGACAGUGUCUUUGAAGUGGAACCACCGCAGACACUCAUCUUUGGACUUUGAAACCGAUGGUCAACACUGCCAGCAAUUCAAAGGAAGCAACCGUGGAGUUGGUGACUCCCUGGGAGGUAAAAAAUGUGAGAAGGCAAAACUGGAGCGGCUUUCAUGGAGCACUGACAUUGGACAUUAUUGUUUGCCCGUUAGGUUUUAUAACAAAUGAUUGAAACAAGAGAAGAAAUGGAGGCUUUCAUUUUAAUGACCAAGACAUGGACAGUUGACUGACGUGCAUCAGGGUGGAAUUUGUUUGCUAUUGAUGCUGAAAUUUGGCAACUCAACAUGGAUUUUGCUUCGAAGCAAGGGACAUGGAGCUUUGUGGGUUAAGUGUUGAAGAUGAAAGGAGCUUGCUUGCAAGGCUGAACAAAGGAAGGGCAAUGGUAUGGCCGCUUUUUUCAUGCUGUUUGUUGUUUUGAACUUUGCUAAGCUUCAAAUCUCUAUUGGACGUCACCCCUCUAUCACUUGGGAUAAGGACUAAAGGAAAAAAUGUCAUGUCAGUUGUGAUUCCAAGAAACACUAGGAAGCCGGUCAAAAUAAUCAAAGGUUUUACUACGCUCUAUGACAACCAACGUAUGCUGUUACUUUCAAAGGCAUUUAUGAGAGGGUAGAGACAACCAACGUGAUGUUACUUUUGCCAUUUAUGAGGGUGAGAGUAGAAUGACAAAAGAUAAUAACUAUCUGGGAGCAUUUGAACUCAAUGACGUUCCUCCAGCUCCCAGGGGUGUUCCUAACUUUGAUGUUGGCUUUGAGAUUGAUGAAAAUGGCAUCCUGCAUGUCUCUGCUGAGGACAUGUCCACCGGCCAAAAGAAGGGGAUCACAUUCAACUCUGACAGAAGAACUUAUGAAGGAAUUGAGACAUUGAUUUAAAAGUCAGUUGACUGAUGUAAGAAACGUUAAUUUCUCGCAUGCUAUAGACCGAAAUAUCUUGUAUUAACCAUAUUUCCUGUCUCACUGGGUUUGCUCAAGUCCUAAUCUUGACUCUUCAGUCUAAAGUUGGUGUUACUGUCUUUAAUUAGGACUGGUCUUUACUUGAAUUAUGGCUCAUGCAGACAUGAAUAGAACAUUGGAUUCCAAGGGAAACAUAAUUUGACAAAGAAAGACAAAGUGGAGAAGCUCGUCCUCUUCAUGCAUAUCACACUAUUAUACUGACUUGGGUUUAUAUAAAACCUAAGACACUGAUUAGCGAAGAGAUGAAAACAUACAUCAAUUAGACGACACCAUUUACUAAGGAAAUGCACUGAUCUGUGUAGAGUAAUUCUAUUCAAUUUGAAAAGGACCAUACACAAUGUACUGCCACUUUGUAUAAAGAUGGCACCAAUUUGAAUAAACAUUUACCGUUUGAUAAAAACGGUUAAGAAUUUUUCAUUCAAACAUCAUAAAAAUUGUAAAUAUUAUAUAAUAUUAUAAAACAUAUAAUAUAUAAAUAAAUUCCAACAAGAGCUUCUCACCCAUCCUCCUGAUUUCAACUUUGAAAUUGCAGAUUCAUGCUAUGUUGUUUGUGUAACAUAUGAACUAGUAAAUAUAUAUGUGACUAGGCAUAAAACCACAGUUGUUCUAUCAUUUCUCAGCUGGUAAAGCUUAUUUUUCUGUCUACCAAUUUUCCAAAGCUGCUUUAAAAAGUCAUUGAAUCAGAAGAAUUCUCGGGGAGUACGUAGCUACUGAGAUCUGUGCUAGGUUUCAAUGUGCAACACUGCAAGUCCACUUUCAGUAUGUGUAACUAAUAUGCCGUUUUGUUUUCUGUUCAAAUGUUCAGUACACAAGUAAAUACCAAACUUUAUAUACUAGCUAUUGUUUGUCGCAGUUUUGUAGAACUAAAUAAAGUUGUAAAGUAUUCUCAAAUAAAAAAGAAGGUACAGUUUUAAGGUAGUAAAGGUAGUAAAGGAGGUAAAGUUGGAAUUGUAGUGAAGAUAAAGUGACGUAGUACGAAGUUAAAGGAGUACAAGUGUAAUUCUUUGAAAGAUGAUUACAAUGGAAGCAGCUAAUGACUUAAAUAAUCUGAUUACAACUCCUAGGCCAACUCAAAGGUCUAAUGUAAUUAAAUGAAAGCCAAACGACAUUAAUUAGAUGACAAAUGAAAAGUCCAAUUUUUAUUACAGAACUUAAAACGCAAUUUUGAACUGUAGCGUUCUUUUCUUUCAAAAAACAUAUGGGCCCAAAUUGGAGCUUAGACGCCAAAACUGCAAAUUCCUGUUGUGUCCUUUUGUCUUUCGUUGAUCCAUUUCCUCUUCUUUCCACUUGGCCCAUUGUUCUACAUAAUAAAGUUAUAAGGUAUUAAAGAAAGAAGGUACAUGUAGUAAAGGGAGUAAGAGUAAUGCUACACUUACCAUAUUUAUACCAUCUCUUUAAUGGAAGAAGGGUCAUCUCUCUAUUAGAAAUAUGGUACAAAUGCGGUAUGAAAAAUUAAAUUAAAACAAAACAAAAAGGGGCCCACCCACUCUUCUCCCACCCGAGACCUCCAUCAAGCAACUCCACCGGGGGGAGUAGCCCAAUGGACCGACAAGAGAACAGGAGCCAAUAACCCCAACAAUGAUGUCCAACCCAUGCGGGCGAUUGCGUAGGAGGGGGCCCGAGCGAGAGGCCCAGCUCGAAUCGGUGGCCCGAGAGCCCGAGGUGGAGGUGAUGCAACGCUGACGUCAGGGCGACGUCAGCCACAAUUUAAUUUUUUUUUUGCGUCAGGCGCGUGCAUAACACAUGCGCGUGGGGGCACGUCCCCGACAGGUUUUCAGGCGCUGGGGCCCAUAACGCAGACCUCAGUAAUGUUACUGCUGGAGGCCACGUGGCACCUUCGCAUGCGUUGGAUUUCAACGGUUACUUUUUCUAGACUAUUGGAUUUCCAAAGGUAAAAAAAAACAUUCAAACCUUCAUUAGUUUCAACUGUUGGAUUUGAGAUCAACGAUCCAUGUUAUUCGCCUUUAUAAAUUAAAAAAAAAUAACAGUAAAAACAUAUGAAAUUUUACCAUUGUACCACGUGGCACAAUCUGGAGGGUUGGAUUUAAAAUUUUUUUAAUCCAACGAUAGAAAUUAAUUAUGUGAAUAAAAAAUCAGAAAAAAAAAUUGAUUUUAUUUUUUUUAUAAAUACCUUUUCAUUAUCUUCUACCUUACACCACAAUUUCAUAUUUUCUCAUAUACUUUCAACCACAUUCCAAUCUUUCUCUUAAAGUUUCAAUCCAAUUUGUUUCCAACAAAAUGACUAAUGAUAUAGGUAUGAAUUGGACGCUUAUUGAAGAUGUUACGUUGUGUUCUAGCUGGGUUGAAGUAACUCAUGGUCCAAUUACGGGUAAUGAGAUGUCGUUGCGAGAAAUGUAGAGUCUUAUUCAUACCAAUUAUCUUGAGAAAAUUGGUGGGAAAAUAACAAAAAAAUCGAUGUCCAGUCGUUGGAGAAUACUCAGCUAAUCGUUUAGUCUUUGGAGAGACGUGUUACACCCGCCCCUAAUUUAAAUCGUAUUUUUACUAAGUUUGAGUUUAUCUUGUUUUUAAAAUUGUUUUGGGUCUUAAAUGGUGUGCCCAAGGGCCCACCCUCUGUUUUGUCCCCCGUUCCUUUCCCUUUCUUUUAUUUAUUUUCUUUUUCUUCUGAAAAGUCUCUCUUUCUCUCUUCUCCCUCUUCUCUCCCUCGGCACAACUCUCUCCCUCUCACCCGUGCCCUUCCUCCCUGCAAAUCCUCACUUCCACACCACAUCAAUGAAGAUGACAGCACCCAUCACAACCUCUGCAGUUUUCUCUCACCUGUUGUAGAAAGGACGACGAAAUCCCAGAAGCCUCCGACGAGCAUCGCCCCUUUCGAGGCAAUUUUCGGCCAAACUACGGCGAGUUGGCCGGCGUACAAGGUAUCAAUCUCUUCGUCUCGUCAAGUACUACAACUUUCCUUUUUGUUUCACCCAAUUUAGUUGAGUAUUGAAGAAGUUAUACUCAUUUGAAUCUUACCCAGUUUCCGGCGAGUCCGACGGCUUUCGAUGCGUUUUUCGGUCAAACCACGGCGAGUUAGACGUCAGGUACCAUUCUCUUCGUCUCUUCAAGGGCUACAACUUUCGUUUUUGUCUCGCUUGAUUUCGUUGAAUUUUGACAAAGUUAUGGCCGUUUAAAGAUUGUGCAUUUUCCGGCCGAAUUCCGGCUUUCUCUCCCAUUGGGUCCGGCGACCCACCAAAACCAAGCCCUUUGGGCCUUCCCUGCUGAGCCCAACCCUUUUGGUUGUGAGGCCUUUGUGUUGGAAAGUCAAUGAGAUUUUACCUUAUAAGGAUUGAUUUAGAAGAGAAAUUGAUUUGUAAUUUAUAUGUAAUUGAUACAUUAGUUAGUUUCCUUUGUUGUAUAGCAAGAUUGUAGGACGUCAGUUGUAUAAAUUAAGUUCAUCAAAUCAAUGGAAAAUAUCCUGGCAGAAUAUUUUUCCAUACCAAUUUUAUAUGGUACCAGAGCAGGUUAAUUCCUAGCUCUUUGCUUCCGCCAUUGAUCUCCUAGCUUAGAAUAUUGCGAGUUUCUUUGAGUUGUCCUCUUCACAAUGGGCAGCAAUCAAGACAUCAAAGAUGAAAGCAAGACUAAUGCUUCUCAUCCAGUUUUUCUUGAUCACUCCAAUAUUUCUUGUAGUCUUCCUAAAGGUCUGUCAAAGUUAGUGCCUGAUCUUCGUUGGAUUAUUGAUAGUGGGGCAACGGACCACAUCGUCUCAACCCCUAACUUACUAAAUAGGAAAGUUAUGAAGCCUUCUAUGCCACAAGUGCUUCUUCCCAGUGGAGAGAGUGCACCCAUCACUUCAACGGGGACUCUAUCUCUUAACUCUUACCUCUAUUUACGCGAUGUCUUAUGUGUGCCUACCUUUCAAGUUAAUCUUAUGUCUGUGAGUCGGCUUACAGAAGGAUUACAAUGUUCAGUGACUUUUUUUCCUCGUUGGUGUAUUUUGCAGGACUUGGCUACGAGGACGACGAUUGGCUUGGGUAAAGAACGUAAUGGACUUUACUAUCUCGUGGCAUUGGCGUCUAACAAAGCACCUUCCAUCCCUCGCCCAACCUGUCACCUAGCUAUUUCUGCUGCUGAUUUGUGGCACCGUCGUUUAGGACACAUCUCUUCAUCCCGUUUGCAGUUUUUAGCCAAGUCAUCGUUAGAUUGUCCAUCACAAUUCAAUGGUGUGUGUGAUGCUUGCCAUUUGGCUAAACAGACUCGCCUUCCUUUUCCCAUUAGUUCAAUCUCAACUUCAAGACCAUUUUCCCUUAUUCAUUGUGACAUUUGGGGUCCUCAUAAAAUUCCUACCAUGUCUGGGGCACACUAUUUUUUUACUAUAGUGGAUGAUUAUUCCCGUUUCACUUGGGUUUCCCUAAUGCACCAUAAACAUGAAACACAAGGCCUACUCAAAUCUUUUUUUUCUAUGGUUCGUACCCAGUUUAAUACUAAUAUCCAAAACAUCCGUGUGGAUAAUGGGGGAGAGUUUGUUUCGUUGAAAGAUUUUUUCCUAGAACAAGGGACCAUUUACCAACAUACAUGUGUCUAUACUCCCCAACAAAAUGGGGUAGUCGAGCGCAAACAUCGCCAUAUCCUUGAAGUGGCCCGGGCUUUGCGAUUUCAAGCACAUCUUCCUCUUCCUUUUUGGGGGGAAUGUAUCUACACAGCGGUUUACUUGAUUAACCGUUUACCUACUUUGCUUCUUUCAAAGAAAACCCCCUUCGAAAAGCUGCAUAAUAAAUUCCCCUCUUAUAGCCACAUGAAGGUUUUUGGGUGUCUUGCCUUUGCCACUACUGUUGGACCUACUACCAAAUUUGACCCUAGGGCCAAGAAGUGUGUUUUUCUCGGUUACCCACGAGGGCAAAAGGCCUACAAGCUUUAUGAUUUGUCUACCAAAAAAAUCUUUACAAGUCGUGAUGUUGUGUUUCACGAAAAUGUUUACCCUUUUCAAGGUCAAGAUCACAGCACCACCAAAUCUAUCAUUCCCACUCCUGAACCAAUCCUUGAUUUGACUAGUCAACCACAAGAACUUCAUGACUCAUCAACAACCACUCCACAAAACCCCCAAGAACCUGACACCUCACUCACACCACCUCAUGACUUAACCAUUGUACCUAGUCAACCACAAGAACUUCAUGACUCAUCAACAACCACUCCACACAACCCCCAAGAACCUGACACCUCAUUCACACCACCUCAUGACCCAACUUUGACUUCUCCUGCGUCACCACCACAACCUGCCCCCUCAACUCCACCACCACAACCUAUUCGCCAGUCAACACGUCUUCGAGGUCCUCCUACCUACCUCAAGGAUUUUGUCUGCAACCAGGCCGCAUUGCGGGGACCCAAACAAUCGUUGUCUUCGUCUUCAAGUCUCACACCAGGUACACGUUAUCCGCUUUGUAAUUUCCUUUCAUACCAUCGAUAUUCACCCAAACAUUUGGCCUUUAUUAGCCAAAUCAGUCGCGCUGUGGAACCCCAUUCUUUUGCAGAGGCUAAAUCUGAUCCCCGAUGGCAACAAGCCAUGCAAUCUGAAAUUGAUGCGUUGGAAUCCACUAAUACAUGGACCUUUACCAUUCUCCUUCCCGGGAAGCAACUCAUUGGCUGCAAAUGGGUCUACAAAAUCAAGCAUCGUUCUGAUGGCUCUAUUGAAAGGUAUAAGGCUCGUCUUGUUGCCAAAGGUUUCACCCAAACUGAAGGCAUUGAUUACCAUGAUACAUUUUCUCCUACUGCAAAAAUGACUACUGUUCGUUGCUUGCUUGCUCUUGCUGCUGCACGUAAUUGGUCACUUAAUCAGCUCGAUGUCAAUAACGCAUUCCUUCAUGGUGAUCUUCAAGAAGAGAUUUACAUGUCUCCUCCACCUGGUUUUCAGCGACAGGGGGAGAACCUAGUAUGUCGCCUUAACAAAUCAUUGUAUGGCCUCAAGCAAGCCUCUCGCCAAUGGUUUGCAAAGUUCACGGAAGCUGUUCACGCUGCUGGUUAUGUUCAGUCUAAAGCGGACUACUCUCUCUUCACUCGUAAAUGUGGAAAGUCUUUUACUGCCCUUCUGAUUUAUGUUGACGACAUAUUAAUCACAGGUAAUGAUGAAAAAGCUAUCUCUUCCCUCAAACAGUUUCUUCACACUAGGUUUCGUAUCAAAGACCUUGGGGAUUUGAAAUUCUUUCUGGGGAUUGAAGUCUCUCGUUCAAAGAAAGGCAUAUGUAUUUCACAAAGAAAAUAUGCUUUGGAUAUACUCAAAGAUGCUGGCUUGCAGGGUACACGACCUGUCAAUUUUCCAAUAGAGCAAAACCUCAAGCUCUCAGAUUCUGGCGAAAUACUCAAUGAUCCAUCUCGAUACCGAAGGUUAGUAGGACGCUUAAUAUAUCUAACCAUCACUCGACCUGAUAUCACCUACACAGUUCACGUUCUCAGUAGGUUCAUGCAUGAACCUCGCAAACCACAUCUUGAUGCAGCUCUCAGGCUCUUACGGUACAUCAAGACUACUCCAGGUCAAGGCUUGUACUUUUCAGCAGAAAAUAAUCUAAAAUUUAGAGCUUAUAGUGACUCUGAUUGGGGAGGUUGUCGACUUACUCGGAGAUCCACUACUGGGUACUGCAUUUUUAUGGGAAAUUCAUUAAUAUCUUGGCGGUCCAAAAGACAAAAGACAGUUUCACUUUCUUCAGCCGAAGCUGAAUAUCGAGCCAUGGCAGGGACUAGUUGUGAACUUACAUGGUUACGAUACCUUUUACAUGAUUUGCAACUACCUCAUUAUGAACCUGUGACGCUUUUCUGUGACAACAAAGCAGCAUUACACAUCGCUGCUAAUCCGGUUUUUCAUGAGAGAACUCGACACAUCGAGAUGGAUUGCCAUUUUAUUAGAGACAAGAUUCAAGAAGGUUCAAUUGUGACUAGUCAUAUUCGUUCUGCACAACAGCCAGCUGAUGUGUUUACCAAGGCUUUGGGGGAAGUUGCUUUUACUGGAAUUUUGCGCAAGUUAGGAGUUCUUGACAUUCACUCUCCAACUUGAGGGGGAGUGUUGGAAAGUCAAUGAGAUUUUACCUUAUAAGGAUUGAUUUAGAAGAGAAAUUGAUUUGUAAUUUAUAUGUAAUUGAUACAUUAGUUAGUUUCCUUUGUUGUAUAGCAAGAUUGUAGGACGUCAAUUGUAUAAAUUAAGUUCAUCAAAUCAAUGGAAAAUAUCCUGGCAGAAUAUUUUCCAUACCAAUUUUAUACUUUGGGCCAUGUGUGUGUGUGUUUUAGAUUGUGUGGGUGUGUGGGUGUGUACCCGUGUGUGUGUGUAUGUAUAUUUAGUGUGUGUGUGUGCUGUGUGAGUGUGUGAGUUUGUGUGUGUGUGUUUAAGUGUGUGUGCGUGUGUGUAUAUGCAUGACAUGCAUGCAUGUGCAUGCCGUGCAUGUGUAUGUGUGUUUGUGGUGUGUAUGUGUUUGGGCUUAGGCCCAAACCCCAUUUCUUCACCCUAAACCCUUUUAAUCCAAAAAUCUUAGGACCCUAAACCCAAAACCCAAUAAAUCCUAAUCCUAGUUAACCUAAACCUAAACCCUAAUCCAGAUGUCAAGCCUAAAACCCAUUUGACCUAAUUUGACCGUUGACCCCCGGUCAACGUUGACUUUAGGGUGGACUUUUCAGGUUUUCGUCCGGAAGCCUUCUUAGGGUAAUUCGACGUUCUGAAUCCGUUUCCAAUGUCCGUUUUCCCAAAUUCAAUUAUUAUAAUAGAGUUUUAUUAAUUGGACCCUUUAUGUGCUUAGGGGCAAUAUUUGUGACGUUUUCGUGGUUGCUAGUUUGCAUGGCUCUUCGGCGGCUAAGUACUGUGAGUGGACCCCUUCUAAAAUGCAUGUUUUAUAGUAGAAAUGCAUACAUGAAAAGCAUGAUUUGAUGAUUACGUUUUACGAAACGUUUUGUAAGAUAACAUGCUUACUGAGGCCACUUGAAUUAUUACUAUUUUUCCUAUAACCCGUGUUCUUAUAGAAUAUCCGAUGGAUGACGAUAUGAUAUUUAGAACAUGUUUCGAACACCUCUUUAUAGUAUAGAUGAUGGAUGACUUUAUACUAUGAAGUUGUUUUUCAAUAUAUAUAUGUUCAAUGGUUUCGUACUUACCUAGUGGUCCUUUCCGCUACGGGACGUAGGGAUAGAUUCCGGUCCGUCUCGGGCGACGGUUUGGUGUUGGCAUAGGGCCUGGAGUGUGUUUCCUCUGGCUAUUUAGCACAGAGACGGGGAGCCGGCAUGGGGCCUGAAGUGUAUUUUCCUUUGACUGUCUGCUCAGAGACGGGGAGCCGGCAUAGGGCCUGGGGGUUAUCGGACAAUUCACUAGUGAUUAUUAUAUAUGAGUUAUGAUUUGAGAUACUGCACAUCAUGCUAGGUUUCGGAAAACCUAUGUUUAUCAUUAUAUAUGUGUUUUCAUAAACCUGGGGGUUAGUACGUUGAUAACUGUUUUAUUAUAUAUAUAUCAACUUGGUCCACUCAUGUUUGUUUUGCGCCCCCUUCAGGGCUUAGAAUCGAGGCAUACAAUCCCGGCAUCCAGGCACUUCCGCAUCGAUGUCUUCGAGUUCUUUUGGUGUGGGACCCAUUCCUUUGUUCAUUAAAUUUUAUAUCGUUUUUUUUGUAUUCUAGUUAGUCAUAUGCUUUGAACACGUUCCUUAAAUGCUUAUUCUUUUAUAUUUAUAAGUCUUAGUUAUCCUUUAUUUUCACCAAUUGCAUCAAUAAAUGGCUUUCGUCACCCUCGGGUGUCGGCCAGCACGUGCCUAUCCUGGUAUUCGGGAAAUAUCGGGAUCGGGGCGUGUCAGAUUGGUAUCAGAGCGUGGUUUGUUCAGAGCAUACUUAGGAUCCUCUUCUAUUAUCGUAAAGUGUUGGUUUUGACAUCAUUUGGAUGUCCAGACUUCUAGAUUUGGUGCCAUUCGGCGCAGUCGUACGAAUCUUCCUCUGUUUGAAUUGUCACAUUCGGGUUGAUAUACAAGAAUUUGUGUCGGGAUUGUGCCUCAUCGGUGACGUGUUUGAAUUGUUGGACGACUUUCAACUUCGGAUCGAUGCUCUGCGACGUGCAUUCCCUGGGAAUGACGGGUAGAGUUGGUGUUACCUGGAAGCGGCAUGUUUUAGAAAUCUCAGUUUAAGGAAGUCUGGUCAAGACCAGCUGUAAAUCCGAAAUGGCGAUGCCACUCUGCAACAUGCGUUCCCUAGGAAUUGCGAGCAGAGUCGGCUUUGCAUUGAAAUCUUGGGAAACGGAAAAAUUUUGGCAGUACGAAUUGGUUAAAACCAACUGGAGAUCUGAAGCGAUGAUAUCACUCUGCAACAUGCGUUCCCUAGGAAUGGCGGGCAGAGUCAUAUCUAUUGGAAAUUGCUUGAAAUAUUCAAAGUGCGUGCUAAAGAAGCGAGUAAGUGCUAGUGGUGACGACGGUUAGUAGGUGGUAGUUGGUGGGAGCAAAUCAAUGUUCUCGGACUCAUUACCACCGAAGAAAUUUGGGUGAAUCUUUAUAACAAUUCUCGGCGAUUGUUCUAUCGAUUACCUUCUUGUUUACUCAAUGAAGAAGACAAGUUCACGAACCUUUGAUCGUCGACUUCACAUCAAAUCCUUCGGGAGUUGACUUCGUCUAGAGAUUACACUUUUCUUGGGAAACUCCUCGGUAGCAGAUGUUGUUCCCAUCAAUUUCCCAAAAUGGAGUUACGAUUCUCGUUGUUGUGGUAGUUGGACUUGGAUGAUGAAGAUCUAGUUUUGUUUGGAUAAACAAAUUCCUUGAAUUUCACCUGGGUCUGGUACUCGGUGGUAAAAUGCCCCUUGUCCUUGUACUUUUCGGUAGAGGUAAACUUAACCUCUUGCUUGUAGCCCAACUGACCAGUGCUCUUGUCCGUUAACUGUUUAGCCUUGUAAUUUUCAGUAUAAUGGCUUGAGACUCUACCAUAUUCAUCAUUGUACGAAGAUCGAGCUUGACUCUAAACUUCUCUGGACUCAUUGAGCUUUGGUUUGCUUAGAGGCAUCACUUUAAGGUAGCCAAUCGUGUCACUGCAUGCAUACGCAGACUGCUUCAUAUCUUUCUUCAUCGUCAUUCUGUUGAUUCAGAGGUUCUAUGUUUAAUUUUAAACUUUGAAACAGCUCUCACAAAGUAUUGUGAAUUUCGAAAUGUCUUUGGCCUCGUCAAAUCUUAUUAACAGUUCUUAACUAUUCUUGAGAUUAGACCUAUUCCUUUUGGCUAAGAAACCCGUCAACCUUAUUGUGAUGAUUAGCCAAAUAAUCAUAAACAGUGACUUCUAUUUCUGCAUCUUCAUUUUCCUUCGCUUGUUUGUUUCUCAAUGUAAAUUGAAUCAUGCCGGAACAAAAAUAAAUAAAUUUGUUCUCAGCAUGGUUUCUGGUUUAAAUCCCGAUAUCUUGUACUCCAGUUUUAAUGGACUUGUUUUGACUCUCAAAUUCUUGAGUGUUCUUUUAGCCUUACCGACAUGUUUUCUCGCUCAAUCAGUGAGGAAUUCACGAUCGAUCGAUUCGGCGGAAGUGUGCACCCAAUUCUUAUCGUUUUGGAUAGGAAUGAUGGGAGUAUAAUAUUUUGACAAGCUUACCAGACUUACCAGAAAGAGUUCCUCGUGGGUGUGAAGUUUGAGUCGUCUUUUGGUAAGAGACCGGUGAAAGAUUGUGAUGCAGAUGAGUAGCAUAUUGCAUCACUAUCUUCACGCUAAUUGAAUGGUCACCAUUCAUUAUCUUGCUACAAUUCAUAACCAUCAUAUCUUACUCUAGUACAUCUUUUCGAUGAUGUGAUGUGUUCGCCUCAACGCAGCUUUCCACUACCUCUCACCAGGAUCAUUCGGUUCGAGAGCACAUGGGCGUGAGGUUUGAGCGGUCUUUUAGUAAGAGUUGGUUGAAGGUUUUAGUACAGAAGGUCAGCAUAUUGUAUCACCAUCUUACUAGAAUUCAUAGGCAUCACAUCGGUUAUUUUCCAACGAUAUGUGUUCAUCUCAACGCAUAUUUCCACUGCUUCACUUCUUAACCUUAUUGUUGUGAGUAGGUGGAUGUCGAAACACUUAUAGCAGAUCUGUUUGGUGCACUCUGGAAUGACACCACCGCGUUGUCGAUGUGAGAAUCGGAAGAUCUUUAAACUUCUCUUGAAUGGGGUGUGCUCUCAUGGGGUUUUUACGUUGAUCACUUGAGAGUCCUUCUUCUUUCCACCAACUUUGACCUUGUUUGACUAGAAGUCUACAACUAAGCAAAAAUGGAGAGGUGGAUUGAGCAUUACAACAACUCCCAAGAGAUACUGUGUGUUGAGGAAGAUGACUUCUCGUUUUCUGCUUGGUUCGAGCUUUUGGGUCUACUACUAACAUGGUAGCCACUUCCCUUGAAUCCCAAGGUACAGUUUUCAAAAGGGUUCUUUACUGGUGAAGCACUGGAGUAGUUAGUCACAUUUGGAAGAACUGAGGAGGAUAGGAUGCUUGGUGAUGGAUAAAGUUUUACAAGGACAGUUCUUAUUUUGUUCGGUUUGAGUAUGGCACUUGUUGUUGCAUGGUACGAGAGUUGGUACAUGCAACACUGGUUAGCAGAUGAGUAUUGUGAGCUAGUAGUCGGAGGAUUGAAUUUUCGACGUGUAAAAUUGUGCACCCUCAGUUAAUUACUGCUUGCUUAUCGAGACAACAAAUGUGUGAUCGAUAUCACAGGCGGCCGACUGUUGUAUCGAUAACUUAUUUGUUGGGUUCGUUAAGCAAGUGGGCAGGAAGAUCCGUCUACGGCAAUUGUUACAGAUUCGUUAUUCUUGGGAUUCGACCCAAAGGCACAUCUUUUCUCGGAGUACGUGAAGUUACGAAUUCUUGGGCGAGACCCACUCUCAUCUUUCAGUUUUGGUUUUCAGUAUAAGUAUUUUAACUUCAUUUACUUUGGUUAUUUGUUUUUGGUGUUACAAAUGUUUUGAGGAAAGUGUUUUCUGUUUUCAAUUUUAAAUUCAGCUCGAGUUUUUGACCUAUAUGUUAGUACAUAUCUAUUUUUGACGCUAUAGUAUUUUGCGUACUUAUUUUUGACCUUAUGUCAAUAUAUGUUUUUGACCUUAUAUCUUAUUAAUGUUUUCUACUUUUACACUGAUGGGGAUGAAAGUAAGAGUUUGGAGGCAUGAUAGAGGAUUUUGCAACCCGCUCGCGACGGUGUGGCAUAUUCUCUUUGAUGCACCCACUCUGACUUGAUUUCUCUUUAGACAUAUAUUCUUUUUACUAUUUACGUGUAUUUCAGUUUAGUAGGUGAUUUUAAAUUUCGGGGACGAAAUUCUUUUAAGGGGGUAGAUUGUUACACCCGCCCCUAAUUUAAAUCGUAUUUUUACUAAGUUUGAGUUUAUCUUGUUUUUAAAAUUGUUUUGGGUCUUAAAUGGUGUGCCCAAGGGGCCCACCCCCUGUUUUGUCCCCCGUUCCCUUUCCCUUUCUUUUAUUUAUUUUCUUUUUCUUCUGAAAAGUCUCUCUUUCUCUCUUCUUCCUCUUCUCUCCCUCGGCACAACUCUCUCCCUCUCACCCGUGCCCUUCCUCCCUGCAAAUCCUCACUUCCACACCACAUCAAUGAAGAUGACAGCACCCAUCACAACCUCUGCAGUUUUCUCUCACCCGUUGUAGAAAGGACGACGAAAUCCCAGAAGCCUCCGACGAGCAUCGCCCCUUUCGAGGAAAUUUCCGGCCAAACUACGGCGAGUUGGUCGGCGUACAAGGUAUCAAUCUCUUCGUCUCGUCAAGUACUACAACUUUCCUUUUUGUUUCACCCAAUUUAGUUGAGUAUUGAAGAAGUUAUACUCAUUUGAAUCUUACCCAGUUUCUGGCGAGUCCGACAGAUUUCGAUGCGUUUUCCGGUCAAACCACGGCGAGUUAGACGUCGUGUGAGGUACCAUUCUCUUCGUCUCUUCAAGGGCUACAACUUUUGUUUUUGUCUCGCUUGAUUUCGUUGAGUUUUGACAAAGUUAUGGCCGUUUAAAGAUUGUGCAUUUUCCGGCCGAAUUCCGGCUUUCUCUCCCAUUGGGUCCGGCGACCCACCAAAACCAAGCCCAUUGGGCCUUCCCUGCUGAGCCCAACCCUUUUGGUUGUGAGGCCUUUGGGCCAUGUGUGUGUGUGUUUUAGAUUGUGUGGGUGUGUGGGUGUGUACCCGUGUGUGUGUGUGUAUAUUUAGUAUGUGUGUGCUGUGUGAGUGUGUGAGUUUGUGUGUGUGUGUUUAAGUGUGUGUGCGUGUGUGUAUAUGCAUGCCAUGCAUGCAUGUGCAUGCCGUGCAUGUGUAUGUGUGUUUGUGGUGUGUAUGUGUUUGGGCUUAGGCCCAAACCCCAUUUCUUCACCCUAAACCCUUUUAAUCCAAAAACCUUAGGACCCUAAACCCAAAACCCAAUAAAUCCUAAUCCUAGUUAACCUAAACCUAAACCCUAAUCCAGAUGUCAAGCCUAACACCCAUUUGACCUAAUUUGACCGUUGACCCCCGGUCAACGUUGACUUUAGGGUGGACUUUUCAGGUUUUCGUCCGGAACCCUUCUUAGGGUAAUUCGACGUUCUGAAUCCGUUUCCAAUGUCCGUUUUCCCAAAUUCAAUUAUUAUAAUAGAGUUUUAUUAAUUGGACCCUUUAUGUGCUUAGGGGCAAUAUUUGUGACGUUUUCGUGGUUGCUAGUUUGCGUGGCUCUUCGGCGGCUAAGUACUGUGAGUGGACCCCUUCUAAAAUGCAUGUUUUAUAGUAGAAAUGCAUACAUGAAAAGCAUGAUUUGAUGAUUACGUUUUACGAAACGUUUUGUAAGAUAACAUGCUUACUGAGGCCACUUUGAAUUAUUACUAUUUUUCCUAUAACCCGUAUUCUUAUAGAAUAUCCGAUGGAUGACGAUAUGAUAUUUAGAACAUGUUUCGAACACCUCUUUAUAGUAUAGAUGAUGGAUGACUUUAUACUAUGAAGUUGUUUUUCAAAAUAUAUAUGUUCAAUGGUUUCGUACUUACCUAGUGGUCCUUUCCGCUACGGGACGUAGGGAUAGAUUCCGGUCCGUCCCGGGCGACGGUUUGGUGUUGGCAUAGGGCCUGGAGUGUGUUUCCUCUGGCUAUUUAGCACAGAGACGGGGAGCCGGCAUGGGGCCUGAAGUGUAUUUUCCUUUGACUGUCUGCUCAGAGACGGGGAGCCGGCAUUGGGCCUGGGGGUUAUCGGACAAUUCACUAGUGAUUAUUAUAUAUGAGUUAUGAUUUGAGAUACUGCACAUCAUGCUAGGUUUCGAAAAACCUAUGUUUAUCAUUAUAUAUGUGUUUUCAUAAACCUGGGGGUUAGUACGUUGAUAACUGUUUUAUUAUAUAUAUAUCAACUUGGUCCACUCAUGUUUGUUUUGCGCCCCCUUCAGGGCUUAGAAUCGAGGCAUACAAUCCCGGCAUCCAGGCACUUCCGCAUCGGCCUCUUCGAGUUCUUUUGGUGUGGGACCCAUUCCUUUGUUCAUCAAAUUUUAUAUCGUUUUUUUUUGUAUUCUAGUUAGUCACAUGCUUUGAACACGUUCCUUAAAUGCUUAUUCUUUUAUAUUUAUAAGUCUUAUUUUCAGCAAUUGCAUCAAUAAAUGGCUUUCGUCACCCUCGGGUGUCGGCCAGCACGUGCCUAUCCUGAUAUUCGGGAAAUAUCGGGAUCGGGGCGUGUCAAGACGCCUUGGCACAAGCUAGUAGUAAUCUUCGAAGUGGGGAAAAUUUAGCAGAUCAGGUAACAAUAUAUUAUUUAUUUGUUUGUACUAUACCCAAAUUUACAUUAGCUACUUUGAUUAUAAUUAUUUCUUUUCCCUCAUUGUGUAGACACUUCAAGCACAAGCUUGGUAUAAUGCCAAAACCAAAAACAAAAACAAAUCAUUCACCCCCGGUGGGAAUGUUGGAAUAUUGUCAAAGAUUGUCCUAAAUUCAGAGUUGUGCAUAUCGGUCCAGAAGUUGUCAUGAACAUCACCCAUCUACACUCUACGCCCGAUCAUGUCUCACAUGUUCAUAAAGAUGAUGCAGAAGAAGUGCUGGAAAUGCCCCAUGAACAAGUGCCAGGGUCGACCCGUUAUCCAAUUAGGCUUUAAGGUAAGAAGGCUUCAAAGAGAAAAGAGAGUGCUUCCAAGAAUGAUUAUGCAAAAUAUAUGGAAGAACUUGCUCACCAAGGUGAAUUGACUUUGGCAUGGGAAAUGGCUAAAUUUGAGGUUCAUAAGGCUAGAAAGGAUGCAAAAGUUGCAGCUGUUGAGAGAUUAUUUCAAGCUAAUGAAAGAGAAAGAAAGCUACUUAGGCAAGAAAGGGAAGCGCUUUGACAUGCCUCGAUCCUGAUAUUCCCCAAAUAUCAGGAUAGGCACGUGCUGGCUGACACCCGAGGGUGACAAAAGUCAUUUAUUGAAUGCAAAUGCUGAGAAUAAGGAAUAAAUAAGACUUAUAAAUUUACAAAUAAAGAAUAUGCAUUUAAGGAACGUGUUCAGAGCAUACAUCUACCUAGAAUACUAAAAUAAUUAAUAUAAAAUUGAAUGAAUAAAAGAAUGGGUCCUACAUCAAGAGGACUCGAAGAUGCCGAUGCAGAAGUGCCUGGACGUUGGGAUUGUAUGCCUCGAACUCUAAAUCCUGAAGGGGGCGCAAACAAACCUGAGUAGACCAAGUUGAUAUAUAUAUAUAUAUAUAUAUAUAUAUAUAUAUAUAUAUAAUAAAGCAGUUAUCAACGUACUAACUCCUAUGUUUUAUGAAAACACAUAUAUAUAUCAUGAUAAACAUAGGUUUUCUGAAACCUAGCAUGCCGUGCAAUGUCUCAAAUCAUACCUUGUAUAUAUAAUAAUCACUAGUGAAUGUCCAAUAACCCCCAGGCCCCAUGCCAGCUCCCCAUCUUUGAGCAAAUAGUCAGAGGAAAAUUACCCCCAGGCCCUAUGCUGGCUCCCCGUCCCUGUGCUAGUAGCCAGAGGAAAAACACUUCAGGCCAUAUGCCAACACCAUAACUGUCGCCCGAGACAGACCAGAAUCUGUCCCUACAUCCUGUAGUGGAAUAAGGACCACUAGGUAAGUACAAAACCAUCGAACAUACAUACAUUUGAAAAACAACUUCAUAGUAUAAAGUCAUCCAUCAUCUAUACUAUAAAGAGGUGUACAAAACAUGUUCUAAAUAUCAUAUCGUCAUCCAUCAUAUAUUCUAUAAGAACACGAGUUAUAGGAAAAAUAGUAAUAAUUCAAAAUAGCCUCAGUAAGCAUGUUAUCUCAUAAAACGUAAGCAUUAAAUCAUGCUUUUCAUGUAUGCAUUUCUACUAUUAAAACAUGCAUUUUUAAAAGGGGUUCACUCACAGAUACUUAGCCGCUGAAGAGCCACGCAAACUAGCGAACACGAAAUCAUCACAAAUAAUUGCCCCUAAGCACAUAAAUGGUACAAUUAAUAAAACUCUAUCCAAAUGAUUUAAUUUGGGAAAAUGGACGUCAAAAAUGGAUCCAGGACAUUGAAUUACGCUAAGAAGGGUCUUGGUUAAAUUUUGCAAAAUGUUAACAUAGGAAUAUUCCAGGAAUUUUCCUUGGAAUAUUCCAACUGGAUCUGGGCUAGGUUGGUGAGUUUGGGCUGAAGGGUGCUAGGCCCAAAGACCUAAAUUCAAAGGAUUUAGGGUUUAAAGUGCAUGGGCCUAAGGCCCUAGAGAGAAAUGGCCCAAAGGCCUUUAAAUUAACAACAUAAUUAAAAAAUAAAAGAAAUAAAAGAGUUGGGUUGGGUUGGGUUGGGCUGUCCAGGGUUUUGGGCUUGGCAUGAACGGCCCGAAGGCCUGGGAUAAAAGGUUAAAGGGACACGGGUUGGGCUGCCCUAAGGGAUGGGUCAUAAAGGGUUUUUAGGUUAGGUUGAAUGGCCCAAAGGCCUAUCUACAAGGCCCACAUUUUACACAGCCCCAAGGGCCUAGUUCGAAGAGGCUUUGGGCUUGAAAGGCAGACCUGAGUUCAAAACAUGGGUCGUCGGGCCCAAAGGAAGGAAAAUGCUGAAAUUCGGCUGGAAACCUGAACAAACUUUAAACGUUAAUAACUUUGUCAAUACCCAACUCGCCGUGUUUUGGCAGGGAAACACCUCGAAAGCCGCAAAGAUUGCCGAAAACUGGGUAAGAUUCAAAUGGAUAUAACUUCUUCAAUACUUAACAAAAUUGGGUGAAACAAAAAGGAAAGUUGUAGUACUCAGCGAGACGAAGAGGUUGAUACCUUAAACGUCGGCUAACUCACCAUGGUUUGGCCGAAAAGUGGCCUGAAAGUCACAUGUAUUUGUUGAAAUCUGGGUUUAGUUCUCUGAGGUGGUUUUCCUGUGUUAAAACAUCCCCAAGACAGUACCUAUUUUCAUUAAAAUCACCAAAACGUUGAAAAUGAUGAAUAAGUGAUGGUAUUUCGAGCCUCACCUAGUCAGGAAUAGUAGAACUUGCUGGAGUGGGUGUGCUAAGCAUGUUUGAGUGGUCUCUGUGCUUCACAAAGGAUGAGGGAAAGACGAAAGGCCCAACGAUGGUGGUGCUGUUGUCGUGUGUUUGUAUGUUUGUUUGUGUGUGUGUGUUCGACGGUGAGGAGGGAAUAAUGAGGUCAAGAGAGAAGUGCAGAGAGUUUCGGGGAGAGAAAGAGAGAGAGAUAGAGAAAGAGUUAUAAAAAUCAGAAAAAGAAAGAAAAGGGGAAAGGAAUCGGGGGACAAAUCAGAGGGUGGGCCCCAUUGGGCUCACCAAUUAAGACACAAAAACCAUUUUUAAAUAAAAACCUAAAACUACCUUUAAAAUUGAGGGUGGGGUGUAACACGCUUAGAGAAGAAAGAAGGGCUCAACAAGAUCGUGACAUUAUGAAGGAGCCUGUAGAGGCGAUGUCUCUGAAUUCUAAAUAUUUUUGGAAUUUAGAGAAAGCGAAUGUGGUGCGAAGGAGGCAUACAAGAGAAGCGAGAGCAAGAGGAGAUGAUCCUAGCAUGACAAGAGGAGAUGAUCCUAGCACCAGAAAUUGGUUAGGUGAUGAUUUUCCAUUCACGAGGGACUAGGGAAUUUGUUUUUAAUCGGAGCCCAUAACUUUCCAAUCAUUUUGGGUUGUAAUUUCUUAUUUAUUGAAUAGAGUACUUUAUGUUGUUUCCAAUUUAUUGAAUUUAGUACUUUAUUUAAACUAAGAGUAUAUUUAUUUAAUUUGGUAAUUUAUUUAAACUAAGAGAAUUUUUAUUCAAAUGACAUAAACACACCAAAUAAAAUUACAGAAACAUACCAAAUAAAAUUACAAACAUACAAAAUGAAAAAAAACUCACUAAAUGAACUUAAAAAACACACCAAAUAAAAUUAAAUAAACACACCAAAUAAAAACAAACACACUAAAUGAACUUAAGUUUCUUGAGCUUGUUUCAAUUCCCAUUGGUGCUCUAUCAAGUCAAUUUGCCGGCCAUUGUGCAUAUAUGGGUUCUGAAGUGCAGUACAUCGUUGAAUGAGCUUUUCAUUGUAAUGUCCAUCCCUUUGUUAUGGCUCUUGUUGCAUGGGUUAUUCGGUGGCAUCAUGAGCACAAUAUAUUUGUGUUCUAGAAUUGUUCAUCGUGUCUGCCUCAUAUUCAUCAAUGGCAUCAUAAUUGUACUCAUUUUUCAUAAUCAUGUUGUGAAGAAUGAUGCACGUCAUCAUGAUGGAUCGAAACGACUCUAAAUCAAACAUUUUGGCAUCACCCCUGACAAUCGCCCAACGAGCUUGGAGGAUACCAAAACAACACUCCACAUCCUUCCUACACCUCUCUUGAUAGCUUGCAAAGUGUUUUUCCUUUGCACUUCGCGAACGUGGCACUGUGACAAAUGAUGACCACCUUGGGUAAAUGUCGUAUGCUAGGUAGUAUGGCCUGUGGUACUUAUGUCCAUUGACCCAAUACGUGACUCUUGAUGCUUUUCCUUGCAAGACAUCAUUGAACAAUGGGGAUUGGGUAAGGACAUUGAGGUCAUUUUGAGCCUCCGAAACACCCAAAAAAACGUGCCAAAUCCAUGUAUCAAAUGAAGCCACCGCCUCCAAAAUGAAUUUUUUUUUUGCUCAUUUUUUGUUCUCAUAAGCUCUUUGCCAUGCACUUGGACAUUUUUUCCAGGUCCAGUGCAUACAGUCGAUGCUUCCAAUGUGAAAUCCCAUUCCCGGAUUUCAUUGCUUAAAAUUAUGUAUUCCGCAUUUCGUAUUCUUAGUUUCGACGUUUUAUAUGUACGGCGUAUUCGACCCCUACGUAUUUUUCCACGUAUCCUUAUAUAUCUGGAUAGUACUUGUCGAUACGAAUGCAUGGGCGCCAACAUAAUGUGAUUCAAAAUUAUAACGAAGAUUUUAUAAGGUUUUGAAUGUUGAGGAUAUUUUGGUAAAUUGAUAAUUAAUUGGACAUGUGAUAUUUUUGUCAAACCAUUGGGUGAGUGUCACGUGGGCACCCAAAAAUGCUGGAACUCUCUCUCUUCUCCCUUUUCUCUCCCGUUCUCUCUAGAGUUCUCUCACUCUCUCUCAGCUCUCCCUUUCUUCCUGUGAAACAAACCACCAUCAUCACCAAAAAUUUUGGCUUGUUGAACACCAAAACCACCAUUAUUUGCAUGUCUUCACCACCAUAAACCCAGUUUUGAGUUUUGUUUCAUUGAAAGCGAAUCCUAACCUCGAGGUCGAAGAACAAGGUUUUGGGCUGAGACUUCUAGGCGUGAUUCAGACAAUUUUCAGUCAUCUUUUGAACUCAAAAUAGGUAAAAAUCGAUUCAUCUCAUCGAUUAGAUAAAUUUUCAUGUUUGGGUCGUGUGAUUUGGUUGAGAAAUGAGAAAGUUAUAACGAUUUGAAGUUUGCCCAGUUUUUGGCAAACCCGUGACAUUCCAGGCCAUAUUCCCACCAAACCACAGCGAUUUAGCCAUCAGAAAAGGUAUCAAUCUGUUCUUCUCGUUCCAAGCUAUGAUUUUCGUUUUUGAAUCACUCGAUUUCGUUGAGUAUUGACAAAGUUAUGGACGUUUAAAAUUUGCCCAGAAAUUCUGGCGAGUUAGCAGUUUUCCCGCAAACAGCCGUCUUUCGGGCCAUUUUCCGGGAACCUACAACCACCAUUUGGGCUUUAAGAAGUAUAAUCUUAUUCUAUGCUUCUCUAGCUUCGUUUUGGUAUAUUAUGGGUCGAAUUUGGGUUAUUAUGGGUUGAAUUUGGGUGAGAAACGAGUUAGAUAUGGAGUUCUAAAGAUUGCCCAGAAAAUCUGCAAAAUCUGCAGAAUCCGGCGAAAUUUCGUUAAGGUCUGCCACUUGAACAUUAUAGCAAUCAACAAUCAAACCGUUGGAUCGUCACCAAACUUUGAUACAUUAUAGUACAUAAUAUUUAAGGACCUUAGGAACUUACAAAUCCAAAAUCUCAUGGUUGGAUCUCACGGAGCAAGUGACGUAGGAUCUUGGACCAUACUUUUGAACGACGGUUUGAUUCUCAUUAAAUGUUGUUGUUGUGGAGGACGUAUGGGAGUUUUUCAGUAUGUGAAUUAUCGAAGGAAAUCUAAAUGUGGACUUGUACUUUGUUUUAGGCGAUGAUAGUGCCUAACGUCUCAAUUCUUCCGCUAGGGUGCGUUAGUGCAGGCUCCAGGUGAGUGACUUUAAUAUAUGUGAUAUUGGUGAUUACCCUGUUUUCUUAAUUGUUAUCCUGUGUGGAUAUGAUUUGGUUUUAUAAAUAUGUUUUCUAUUGAAUUGUUAUUUUUAAUGCUUAGCCAUCGAUUUAUGUUUAUGAAAUGAGAUUUGACAUGUAUAUUUGAAAUAUGGUUUGACUUGUAUGAUUGGCAUGUUGUGAUGAAAUGUGAGGGCUAGUAGUGGACUGUUAACCCAUUGUGACUGGGAUUUUUUGCUUCCAUAUUGUUUCGUUUCUCGCUUCACUGAUUCGUUCUAAGUUUCGUAUUUGUGUCUUGUUUCACUUUGUUGAGCUUUUGUUAAAUUGAGUAACUUGUGACUUGUCUCGUUUCUUUAAGCCAUUGUAUAUUAUGGUUGUUGGCCUUCCGCUCGAUUUCGUUGAGUGAUCCGGAACUGGGUUUCCGCUGGGGUUCCGUUGAGUGGUCCGGUUCCCUACUCUGUUUGGAUUCCGUUGAGUGGUUUGGAAUCCCUUGUAAUCUGUGAUUCCAUUGAGUGGUCUGGAAUCGUAUCCAUCUUGGAUUUCGUUGAGUGGUCUGAUAUCCAUUGUACUCCACGAUUCUGUUGAGAGGUCCGGAAUCCCUUUUACUCUGUGAUUCCGUUGAGUGGUCCGGAAUCCCAUUUGGUAUUAUGGUUCCGUUAAGAGGCCUGGAACCAGAUUAAUUGCUUUGUUGAUUCUUCGGAUUGAGUUUGGAUUGAGAUAGCUUCAGAGAUGUAGACUUCAGCCGGACUAUGUCGUUGUAGCCUUACUUUUCAUUGUGUUGUAUGAGUCUAUGGUUGUGAGCUUUUGUGACUUGUUUCAGACGAGCCGUUGGAUGUCACCAUUAUGAUUUCAUAAAAUAUGAUUUUAUAUUUGAUGUAUAUAAACCGUGAUUGAUAGAUGUUUUAUUAGUAUCACAUACAUCGAAUUAUUGUCACUCACACGAGUUUUGCGGUUUAUCCAGAUUGUUGUUUGCUCGGUGCACCAUUCCCAUGGUGUAGGGAUGAUUGUGCAGGUUUUAGUAGAUAUGGGGAACUUUGGGGGUAGCAAGCAGAGUUUAGAGGGCUUGGAGUGUUAGGUUACCCUUAUACUUUUCCUUAAAAAUAUGUGAUUAUUGUUGAUUUCAACUCAGUAGUUCAGUUUGUAUUGGCAUCCCUCUACAGUCUUCUGUCGCGCGUCGAUCCUGGAUGUACUUCGGGAUCGGGGUGUGACAUCCAAUCAUCCCACAAAAACCUCGCACCUCGACCUUCUUUAGAAGCCUUUGCAAGUCCAUCUUAGUAGGUUUCCGAAGGUACUCUGCGGUGUAGAGAGAUUCGAUUGUGGAGCAAAACCUCAUUAGGGAGUCAUGAAUGGUUGAUUUCCCUAUCCUCGCUAUCUCAUCCACUUGGUCUGCAGAUGCUCCAUAUGUAAGCAUCCGCAAGGCAACAGUAAUUUUUUUUCUCAAGAAGGAAACCCAUAACACCAAAAACAUCAUUCUUUUGAACAAAGUAAGAAUCAUGGUUGCAAACAACAAUUAUGAUUUUAUUAAACAAAUGUCGUUCCAUUCUAAAAUGACGUCUAAAGUACGUAUCAGGGAAUGCACUGUUACGGACAAAAUAAUCGUCCAAGAGAUCCGUACCUCGUCAUUGCCUACUUCUAUCAAUUUUUGCGGAACGCCUAGGCCUGCAGAUCUGAGCCACAACUUGGAUGACUCGAUGGAAAUAUGAGGCUCUUUGGCUUCUUGCUUCAUCAUCUAUUCUUCUACGCUUCUCAUCCUCUUUCUCUUCCAUCUCAUUUUCACCCACCUGGAGAUUGAGCAUUUCUUCCCCUUGCUUAAACAAUUCUUUCUCUUGCUCAUCAAUUUCCCACAACGUCCUUGAAGAAGACAUUGUAAGAAGGAUGCAGAAACUAUGAAUAAUGAUAGAGAUUUUGAUUUUGUUAUGUGAUUUCUAAGGACGGAUGGUGGGUUAUAUGGAGGAAAAAGAAAGGAUUAGGUUGUAGAUAAUGCCACGUGGCAUGCGGUCAUUCGUUAAAAAUUUGAUCGAAAUCUAUCCUCAAAUAUUGUAAACAGAUUGUGACACGUGACACGAGGUGAUUGGUUAAAAAUCUUAUCGGAAAUCUAUCAUCAACGAUUUUGAAAAGGUAACGACAUGUGACACGACGGUAUUGGAUAAACAUCUUAUUGAAAUCUAUCACCAAAAAUUGUCUUCUUGGAUAAUGACACGUGGUGUAACGAGAACGAUUAAAAAUCUUAUCCAAAAUUACAAAUAAAAUUAUUUUGUAUUAUUUUAUAAAAUAAAAAAUACUAAUAUUUUAUUGCUUAUUGCCAUGGCUAUUUAGUUUUAGGGGUGGAGAUGCAAAAGACAGUUACUGUUCAUUAAUGGAAGUUACUGUUCACUAGAGGCUAUUCAAUAGUGAGUUGCCCUAAGAGGCCUUUGCAACGCUGGUGUGAAAUCCCGUUCCUGGAUUUCACUGUUAUAAUCUACAUAAUUGUAUUAUUGAGAUUUUAUGUUAUUUUUGAGAAAUUAUAUUAAUUUAUUUGGAUUUAGAUUUUAAUUAAAUUAGUUACAAAGUUUGAAGUUUAGAAAGUAAUUAUCUAAAAUUUGUAGACCUUUCGAAGUCACAAUUUAUAUUGUUGAAUAGAUAUCGAGAUCAUGAACGCAUAGGCGAAAGUCGUUUGUGAGUCCAGAUUAUAAUGGUAUAGUUAUGGACGUUUGAAGUUGUUGCUAAAAAAUAAAAAAUGAAAAUGAAAAGAGAAGAAAAAGCCACGCGAGUGGCUGAAAGAAAAAAAAAAGGAAGCCCAGCCUUCCUUUGCACCUGUGCACCAACCUAACUCCAUUUUUGGCGGUCUCCGCCAUUCUUUCCGUCGAUUCAUCACCAUCCAUCACCUACAACCUCUUCCUCAACCUUCCCUCUACCAUCUUCACCCAUAUUUGAGAGUUUUUAGGCCCAAUUUCAUGAAGAACUUCACCGGGUUCGCGGGUGAGUUCGACGGUGAUUCCGUCGUUCCAGCGACUUGCACCACUUACCACCACCCUUAAUCAACUUCCCUUGGACCCAGGAACAAGACCCAACAGGUGGUUGGAGCGUUGGAACACCAAGGAAGCCGAAUUGAAGAACACCCACCUUAGGGUUUCGACGGGUGCGAGCCAAUUUGAGGGCCUUCCUGGCCAAAUUGGACUUGGCCACAGGUAUAAAGUUUACUCUACUUGUUGAGACCUUCAUUCUUGUAAAAUUUGAGAAUUUUUGGAAAAAGUCGAAUUUCCAAUGUGUGACAUUAGAUUUAUGAAAUACUUCUUUCAUUACCAAGCAUCUAGACCUAGAAGGGAAUUAUAGUUGAAAUGACAUCCUUGUUAAUCUUGUGCUUAUUUGAGUGUGUUUGAUUGGGGUUUAAGAGUUUAGAUUGUUUACUAGUAGUUAUAUUCAAGUUAUUAGUAAACGAUCCAGUUUCUCUUAAUAUAUAUAGAUAUAUAUAUAUAUAUAUAUAUAUCUAUAUCUAUAUAUAGAUAUCUAUAUCUAUAUAUAGAUAUCUAUAUCUAUAUAUAGAUAUCUAUAUAUAGAUAUAGAUAUAUAUUGCCGCAUAUACAUGUCAAAAGGGGUAGUGGCAUGAGUGAAGAGGUGGUGUUUUAAGUUGAAAAACCAUUAACUUUGGGUUGGUUUAUUAAAGGAUGGAGAAUGAAGGUUACAAGCAUAGGAAUAUAACGUUAAAAUGUUGAUUUCAUGGAUGAGAAAUAAUAUGUAUGGUUACUAGUAUAAAAGGGUGAGUGACUUUAAUAUAUGUGUUAUAGGUGAUUACUCUAUUUUCAUAAUUAUUAUCCUGAGAGGGUAUGAGACGAUUUUAUGAUUAUGUUUCCUAUAAAGUGCCAUCGUUAUAGUUUAUGAUGUGGAAUUUGACGUGCAUAUUAGAAACAUGGUUUGCUUUGUGUGGUUGGCUUGAUGUGAUGAAAUGUGAGGACUAGUGGUGGACUAUGAACCCAUUGUGAUUGGGGAUUUGUUGCUUCGAUAUUGUUUCUUUUCCCUCUUCGUUGAUUCGUUUUAAAUUUAGCAUCUGUGCCUUAUUUCCCUUGGUUAAGCUUUUGUAAAUUUAGUAGCUUGUGCUUGUCUCAUUUCUUUGAGCCGUUGUACAUUAUGGUUGUCGGCCUUCCGCGAUUCCGUUGAGUUGUGUUCCGGAAUCGUAUCCACUUGGAUUCUGUGAGAGAUGGUUCAAAAUCUCUUCUACUCCGCGAUUCCGUUGAGUGAAGUUUCGGAAUCGUAUUCACCUUGAGUUUCAUUGAGUUUGGAUUAAGAUAGCUUCAAAGGUAUAGGCUUCGGCCGAACUAUGUCGCUCUAACCCUACUUUUCAUGGUGUUGUAUGAGAAUAUGAUUGUGAGACGUUGUGAUUGUUUCAGACGAACCGUUGGAUGUCUGGGUGACUCCUUCGGAGUUUGCGAAUGUUUGGUAUUAAUUUCUUAUGAAUGAUUCAUAUUCAAAGUUUAUAAACUGUGAUUGAUAGUUGGUUUUAUCACUAUUAUCACACUUUGUAUUAUUGUCGCUCACCUGAGCUUCACAACUUAUCCAAGAUCUGAAUUGCCCAGUGCACCAUUUCCAUGAUGUAGGCACUGAUUUUAAAUGCAACAAGUCUGGAUAGAUUAUGAGAAACCGAUUGAUAUUUUGGUUCCGUUGAAUGGUCCGGAACCCGAUGUCGUUGGAUUCCGUUGAGUGGUCCGGAAUCCUUACUCUUGCACAUUCCAAAAGGUUAGUCUAGAACCCUAGAUUCGAGCGAAUGGGAAUUAUCCAUAGACCUUGUGAAUAUAAAUUAGAAUUACCAUGUUAUUACUCAUAACCCAAGUAGGGAAUUAUAUAGAGUUCUCUAAUUGAAUUGGUGAAAUGGUAUGUUAUCUCAUUGAUUGAUUAACGUAGUUAAAUGCUAAGAUCAGCAUCCUUGAUUCAUGAAGGGAUUAAUUGAUGGGAAUUGUGGAAUGACGUUGGAUAUGAUUGUUAUUAUUAUGAUUAUUUAGUGAUCAAUGUGGCUGAAGAAUAAUAUUGUGCUUCGUUGGUUAUUGGAUAAGUUACAUGUUGUGGAUGGAGAUAUCACGUUGAAAACAUAGUGAUUUAUAUGAUAGAUGGAAUGGAAACCUUGAAUGUCAUGUGGAUUUGUUAUGUAACCAUGAAUCUAGUAAUUCAUGCUUGUUAAGUUCUAAUAAUUUAUUGAGGAAUGCUAUGUUUUUCGAUUUGAACGUAUUGUGAUAAACGUCGAGGUGUAAUGAAUGGCAAACUACGAAUGACAAACUACGAAUGUCUUGAUCCCAAAUGAGGGUACGUAGGCAGUCUAACGAGGAGGUUAGAUGCAGCCAUAAAGUAUACGAAAAAUUCUAUGCAAUUCGAGGCAUGGCAUGUGCUUGAUACAUAGCCCAGGGGACAGGUAUGUUAGAUAUGUGGUUAUUUGAUGACGUCACGUGUCGAUCCCAGACGUAUGUCGGGAUCGGGGCGUGACAGCUGGAGUUGCUCUCACCAUCUCCUUCUUUCUCCAAUGCCUGUACAAAGUUCAUAGUUGUGUGCAAAGCUGCUGCAUUUUCUCCCAUUUCUCAUCACAUUACUGCCCCAAACCCUUAUCACUCUUCCUCGGAUCACGGAUGAUAAAACCCGACCCAAAAUUUGAAACCCAAAACCCAGUUGCCUAUUUGAGUUCUGGAGCUCAAUAUGAAGGAAUGUUAGAUAAAUAACAUUAUUAUUUAACAUAUCGGGUGGAACAAAAUAUUGUAUAAAAUGUCAAAUUGCCACAUAAACCAUCAAAUAUCAUUUUAAUGUUUAAAAUUUGACAUUUUCUUUGGAGAUGCUCUAAUAUGUUAUUUCUCAUGAUCAUGCAUCCUUCUGGUUCUUACAUAUAAUUAUGUUGUUUGGGGGAUGCAAAGCCACUUUUACAUCUCCCGAGAUGUAGAGCUCAUUUGUACGUGUUUUUAAAAUGACUGAAAGCGCUUUUGAUGAGAAUAUUUUUAGAAUCAAUCAUUAGUAAAUAUGUAAGUAAAUCCUGGAAAAGCACUUAAAGUGCUUCCUGGAAGAAGCACAUAAUUGGUGCUUCUUGCAUAAAGCACUUAAAGUACUUUUGAAGCCCAACAAUAAUUUUUCUAAAAGCGCUUUCAUUCAUUUUAAAAGCACAUCCAAAUGAGCCUGUAAAUUUUAGUUUUGCUCCAAUGCGUAUAGAUCUAAACGAGAAGAUGAAAAUUUUGAUUUUCAAGUGUUCAUUUAUUUUUGUGUAGAUUUUUUUUUUUAAUUUUUGUUAACAUAAUUUUUUCCCGCACAAUUCAAUAAAAAAAUUUCAAAAUUUGGACAACGUUGAUUUCAUCUCAUUUAGACGCUGAUUUCAUAAGAAAAAAGCUGAAGCAAAACUAGAAAAACUUUGAAGAGGAAAUGUUUUGUGUGAGAAUUGCCAGUAGUAUUUUUUUUUCUUCAAUGAUAGAGAACAUUCAUUAAUCGAAGUCCUACCAAAGGGAUUGCAAUUUACAUAGCCUUAGAAAUGAUCAACAUACAGAUAGAAGACAUCACUUAUGCAACAUAAAUAGGUUUCAAUCUAAAAAGAAAAGUUCCACAAAGCCCAUAAUGUGGCUAAUAGAGAAUCUUCUAAAAGCAGUAGUGGAUGAUCCGCCGUAGCUAUCCAGAAACAAAAAGCGACCGACAACCCUUGUGUGAGAAACUGAAAAAAAAACCCCGGAAACAAGAAGCGACCGACAACCCUUGUGUGAGAACUGAAAAAAAAAAAAAAAAAAAAAAAAAUUGGUGGAUGGAUGAACGAAAGGUUAUGCCUAUGUAUAAAGGAAACUGUUUUCUUUUUAAAUAGUAUUUUGCAUCCCACGGAACCUCUCUUUUUCUCUUGUGGAGCCCAAUUUUUGUGAUGCAAACUCAGAUGCAAAAAUGGAUCUUUACUUGCCUUAUCCGGUGAGUUGCAAAAUUUGCAACUUAUACAUCACCAAGACUCGAGCAACUUCCGGCAGCAGUAAACGGAAUUGCAUGUUUUUGUGCAGGUUUAGUAGAACUGGAGGGGCAGAUUUUCGCUCUUAUGGUUGAUUUUCGACAACUGUAACGGCAGCCACACUUCCUUACGCCUCUGUGACUUCGUCACUAGCCGACCCUACUUAGUGGGAAUGCUUUGUUGUUGUUUAAUAGUAAUAUAGUAUUGGUAUCCUUUGUAUGUGUAGACAUCGAAAUUUCAGUGAAAACAAAUGUUCACCAACACAUUAAAUUUCGACAUGCUAGAGCAUGAUAUAUUUCACAAAUUGUACACAUAGAUGUGACUCAUCAAAACCGAACAAGUCAUCAAAAGAGACACGUGGUGACAUUUAGCGGAAAAUAGUUAAAAAAUUAUCUUUAUUAAAUUUUUAAUUAAUUUAAAUUUUAAUCAAACAAAUGAAUUGAUUUAAAUUAAUUGAUGGAGUAUCACGAAUCAAGCCUCAAUUAACUCCUAGUUCUUUCGUCAGUGAAUCAAGUCCACAAUCAUGGGCAAAUCUAGCCGUAGGCAAGACUUGGAGAGUGUAUAAAUAUGAGGCUCCAGACAAAGAAAGGGUGAGAAAUUCAUCCAAACACCGAGACGCACAAACUCCUAAUUUCCCAAUCACUUAGAAGACUCAGUAAACUCUUUGCGUUCUUCAUCAAACCCAUGAGGAAUCAUCAAGCACCACUACAAGUGCCGAUUGUUCCAUCACCACAAGCCAAAACUUUGAGGCGUUUGUUCAUUCGAGAUUAAGGGCUAGUUUGGUAUUGUUGUGCUUUUUAAAAAAAAAUUGUUUCUAUUGUGCUGUAAGAAUAAACAAUUGUAAAAUAAUGUUGUUAAGUGUUUGGUAAACUUUUUGUUGUAAAAGUGAUUUUAUUAAAAAAAAAAGUAGUGUCUGAGUGUUUGGUAAAUUUUUAUAUAAAUUGCUUUGAAUAUGUAAAAUGACUAAAAAAGAUAUAGUAUUUAAUGUGAUAUAAUAAUUGUCAAAGACAAAAUGUAGGGCAAAUAUUGUAAUUUUGUAAAACAUGUGGGGGUAUACUUGCCAUUUGAAAAGUUCAUUAAAUGAGCAUUAAUUACUAUUCUUUGAAAAAAAAACACUUUUUUUAAAAGCAUGGUAAACCCUGCUUCUGCAUUUCUAUGCUUUUCUACUUUCAUUGACAGCAUUUUAAAAAAAAACAUUUUUUUUUUAAUUUUACCAAACACAUUUAAUGUUCCAGCUUUUUUAAUAAGAUGCUUUUAUUGGAAGCACCACAAUCCCAAGUCAACCCUAAGUCAUUGCGACCCUCGGAUCAACAACACACACAUUUUUCACCCCGGAGAUCGAAUCAGAGAAUUCGAAGUUGUAAAGAGAUUGUAACCAUCCAUUUACAUUGAUACACAUUUUAUUUUUUACACGUAUUUUUGUGUUAUUUAUCACUAUGUUUGGUUUUUUUUUUUUUUGUAUAAUUAAUAAAGUUAUAAGGUAGAAAAAGUAUGCACACCAAAUUUGUAUUUUUUUUCUUGAACAAACGAUAUUAUCUACAAUAAGAGAUGGGGGUGAACUAAGCUGCACAAUGAGCCAAGAAUAAUGUGGUUCAAAUUCACUUUUGGUGAUUGACACACCCCGAUCCAGAGGAUCCAGGUGUGCUGGCCGUCACGUGGGUGUGACGUAACCAUAGGUGCGACACGGAAGUGAAACAACCACAAAAGUAAGCAGGAAUUCAAACCAAACUCAAACAUAUCAACCUACGAACAUAACCGGACGAGUUAUAAGGUAAACACAUGAGUUCAGAGCAUAGGUUAAUUGCAGUCAAGUAGGACUAAAAUAAAGAUACAUCACCCUAAGGUGAGUCCUACAUGUCGAGAGUCUGUCAGAAAGCCGGAAUAAGACCUCGAGAGCCACCAACCGCUAAACUAGAACCUGGAGGGGCGCAAAACAAAAUGAGUGGGUCAGUAAAAUCAAAUAGUUUUCCAAAACAGUUCAUUAAAAACAAUUUUAUCCCCUCGCCGUAAAACCUGUAUACUUUCCCAGAAAAUAGUAUAUAUACAUAUAUAUAUAUACGCAACAUCAUAACUCAGCAUAAAACCAUCAUCAUAAUAUCUCAGAAAUGAUAUGCCAUGCCCAAACUAUAAUCAGAAUGCAUCAAUAAUAGUCAGGUGAAUAAUAAAUCAACCGGAGACCCUAUAAUGGUCCUGUACGGCUGAUUCUAAAGCUCAACAUCCAAACCAACCGGAGUCACCUCGGUGACCUGUACGGUUCAACUCUGCACGUCACUCGGAACUACAUAUAGUAGUCUGUACGAUGACAGGUGUAUGAAUACGCUCUAGUGCUUCUCACAUCAAUCAUCAGCGCGCAUAACUAAGGUCACCCACUAGUUGGAAUCACAUCUAGUGAUCUGUACAACUAGCAUGUCGGAACCCUCACUUGGUCUGUACGACAUCCACUUACUUGGAUCCAAGACGAGCGUGCGUUGUGGUGAAUAAUAAUAUAAGCACUAUCACCUAGGUGCAGGUUAUGAGUUUUCAAUGCAAUUCAAUAUAAAUAACUUAGCUGGAAAAUAAAUAAACUCACCUGAGCGUCCAUCGCGUCAUUUCACAUAUAUAUGCAUCAAUACUCAAGCUAGAUAUCUAACUUAGCUGGAAAAUAAAUAAACUCACCUGAGCGUCCAUCGCGUCAUUUCACAUAUAUAUGCAUCAAUACUCAAGCUAGAUAUCUCAAUAAUUUCAUGCAUGGCAAUUAAUUUCAUAACUUUCAUAAAAACGUAUUUUCUGGGAAAAUAAAUGUAUAUAGGUAAAUACGAAAUCAAAAUUGCCCACUCACUGAUAAGUCGACGGGUCGUAACCCCCGUGGCGUCUCCUUCUUCCUUGGCUCGCCGAACUGGUUUUUCUGGCGGCUGUUUUCCGGCGAGUUUUAAAACUCUUCGUUCUCCUUCGUUUUUCACCCAUUUUCUUCGUAUUUUAUAUCAAAUUGAAGCCCCAAACAUGUAGAAUCACGAUAGACUAGUUUAAGGCUCUAAAAAUCAAGAAAUCUCACCGGAAAAUUCCCAAGAAAUUCGGCCAAAAUGGAACCACGUGAUCCCGACGUCCAAAUCCUUCAAACGAAGUACUCCGAGCCUCCUUAGGACUUCACUAAGCUCACCACAAGCUUAGAAUUUCCUGAAACACAACAUUUUACGUUCGCAUGAACAGUGACAAAAAAUGGAGGUUCGAGUUUCACGUGAUUCCGAAGGUUUCACUUCCUAAAACUAGUACCAAUGAACUCAGAACGUCAAAAGGAUGAAGAUGCAUACCUUGGUUGCCUCGAUCCAUCGAGUUUUUGGAGGAUUUGGGUGUGUGCCGUACGUUUUGGGUGAGAGAGAGUGAGAGAGGGUCGUGAGGGACGAGAGAGAGAGAGCCACGGGUUGGGAGAGAGAGAGAGCAGGAGAGUUGUGAUGUCCCAAAAACAAUCUCCACCAUCCAUUUUCUAAUUCCCUAAUCAACUUAACAAAUAUCAAAUCAAUAAACCAACUCAUCUUAUAAUUUCUUCCAACACAUAUCUAAUAUUAAACCAAAUAAUGUCACACACCCACGAACCUUAAUACCCUUCAAGGGUAAUCCCAUCAUUUCACAUUCCCGUCAAAAGUACCUCCGGGACGGGCUGUGACAGUGAUAAUCGAGUCUAAAACAUCUCACGCUAAAUUUGUAUUAAGCACUUCAAAUUCAAAUUUUGUGCUUUGGCAUUGAUGAACCUUAAUUUGGCAUAAACAACGAACCAAAUAUAAAUUGUUGCUCCCUGCACAACUAUUUAGACAGAAAAAACAUAAAUGAGUCUACAUUUCCCAAGUAUAAAUUAAUUCCCCAGCCAAAUUCAUCUCCCUAUUACUCUCUCUGCAACAGUUUUUCUUCUGCUUUAUACUUACUGUACAUUGCUUCCUUAAAUUUGGAACUUAAUAAAGAAGAUUACUUCAUGAAGAAGAUUACAACUUACUGUACAUUGCUUCUUAAUUAAAUUUGGAAAUUAAUGAACCAAAAGUGUACCCAAAAGAAAAAGAAUAAAGAAUCAAAAGUGUCCUAUGUUCCCCAUAAUAUCUUCUACUUUCAAGCACAUAAUAUUCUCUUUUAUCUUCUUUCUCUGCUACCAUUCAAUUCUCUUCUUUAGUACUACUCUUCUUCCAGUUUCUUAGCUUACAAUGGCGGGAAAAGACAAAGCUGAAGGUCAUGCAAUCGGGAUCGACCUGGGGACAACCUACUCGUGUGUGGCCGUGUGGCAGUAUGAUCAUGUAGAAAUUAUAGUGAACGAUCAGGGUUACAGGACAACUCCAUCUCACGUUGCCUUCACUGAUGCCGAAAUACUGGUUGGUGAUGCUGCAUUUAACCAGCUCAUCAGAAACCCUUCCAACUCCAUCUUUGGUAAGGUUCUUCUCACUUGUACUUUCCAAAUUGAUAAUGAGCUUUUCUCAAAUCGAUAAUUACACAUAUUGUGUUAUUUUAAUAAAAGAGGCUGAAAGAUUUGCUUAAUUUUGUUAUGGUGAUCUUAAUGGGAGGCUUAAGAUUGAUGCUUAAGAAGUCAUAGUCGAACUACAAUGAUAGUAUUAAUGUUUGCACCAGUUUUCUGAUUCAAAUUAUUGUUAUUCUAUACAAUUUUUAUUUACAAUUUUUUUUAAUUAUUUUAAUUUGUUAGAUUAAUUGUUUUCUAAUUGUGGCACCAAUUUUUAGAUGCAAAGCGGUUAAUUGGUAGAAGAUUUAGUGACGCAUGUGUCCAAGAUGAUAUUAAGUUGUGGCCUUUCAAGGUCAUUGAAGGUCCUCAUGAUAAGCCUACGAUUGUGGUCACUCACAAGGGCCAAGAGAAGCAGUUUUCUGCUGAAGAAAUCUCAUCCAUGCUUUUGGGAAAGAUGCGAGAGAUUGCUGAGGCCUUCCUCGGCUCAACUGUUAAGAAUGCGGUCAUCACAGUCCCUGCUUACUUCAGUGACUCACAGCGUCAGGCUACAAAAAAUGCAGCUAUCAGUGCCAGCCUAAAGGUGUCACGUAUCAUCAAUGAACCAACUGCUGCAGCCAUUGCUUAUGGCCUUGACAAGAAGGCUGGCUGGUACAGCAAGAGAAAUGUUAUGAUGUUUGAUUUCGGUGGUGGUACUUUAGAUGUGUCACUAGUUACCAUUAGUUGCGGCGUGUUUGAUGUGAAAGCCACUGCUGGGGAUACUCACCUUGGAGGUGAAGACCUAGAUAACAGAAUGGUGAAGUACUGUGUCGAGCAAUUCAAGAGGAAGAAUAAUUUAGACGUGACUGGAAACUCCAAAGCACUAAGGAGGUUAAAAAAUAGUUGUGAGAAAGCAAAGAGGAGACUUUCAUUUACGUCUUCAACAGACAUUGAAAUUGACUGUUUGCAUGAAGGUAGUGAUUUUUGUACAACUAUUACUCGGGCAAAAUUUGAAGAACUCAAUAGGGAUUUCUUUAUCAAGUGUAUGGAGCCGGUGAAUAAGUGUUUGGAGGAUGCUAAAAUGGACGUAAGCAGCAUCCACGAUGUUGUUCUUGUUGGUGGCUCUUCGAGAAUUCCUAAGGUGCAAGAACUCUUACAAAAUGUCUUCAAGGGUAAGGAGCUGUGCAAAGGCAUUAAUCCGGAUGAGGCAGUGGCUUACGGUGCUGCUGUUCAGGCUGCAGUCCUGAAUGGGAAGGGAAAUGAAAAGCUUCAAGACCUCACUUUGUUGGAUGUCACGCCGCUAUCACUCGGGGUGGAGACUGGGCGUGAACGGGACAUGACUGUUGUGAUACCAAGAAACACUAAAAUGCCCGUCAAGAGGAAUUAUACUGUUACCACUCGGCAUGACAACCAAGCAGUU